UGCUAUUUCUCUCUAAAUUGCAUCAAAGAAAAUAGAGAGAGAGAGAGCAGAUGGAUCCUAUCCCCUAUAACGAACACUCAUUCCUAUCUAUUGAUAGAAAAAGAAAGAUCUUUGUCACAGACUUUUUCUUUGUUCUUUUUUUAGAUUGGAGGAAUUCCUCAUAUCCAAGGCAGCUCCCCACAAACACCCCACCCAUAUGACUAUGCCCCCUUUUGAAUCGACAGUAGAUUGGGCUUCAUAGCUACUUUCAUUCUAAAGACGAAUAUUAGUCAAUAGGCAGGCUUCUUUCAGUAGCAAACAUAUUCAUUUUCACCGGGCUCCGCGCACCUUUGAUACUUCUGGAGGGCAAGCAGUUUUAUAGUGACUUCUUUCUUAGGGUAGGGCGACGAAUACUUCCAAUUCCAGAAAGGUCAUUGGGUCGCCUUUGGAAGCUAAAGCAAAAUUUGUAGAAAGCCGAGAGAAAAAGCGAAAGCUUGCUCGAAACGGCCUAUACCCUAACCCUCGGAAGCGAAGACGCAAAGCGUCACUUUUUUCAAAAGGAAGGAGUUUUUCUGACUGAAUCCAUCCUGCAAACAGUCAAAUCUAAACCUUGUCGCCCUUCUUUCCUCGUGGGCAGGAAGCACACCAGCAGCGUGCGUUGCGUGAUUCCACUGUGUUUUUUGCACUUGACUGGGUGGACAGUUGACAGGAAGAUAACUUCGAUUCGCCCGGCCAGCAGGCGGGCGGCGUGCUUAUCUUGUGUGACAACACUACAGAGCGAGUAGCUCUUCUAGUCCAAAUAAAACAGGAACUCCCUUGACUACAAGUACAACACAUGACAUAGAUUCCCUCACAUCUUCAAAAAUGUCAGCUACAGGAUUCGAACUCACGACCUUCAUUCCACCUACGAGCUCGCUAACCACUGGAGCUAAUGGCCUUGAACGAUUUGUAACGGCCUGAAAUACCUAAUAAAACUGGCGCAGCGCUAUUUGUUGCAGAUAACCAUGUAUUGUAUCGCUUAAAUUUUUUGGAAAACAAAUCGUGAUAAGAAAAGGUUCAUGGAUUUGGAAAAGGUGUCAUUUUUGAAGAAAAGUUCAUCGAUUUUGAAAAAAAGUUCAUUCAAAUUGAAAAAAAAUUGUUCAUGGAUUAUAAAAAAAAUUGAAAAAUUGAAAAAAGUUCAUCAGUUUGAAAAAAAGUUCAUCAAAUUUAGAAAAAGUUUAUUAAAUUUGAAAAAAAGUUCAUCAAAUCUGAAAAAUGUUCAUCAAAUUUGAAAAAAAAAAUAUUAAAUCUGAAAAAAGUUCAUCAAAUUUGAAAAAAAGUUCAGUGAAUUUUUUUAAAAAGUUCAUCGAAUAUGAAAAAAGUUCAUUGAAUUUGGAAAAAAUAGUUCAUUAAAUAUGAAAAAAGUUCAUCGAAUCUGAAAAAGUUCAGCGAAUUUGAAAAAAAAGUUCAUCAAUAUGAAGAAAAAGUUCACGAAUUAUAAACAAAUCAUUGAGCCAGGAAGAAGAAAAGAAAAAAAAAGAAAAACAUAAACGGAAAAAGAAAAAAGGAAAAAAGGAAAGUUAAACGAAGAAAAGAUAUAAGAGGAUGCUAGUAACAACGUUGGGUAUGGUGGCGUGAUGGUUUCUGUCGGGUAGCUCGAAGUAGAGGUGCCUAGUUCGAUCCCCUGCGGGAACGCUCUUUUUUCCUGUCAAGAUAUAGAAAGGGAACAGGGUGAGAUGGGCGGGCCCAGCUUGGUUGCUGCAGGCGCUCGUGUUUGCAAAAUACACAUAAACGGGCGCCAAAUAGGAUUUGCCCGGUUCGCUCGCUAGCUGAAGAAAAACACACUACGUCGCUGGGGUUUUUUCGGGUUGUGUUGUGGUGCUGGUUCAGGAAAAAGUCUGGCCUCCGUUUUUUACAUGUUUCAGUAUGUUUAUGAAACAAAUUCAUAUAUUAUUAAAAAAAGAUCAUCGAUUUUGAUCAAGAAUGUUCACAAAUCUGAAAAAGUUCAUCAAUUUUGAUAAAGUACAUCGGAUUUAAAAAAGUUCAACGGAUUAAAAAAAGUUCAUCGGAGUGAAAAUAGUUCAUUGGAUUUUAAAAAAAGUUCAUCGAAUCUAAAAAAAAGUUCAUUGGAUUUGAAAAAAAGGUUGAUCGAAUUGAAAACAUUUAUCAGAUUUUAGAAAAAAUGUUCAUUGAAUUGAAAAAAGUUCAUUGGAUUUGAAAACAAAUCAUUGAAUUGGAAAAAGUUCAUCGAUUUUUAAAAUAAAUUCAUCAAAAUGGUAAAAAGUUCAUUCAUUUUCAAGAAAACAUCGAGUUUGAAAAAAAGUUCAUCAAAAUUGAAAAAAUUCUUUGAAAUUGAAAAAAAAUCAUCGAUUUAAAUAAAAAUUUCACGAAUUAGGUAAAAAAAUAUCGUCUGUUUGUAAACAUUUCUCGCAUUUUAAGAAAACAAGAAAACAUGAAACAAAAAAGAAAGGGAAAAACACAGAAAAAAUAGAGGGCAUUUUCUGUAUGUAUAAAAAGAUGGAAAUGAGGUUUGUGAUCACGAGUUAGUGCGGUGGCAUGGUGGUUCUUGGAGUUAGCUAACCCCAGAGAGAUCUGUAGUUCGAUUCCUUUCUGCCCACAAUUUCCUUUCUAUCCUAUUUUGAGUUCCAAAACACGGAGGGAAAUGGUAGUGCGCCAAGCCCAGCUAGCACCACUGCAGGCGCCAGUUUGUGGAAACAGCUAUAACCAGCGCGUGCAGCUCCAAGCGAUUUUUUGUUUUUGUUUUGUUCGCUCUUGUUUUUCAAUUUUUUUUUGGUUUCUCGUAAGGCAAUAGUAUUUUUUAAUGCGAAAAAUAUGUAAUUAUAUGAAUAUUUUGAGAACUUGGUUACAUUUUCAUUACUAAAUAAAUAUUUAUAAAACUAAUAUAUGCAUGACCGCUUUAAAAAAACCAUAAGCAUUGCAUGAACAUUUUUCUGCAAUUGCAUUAGUUCUUUAAAUGUUUAUCAUGUGUUUGAAAAAGUUCAUUGUAUAUUUAUAAAAUGUUCAUAAGUUCUGAAACAUGUUAUGAAGAACUUUAAACGAAAAAAACAUGAAUUAAACAUACGUUCACUGUGUAUUUAUCUGAGCAAAUUUUUAUUAAAAAAUUAUUUCUGAAAAAUAGAUUGGCAUUUUAAGAAAAAUAUUUACCAUGUAUUAAAAAAAUGUAUUCAUUAUGAAUUGAAUAUUUUUUCCUUGUUUAAAAGUGUCCAAGAUGUAUUUUACAAAAUGUUCACCACAUGUGAGAAAAUGCUCAUGAGUUAUAAAAUGUGUGCGCCCUUUAAAAAUGUUCAUGAAUUACAUAAACAUUGUCGAAAUUGAAAAAAAAUUGUGCAAAUGUUCAUGAAGUUAAGAUCAUGAAAUAAAAAGUAUUAAUGCAUUUUAAAAGCAUGGUCAAAAUUUUACAAUCAUUCUUGAAAUAAAAAUGUUUAAGGAAAGAGAAAAAAACUAAAAAUAGGGGAAUUUUAAAGUUGCUAUAAAAAAAUUGUAAAACAUCCAAGAAUGAUAAUAUAACAGUAUGGAACAAUAAAAUAUUAUAGAUACAUUGGAGACGUAUCAAUCAGUGCGAAAAGGCUAGAGGCCUACUCGGAUCUGUCAGAUUCAGGACUCCAUAGACCCAAAAAGGUUCGAACUCUCGGGCAUGUGCGAAGAUCUCAACCUCUAGAGCCUCAAACUCGUCGCCCUACAUCCUAGCCUUGCCGGUUACACACUCAAGCGGGGAAGAAGAUGAACAUGGCAGUUUACCCAGGUUCGGGCCACCUUGCGGUGUAAAACCUACUCAUGCUUUAUGGUGGAUUGGCCUCACGAGGAGGUUUGAGGAUGAACUAGUAUAGUGGAUGAGUUGCCUACCGAGGGCUCGGGGGUGAGAAUGAGUCGACCCUUUCUAUGAUAGUGACUAACCUAUAUUUGUAGUGGCCUUGGUCCUCUUCCCCAAAACUUAGGCGGGAAGGGAUUCCACAACGGACAAUUUAAAAGGGGACAAGAGGUACAUCUAAUCCUGACAAAAGGCAGUCUUCUCCCGCAAAGCUUCUGGUCGUGACGCAGCAGUGGGCUCGGCGAUGACUGUUGGGGAAUGUAGCAUGCAAUUUUUUAGAAAAUCAUACGCUCACGCAAGAUCUAUUUAGGAGAUGCAUAGCAACGAGAGGGGGAGAGUGUGUCCACGUACCCUCGUAGACCGAAAGCAGAAACGUUUGACAACGCGGUUGAUGUAGUCGAACUUCUUCUCGUUCCGACCAAUCAAACACCAAACGUACAACACCUCAGAGUUUUGCACACGUUUGGCUUGAUGACGUUACUCGAACUCUUGAUCCAGCAAAGUGUCAAGGGAGAGUUCCGUCAGCACGACGGCGUGGUGACAGCGAUGGUGAAGUAAUCCGCGCAGGGCUUCGCCUAAGCACUACGUGAAUAUGAUCGGAGGUGUAAACUAUGGAGGGGGCGCCGCACACGGCUAACAACUAUUGAUGUGUGUUCUAGCGAUGCUCCCCUCAUAUAUAUAGGUUGGAAGGGAGGAGAGGCAGCCAAGGGGGCGCCCCAAGUAGCAGGAAUCCUACUUGGGCGCCUCCCAAUUCGGCCUCCCCCUUCCAUAUUCAUCGGGAGGGGGAAGGAAGGAGGAGGGAGGGGGGAGGAAGGGGAGGCCAAAUCCCUCCCCUUCCUUUCUCCCUGUAACGCCCACGAUGCGGCUAUAUCUCCCACGUGUCGAAGCACGACUUAGAGGCAUAACCGCAUUGUAAGCAAUGUCGCAAGAGAGGUAAUCUUCACACAACUCAUGUAAUGAAUAAGGAAAAGAGGUACAUAGUUGGCUUACACUCGCCACGUCACACAAUACAUGAGUAAAGCAUUACAUCAAACAGAUACAAUCAAGAUCCGACUACGGAACCAAAAUAAAAGAAUACUACCCCUAAUGCUACAGAUCCCCGAUCGCCCCGACUGGGCUCCACUACUGACCAACUGGAAACGGAAACAACAUAACGAACACGGUCUUCAACGAGCUCCUCCUUGAGCGCGGUUGCGUCACCUGCACGGUUUCAUCGGCACCUGCAAACUGGUUUUGGAAGUAAUCUGUGAGUCACGGGGACUCAGCAAUCUCACACCCUCGCGAUCAAGACUAUUUAAGCUUAUGGGUAGGUAAAAGGUAUGUGAGGUGGAGCUGCAGCAAGCACUAGCAUAUAUGGUGGCUAACAUACGCAAAAGAGAGCGAGAAGAGAAGGCAAAGCACGUUCGAGAAUCUAUGAUCAAGAAGUGAUCCAAGACUACUUACGUUCAAGCAUAACUCCAACACUGUGUUCACUUCCCGGACUCCGCCGAGAAGAGACCAUCACGGCUACACACGCGGUUGAUCCAUUUUAAUUAAGUUAAGUUUCAGAUUUUCUACAACCGGACAUUAACAAAUUCCCAUCUGCCCAUAACCGCGGGCACGGCUUUCGAAAGUUCAUAACCCUGUAGGGGUGUCCCAACUUAGCCCAUCACAAGCUCUCACGGUCAACGAAGGAUAUUCCUGUUGGGGAACGUAGUAAUUUCAAAAAAAUUCCUACGCACACGCAAGAUCAUGGUGAUGCAUAGCAACGAGAGGGGAGAGUGUGAUCUAUGUACCCUUGUAGACCGACAGCGGAAGCGUUAGCACAACGCGGUUGAUGUAGUCGUACGUCUUCACGGCCCGACCGAUCAAGCACCGAAACUACGGCACCUCCGAGUUCUAGCACACGUUCAGCUUGAUGAUGAUCCCCGGACUCUGAUCCAGCAAAGUGUCGGGGAAGAGUUCCGUCAGCACGACAGCGUGGUGACGAUCUUGAUGUACUACCAUCGCAGGGCUUCGCCUAAGCACCGCUACAAUAUUAUCGAGGACUAUGGUGGAAGGGGGCACCGCACACGGCUAAGAAUAUGAUCACGUGGAUCAACUUGUGUGUCUAGGGGUGCUCCCUGCCUCCGUAUAUAAAGGAUCAAAGGGGGGGUGCGGCAGGCCAGGAGGAGGGCGCGCCAGGAGGAGUCCUACUCCCACCGGAAGUAGGAUUCCCCCCCCCUUCCUAGUUGGAAUAGGAUUCGGGAGGGGGAAAGAGGAGAGAAAGAAGGAAAGGGGAGGGGCGCCGCCCCCUCUCCUUGUCCUAUUCGGACUAGGGGAGAGGGGUGCGCGGCCCAGCCCUGGCCACCUCUCCUCUCUUCCACUAAAGCCCACUAAGGCCCAUAUACCUCCCGGGGGGUUCCGGUAACCUCCCGGUACUCCGAAAAAAUCCCGAUUUCACCCGGAACACUUCCGAUAUCCAAAUAUAGGCUUCCAAUAUAUCAAUCUUUAUGUCUCGACCAUUUCGAGACUCCUCGUCAUGUUCGUGAUCACAUCCGGGACUCCGAAAAAACUUCGGUACAUCAAAAUGUAUAAACUCAUAAUAUAACUGUCAUCGAAACCUUAAGCGUGCGGACCCUACGGGUUUGAGAACAAUGUAGACAUGACCGAGACACGUCUCCGGUCAAUAACCAAUAGUGGAACCUGGAUGCUCAUAUUGGCUCCUACAUAUUCUACGAAGAUCUUUUAUCGGUCAGACCGCAUAACAACAUACGUUGUUCCCUUUGUCAUCGGUAUGUUACUUGCCCGAGAUUCGAUCGUCGGUAUCUCAAUACCUAGUUCAAUAUCGUUACCGGCAAGUCUCUUUACUUGUUCCGUAAUACAUCAUCUCACAACUAACUCAUUAGUUGCAAUGCUUGCAAGGCUUAUGUGAUGUGCAUUACCGAGAGGGCCCAGAGAUACCUCUCCGACAAUCGGAGUGACAAAUCCUAAUCUUGAAAUACGCCAACCCAACAUGUACCUUUGGAGACACCUGUAGAGCUCCUUUAUAAUCAUCCAGUUACGUUGUGACAUUUGGUAGCACACAAAGUGUUCCUCCGGCAAACGGGAGUUGCAUAAUCUCAUAGUCAUAGGAACAUGUAUAAGUCAUGAAGAAAGCAAUAGCAACAUACUAAACGAUCGGGUGCUAAGCUAAUGGAAUGGGUCAUGUCAAUCAGAUCAUUCACCUAAUGAUGUGAUCCCGUUAAUCAAAUAACAACUCUUUGUCCAUGGUUAGGAAACAUAACCAUCUUUGAUUAACGAGCUAGUCAAGUAGAGGCAUACUAGUGACACUCUGUUUGUCUAUGUAUUCACACAUGUAUUAUGUUUCUGUUUAAUACAAUUCUAGCAUGAAUAAUAAACAUUUAUCAUGAUAUAAGGAAAUAAAUAAUAACUUUAUUAUUGCCUCUAGGGAAUAUUUCCUUCAGUCUCCCACUUGCACUAGAGUCAAUAAUCUAGAUUACACAGUAAUGAUUCUAACACCCAUGGAGCCUUGGUGCUGAUCAUGUUUUGCUCGUGGAAGAGGCUUAGUCAACGGGUCUGCUACAUUCAGAUCUGUAUGUAUCUUGCAAAUCUCUAUGUCUCCCACCUGGACUAGAUCCCGAAUGGAAUUGAAGCGUCUCUUUAUGUGCUUGGUUCUCUUGUGAAAUCUGGAUUCCUUUGCCAAGGCAAUUGCACCAGUAUUGUCACAACAGAUUUUCAUUAGACCCGAUGCACUAGGUAUGACACCUAGAUCGGAUAUGAACUCCUUGAUCCAGACUCCUUCAUUUGCUGCUUCCGAAGCAGCUAUGUAUUCCGCUUCACACGUAGAUCCCGCCACGACGCUUUGUUUAGAACUGCACCAACUGACAGCUCCACCGUUUAAUGUAAACACGUAUCCGGUUUGCGAUUUAGAAUCGUCUGGAUCAGUGUCAAAGCUCGCAUCAACGUAACCAUUUACGAUGAGCUCUUUGUCACCUCCAUAAAUGAGAAACAUAUCCUUAGUCCUUUUCAGGUAUUUCAGGAUGUUCUUGACCGCUGUCCAGUGAUCCACUCCUGGAUUACUUUGGUACCUCCCUGCUAGACUUAUAGCAAGGCACACAUCAGGUCUAGUACAUAGCAAUGCAUACAUGAUAGAGCCUAUGGCUGAAGCAUAGGGAACAUCUUUCAUUUUCUCUCUAUCUUCUGCAGUGGUCGGGCAUUGAGUCUUACUCAACUUCACACCUUGUAACACAGGCAAGAACCCUUUCUUUGCUUGAUCCAUUUUGAACUUCUUCAAAACUUUGUCAAGGUAUGUGUUUUGUGAAAGUCCAAUUAAGCGUCUUGAUCUAUCUCUAUAGAUCUUAAUGCCUAAUAUGUAAGCAGCUUCACCGAGGUCUUUCAUUGAAAAACUCUUAUUCAAGUAUCCCUUUAUGCUAUCCAGAAAUUCUAUAUCAUUUCCAAUUAGUAAUAUGUCAUCCACAUAUAAUAUCAGAAAUGCUAUAGAGCUCCCACUCACUUUCUUGUAAAUACAUGCUUCUCCAAAAGUCCGUAUAAAACCAAAUGCUUUGAUCACACUAUCAAAGCGUUUAUUCCAACUCCGAGAGGCUUGCACCAGUCCAUAAAUGGAUCGCUGGAGCUUGCACACUUUGUUAGCUCCCUUUGGAUCGACAAAACCUUCCGGCUGCAUCAUAUACAACUCUUCUUGCAGAAAUCCAUUCAGGAAUGCAGUUUUGACAUCCAUUUGCCAAAUUUCAUAAUCAUAAAAUGCGGCAAUUGCUAACAUGAUUCGGACAGACUUAAGCAUCGCUACGGGUGAGAAGGUCUCAUUGUAGUCAACCCCUUGAACUUGUCGAAAACCUUUUAUGACAAGUCGAGCUUUGUAGACAGUAAUAUUAUCGUCAGCAUCAGUCUUCUUCUUGAAGAUCCAUUUAUUCUCUAUUGCUUGCCGAUCAUUGGGCAAGUCAACCAAAGUCCAUACUUUGUUCUCAUACAUGGAUCCCAUCUCAGAUUUCAUGGCUUCAAGCCAUUUUGCGGAAUCUGGGCUCACCAUCGCUUCUUCAUAGUUCAUAGGUUCAUCAUGAUCUAGUAGCAUGACUUCCAGAACAGGAUUACCAUACCACUCUCGCGCGGAUCUUACUCUGGUUGAUCUACGAGGUUCAGUAGUAUCUUGUUCUGAAGUUUCAUGAUCAUUAUCAUUAUCUUCCUCACUAAUUGGUGUAGGUGUCACAGAAAUAGGUUUCUGUGAUGUACUACUUUCCAAUAAGGGAGCAGGUACAGUUACCUCGUCAAGUUCUACUUUCCUCCCACUCACUUCUUUCAAGAGAAACUCCUUCUCCAGAAAGUUUCCGAAUUUAGCAACAAAAGUCUUGCCUUCGGAUCUGUGAUAAAAGGUGUAUCCAAUAGUUUCCUUUGGAUAUCCUAUGAAGACACAUUUCUCCGAUUUGGGUUCGAGCUUAUCAGGUUGAAGCUUUUUCACAUAAGCAUCGCAGCCCCAAACUUUCAGAAACAACAACUUUGGUUUCUUGCCAAACCACAGUUCAUAAGGCGUCGUCUCAACGGAUUUUGAUGGUGCCCUAUUUAACGUGAAUGCGGCCGUCUCUAGAGUAUAUCCCCAAAACGAUAGCGGUAAAUCAGUAAUAGACAUCAUAGAUCGCACCAUAUCUAGUAAAGUACGAUUACGACGUUCGGACACACCAUUACGCUAUGGUGUUCCGGGUGGCGUGAGUUGCGAAACUAUUCCACAUUGUUUCAAAUGUACACCAAACUCGUAACUCAAAUAUUCUCCUCCACGAUCAGAUCAUAGGAAUUUUAUUUUCUUGUUACGAUGAUUUUCAACUUCACUCUAAAAUUCUUUGAAUUUUUCAAACGUUUCAGACUUGUGUUUCAUUAAGUAGAUAUACCCAUAUCUGCUUAAGUCAUCUGUGAAGGUGAGAAAAUAACGAUAUCCGCCACGAGCCUCAACAUUCAUCGGACCACAUACAUCUGUAUGUAUGAUUUCCAACAAAACUGUUGCUCUCUCCAUAGUAUCGGAGAAUGGUGUUUUUGUCAUCUUACCCAUAAGGCACGGUUCGCAAGUACCAAGUGAUUCAUAAUCAAGUGGUUCCAAAAGCCCAUCAGUAUGGAGUUUCUUCAUGCGCUUUAUACCGAUAUGACCCAAACGGCAGUGCCACAAAUAAGUUGCACUAUCAUUAUCAACUCUGCAUCUUUUGGCUUCAACACUAUAAAUAUGUGUGUCACUACUAUCGAGAUUUAAUAUGAAUAGACCACUCCUUAAGGGUGCGUGACCAUAAAAGAUAUUACUCAUGUAAAUAUAACAACCAUUAUUCUCUGAUUUAAAUGAAUAACCGUCUCGCAUCAAACAAGAUCCAGAUAUAAUGUUCAUGCUUAACGCUGGCACCAAAUAACAAUUAUUUAGGUCUAAUACUAAUCCCGAAGGUAGAUGUAGAGGUAGCGUGCCGACUGCGAUCACAUCAACUUUGGAACCAUUUCCCACGCGCAUCGUCACCUCGUCCUUAGCCAAUCUUCGCUUAAUCCGUAGUCCCUGUUUCGAGUUGCAAAUAUUAGCAACAGAACCAGUAUCAAAUACCCAGGUGCUACUGCGAGCAUUAGUAAGGUACACAUCAAUAACAUGUAUAUCACAUAUACCUUUGUUCACCUUGCCAUCCUUCUUAUCCGCCAAAUACUUGGGGCAGUUCCGCUUCCAGUGACCAGUCUGCUUGCAGUAGAAGCACUCAGUUUCAGGCUUAGGUCCAGGUUUGGGUUUCUUCUCUUGAGUAGCAACUUGCUUGCUAUUCUUUUUGAAGUUCCCCUUCUUCUUCCCUUUGCCCUUUUUCUUGAAACUAGUGGUCUUGCUGACCAUCAACACUUGAUGCUCCUUCUUGAUUUCUACCUCUGCAGCUUUCAGCAUUGCGAAGAGCUCGGGAAUAGUCUUAUUCAUCCCUUGCAUAUUAUAGUUCAUCACGAAGCUCUUGUAGCUUGGUGGCAGUGAUUGGAGAAUUCUGUCAAUGACGCAAUCAUCUGGAAGAUUAACUCCCAUUUGAAUCAAGUGAUUAUUAUACCCAGACAUUUUGAGUAUAUGCUCACUGACAGAACUGUUCUCCUCCAUCUUGCAGCUAUAGAACUUAUUGGAGACUUCAUAUCUCUCAAUCCGGGCAUUUGCUUGAAAUAUUAACUUCAACUCCUGGAACAUCUCAUAUGCUCCAUAACGUUCAAAACGUUGUUGAAGUCCCGAUUCUAAGCUGUAAAGCAUGGCACACUGAACUAUCGAGUAGUCAUCAGCUUUGCUCUGCCAGAUGUUCAUAACAUCUGGUGUUGCUCCAGCAGCAGGCCUGGCACCCAGCGGUGCUUCCAGGACAUAAUUCUUCUGUGCAGCAAUGAGGAUAAUCCUCAAGUUACGGACCCAGUCCGUGUAAUUGCUACCAUCAUCUUUCAACUUUGCUUUCUCAAGGAACGCAUUAAAAUUCAACGGAACAACAGCACGGGCCAUCUAUCUACAAUCAAACAUAAAUAAUCAAGAUACUAUUAGGUACUAAGUUCAUGAUAAAUUUAGGUUCAAUUAAUCAUAUUACUUAAAGAACUCCCACUUAGAUAGACAUCCCUCUAAGCCUCUAAGUGAUUACGUGAUCCAAAUCAACUAAACCAUGUCCGAUCAUCACGUGAGAUGGAGUAGUUUCAUUGGUGAACAUCACUAUGUUGAUCAUAUCUACUAUAUGAUUCACGCUCGACCUUUCGAUCUCCGUGUUCCGAGGCCAUAUCUGUAUAUGCUUGGCUCGUCAAGUAUAACCUGAGUAUUCCGCGUGUGCAACUGUUUUGCACCCGUUGUAUUUGAACGUAGAGCCUAUCACACCCGAUCAUCACGUGGUGUCUCAGCACGAAGAACUUUCGCAAUGGUGCAUACUCAGGGAGAACACUUCUUGAUAAUUAGUGAGAGAUCAUCUUAUAAUGCUACCGUCAAUCAAAGCAAGAUAAGAUGCAUAAAAGAUAAACAUCACAUGCAAUCAAUAUAAGUGAUAUGAUAUGGCCAUCAUCAUCUUGUGCUUGUGAUCUCCAUCCUCGAAGCACCAUCGUGAUCACCAUCGUCACCGGCGCGACACCUUGAUCUCCAUCGUAGCAUCGUUGUCGUCUCGCCAAUCUUAUGCUUCCACGACUAUCGCUACCGCUUAGUGAUAAAGUAAAGCAUUACAGCGCAAUUGCAUUGCAUACAAUAAAGCGACAACCAUAUGGCUCCUGCCAGUUGCUGAUAACUCGGUUACAAAACAUGAUCAUCUCAUACAAUAAAAUUUAGCAUCAUGUCUUGACCAUAUCACAUCACAACAUGCCCUGCAAAAACAAGUUAGACGUCCUCUACUUUGUUGUUGCAAGUUUUACGUGGCUGCUACGGGCUUAAGCAAGAACCAAUCUUACCUACGCAUCAAAACCAUAAUGAUAGUUUGUCAAGUUGGUGCUGUUUUAACCUUCGCAAGGACCGGGCGUAGCCACACUCGGUUCAACUAAAGUUGGAGAAACUGUCACCCGCUAGCCACCUUUGUGCAAAGCACGUCGGGAGAACCGGUCUCGCGUAAGCGUAUGCGUAAUGUCGGUCCGGGCCGCUUCGUCCAACAAUACCGCCGAACCAAAGUAUGACAUGCUGGUAAGCAGUAUGGCUUAUAUCGCCCACAACUCACUUGUGUUCUACUCGUGCAUAUAGCAUCAACACAUAAAACCUAGGCUCGGAUGCCACUGUUGGGGAACGUAGUAAUUUCAAAAAAAUUCCAACGCACACGCAAGAUCAUGAUGAUGCAUAGCAAAGAGAGGGGAGAGUGUGAUCUACGUACCCUUGUAGACCGACAGCGGAAGCGUUAGCACAACGCGGUUGAUGUAGUCAUACGUCUUCACGGCCCGACCGAUCAAGCACCGAAACUACGGCACCUCCGAGUUCUAGCACACGUUCAGCUUGAUGAUGAUCCCCGGACUCCGAUCCAGCAAAUUGUCGGGGAAAAGUUCCGUCAGCACGACAGCGUGGUGACGAUCUUGAUGUACUACCGUCACAGGGCUUCGCCUAAGCACCGCUACAAUAUUAUCGAGGACUAUGGUGGAAGGGGGCACCGCACACGGCUAAGAAUAUGAUCACGUGGAACAACUUGUGUGUCUAGGGGUGCUCCCUGCCUCCGUAUAUAAAGGAUCAAAGGGGGGGUGGGUGCGGCCGGCCAGGAGGAGGGCGCGCCAGGAGGAGUCCUACUCCCACCGGGAGUAGGAUUCCCCCCCUUUCCUAGUUGGAAUAGGAUUCGGGAGGGGGGAAAGAGGAGAGAGAAGGAAAGGGGGGCGCCGCCCCCAUCUCCUUGUCCUAUUCGGACUAGGGGGGAGGGGCGCGCGGCCCAGCCCUGGCCACCUCUCCUCUCUUCCACUAAAGCCCACUAAGGCCCAUAUACCUCCCGGGGGGUUCCGGUAACCUCCCGGUACUCCGGAAAAAUCCCGAUUUCACCCGGAACACUUCCGAUAUCCAAAUAUAGGCUUCCAAUAUAUCAAUCUUUAUGUCUCGACCAUUUCGAGACUCCUCGUCAUGUCCGUGAUCACAUCCGAGACUCCGAACCAACUUCGGUACAUCAAAAUGUAUAAACUCAUAAUAUAAUUGUCAUCGAAACCUUAAGCGUGCGGACCCUACGGGUUCGAGAACAAUGUAGACAUGACCGAGACACGUCUCCGGUCAAUAACCAAUAGGGGAACCUGGAUGCUCAUAUUGGCUCCUACAUAUUCUACGAAGAUCUUUUAUCGGUCAGACCGCAUAACAACAUACGUUGUUCCCUUUGUCAUCGGUAUGUUACUUGCCCGACGUUCGAUCGUCGGUAUCUCAAUACCUAGUUCAAUCUCGUUACCGGCAAGUCUCUUUACUCGUUCCGUAAUACAUCAUCUCACAACUAACUCAUUAGUUGCAAUGCUUGCAAGGCUUAUGUGAUGUGCAUUACCGAGAGGGCCCAGAGAUACCUCUCCGACAAUCGGAGUGACAAAUCCUAAUCUCGAAAUACGCCAACCCAACAAGUACCUUUGGAGACACCUGUAGAGCUCCUUUAUAAUCACCCAGUUACAUUGUGACGUUUGGUAGCACACAAAGUGUUCCUCCGGCAAACGGGAGUUGCAUAAUCUCAUAGUCAUAGGAACAUGUAUAAGUCAUGAAGAAAGCAAUAGCAACAUACUAAAUGAUCGGGUGCUAAGCUAAUGGAAUGGGUCAUGUCAAUCAGAUCAUUCACCUAAUGAUGUGAUCCCGUUAAUCAAAUAACAACUCUUUGUCCAUGGUUAGGAAACAUAACCAUCUUUGAUUAACGAGCUAGUCAAGUAGAGGCAUACUAGUGACACUCUGUUUGUCUAUGUAUUCACACAUGUAUUAUGUUUCCGUUUAAUACAAUUCUAGCAUGAAUAAUAAACAUUUAUCAUGAUAUAAGGAAAUAAAUAAUAACUUUAUUAUUGCCUCUAGGGCAUAUUUCCAUCAAUUCCUUCUCCCAGGAAGACCCGAUCAGACUCGGAAUCACGGUUACAAGACAUUUCAACAAUGGUAAAACAAGACCAGCAAGACCACCCGCCGUGCCGACAAAUCCCGAUAGGAGCUGCACAUAUCUCGUUCUCAGGGCACACCGGAUAAGCUAAUCGUACAGGAGCCGACGUAACCCAAGUUGCCAAGGGAUGGCCCUGCACGGUGCUCUAGUUUGGACCAACACUCAGAGGAGCACUGGCCCGGGGUUUAAAUAAAGAUGACCCUUGAGUGUGCAGAACCCAAGGGAAAAAGUCUUAGGUGGCAAAUGGUAAAACCAAGGUUGGACCUUGCUGGAGGAGUUUUAUUCAAGGCGAACUAUCAAGGGGGUCCCAUUAUAACCCAACCACGUAAGGAACACAAAAUCAAGGAACAUAACACCGGUAUGACAGAAACUAGGGCGGCAAGAGUGGAACAAAACACAAGGCAUAAGGCCGAGCCUUCCACCCUUUACCAAGUUUAUAGAUGCAUUAAAUAAAUAAGAGAUAUUGUGAUAUCCCAACAAAAUAUCCAUGUUCCCAACAAGGAACAAACUCCAUCUUCACCUGCAACUAGCAACGCUAUAAGAGGGGCUGAGCAAAGCGGUGACAUUGCCAAACAACGGUUUGCUAGGACAAGGUGGGUUAGAGGUUUGACAUGGCAAUAUGGGAGACAUGAUAAAGCAAGUGGUAGGUAUCGCAGCAUAGGCAUAGCAAUAGAGCGAGCAACUAGCAAGCAAAAAUAGAAGUGAUUUCGAGGGUAUGGUCAUCUUGCCUGAGAUCCCGCAAGGAAGACGAACGAGUCCAUGAAGAAGACAAAUGGACGAAGUCGAACGGAUCCUCACAAGCGCGACGUUAACGGAACUAACCCGAAGAAACAACACCGGAAAGAAGCAAACAAGAUAGUAAACAACCACCACAUAAACAUGGCAUGAUGCACAUGUUGGGGAACGCAGUAAUUUCAAAAUUUUCCUACGCACACGCAAGAUCAUGGUGAUGCAUAGAAAUGAGAGGGGAGAGUGUUGUCCAUGUACCCUCAUAGACCGAAAGAGGAAGCGUUAGCACAACGUGGUUGAUGUAGUCAUACGUCUUCACGAUCCGACCGAUCCAAGUACCGAACGCACGACACCUCCGAGUUCAGCACACGUUCAGCUCGAUGACAUCCCGCGAAUUCCGAUCCAGCAGAGCUUCACGGGAGAGUUCCGUCAGCACGACAGCGUGGUGACGGUGAUGAUGUUGCUACCGACGCAGGGCUUCGCCUAAGCACCGCUACGAUAUGACCGAGGUGGAAUAUGGUGGAGGGGGGCACCGCACACGGCUAGGAGAGAUCAACUGAUCAACUUGUGUGUCUAGAGGUGCCCCCUACCCCCGUAUAUAAAGGAGCAAGGGGGAGGCCGGCCGGCCCUCUAUGGGCGCGCCAGGAGGAGGAGUCCUCCUCCUAGUAGGAGUAGGACUCCCCUUUCCUACUCCUACUAGGAGGAGGAAAGGAAGGAGGAGAAGGAGAAGGAAGGAGAGGGAGGUAAAGGAGGAAAGGGGGGCCGGCCCCCUAGUCUAAUUCGGUUUGGGCUAGGGGGGCCGCGCGCCCUGCCUCCUCUCUUCCACCACUUGGCCCAUGAGGCCCAUUACUUCUUCUUCGUAUUCCCAUAACUCCCCGGUACCCCCGAAGAUACCCGAAUCACUCGGAACCUUUCCGAUGUCCGAAUAUAGUCGUCCAAUAUAUCGAUCUUUACGUCUCGACCAUUUCGAGACUCCUCGUCAUGUCCCCGAUCUCAUCCGGGACUCCGAACUACCUUUGGUACAUCAAAUCACAUAAACUCAUAAUACAAUCGUCACCGAAACUUUAAGCGUGCGGACCCUACGGGUUCGAGAACUAUGUAGACAUGACCGAGACAUGUCUCCGGCCAAUAACCAAUAGUGGAACCUGGAUGCUCAUGUUGGCUCCCACAUAUUCUAUGAAGAUCUUUAUCGGUCAAACCGCAUAACAACAUACGUUGUUCCCUUUAUCAUCGGUAUGUUACUUGCCCGAGAUUCGAUCGUCGGUAUCUCAAUACCUAGUUCAAUCUCGUUACCGGCAAGUCUCUUUACUCGUUUCGUAACAAAUCAUCCCACAACUAACUCAUUAGUUGCAAUGCUUGCAAGGCUUUAAGUGAUGUGCAUUACCGAGAGGGCCCAGAGAUACCUCUCCGACAAUCGGAGUGACAAAUCCUAAUCUCGAAAUACGCCAACCCAACAAGUACCUUUGGAGACACCUGUAGAGCACCUUUAUAAUCACCCAGUUACGUUGUGACGUUUGGUAGCACACAAAGUGUUCCUCUGGUAAACAGGAGUUGCAUAAUCUCAUAGUCAUAGGAACAUGUAUAAGUCAUGAAGAAAGCAAUAGAAACAAACUAAACGAUCAAGUGCUAUGCUAACGGAAUGGGUCAAAUCAAUCACAUCAUUCUCUAAUGAUGUGACCCCGUUAAUCAAAUGACAACUCAUGUCUAUGGCUAGGAAACUUAACCAUCUUUGAUUCAACGAGCUAGUCAAGUAGAGGCAUACUAGUGACACUCUGUUUGUCUAUGUAUUCACACAUGUAUUAUGUUUCCGGUUAAUACAAUUCUAGCAUAAAUAAUAAACAUUUAUCAUGAAAUAAGGAAAUAAAUAAUGACUUUAUUAUUGCCUCUAAGGCAUAUUUCCUUUCAGUCUCCCACUUGCACUAGAGUCAAUAAUCUAGUUCACAUCGCCAUGUGAUUUAACAUCAAUAGUUCACAUCACCAUGUGAUUAACACCCAUAGUUCACAUCGUCAUGUGACCAACACCCAAAGGGUUUACUAGAUUCAAUAAUCUAGUUCACAUCACUAUGUGAUUAACGCCCAAAGAGUACUAAGGUGUGAUCAUGUUUUGCUUGUGAGAGAAGUUUAGUCAACGGGUCUGCCACAUUCUAUGUCAACAAUGCUCUGCACUAAGCUACUCUAGCUAAUUGCUUCCACUUUCAAUAUGUAUCCAGAUUGAGACUUUGAGUCAUCUAGAUCAGUGUCAAAACUUGCAUCACCGUAACCUUUUACGACGAACCUUUUGUCACCUCCAUAAUCGAGAAACAUAUCCUUAUUCCACUAAGGAUAAUUUUGACCAAUGUCUAGUGAUCUACUCCUAGAUCACUAUUGUACUCCCUUGCCAAACUCAGGGCAGGGUAUACAAUAGGUCUGGUACAUAGCACGGCAUACUUUAUAGAACCUAUGGCUGAGGCAUAGGGAAUGACUUUCAUUUUCUCUCUAUCUUCUACCGUGGUCGAGUUUUGAGUCUUACUCAACUUCACACCUUGUAAUAUAGGCAAGAACUCCUUUUUGACUGUUCCAUUUUGAACUACUUCAAAAUCUUGUCAAGGUAUGUACUCAUUGAAAAACUUAUCAAGCGUCUUGAUCUAUCUCUAUAGAUCUUGAUGCUCAAUAUGUAAGCAGCUUCACCGAGGUCUUUCUUUGAAAAACUCCUUUCAAACAUUCCUUUAUGCUUUUGCAGAAUAAUUCUACAUUAUCUUCGAUCAACAAUAUGUCAUACACAUAUACUUUAUCAAAAAUGUUGUAGUGCUCCCACUCACUUUCUUGUAAAUACAGGCUUCGCCUUAUGUCUGUAUAAAACUAUAUGCUUUGAUCAACUUAUCAAAGCGUAUAUUCCAACUCCGAGAUGCUUGCACCAGUCCAUAGAUGGAUCGCUGGAGCUUGCAUAUUUUGUUAGUACCUUUAGGAUUGACAAAACCUUCUGGUUGCAUCAUAUACAACUCUUCUUUAAUAAAUCCAUUAAGGAAUGUAGUUUUGUUUAUCCAUUUGCCAGAUUUCAUAAAAUGCGGCAAUUGCUAACAUGAUUCGGGCAGACUUAAGCAUAGAUACGAGUGAGAAAUUCUCAUUGUAGUCAACACCUUGAACUUGUCGAAAACCUUUUUGCGACAAUUCUAGCUUUGUAGAUAGUAACACUACUAUCAGCAUCCGUCUUCCUCUUGAAGAUCCAUUUAAUCUCAAUGGCUUGCCGAUCAUUGGGCAAGUCAAUCAAAGUCCAUACUUUGUUCUCAUACAUGGAUCUCAUCUCAGAUUUCAUCGCCUCAAGCCAUUUCGUGGAAUCUGGGCUCAUCAUCGCUUCCUCAUAGUUCAUAGGCUCAUCAUGGUCAAGUAACAUGACCUCCAGAACAGGAUUACCGUACCACUCUGGUGCGGAUCUCACUCUGGUUUACCUACGAGGUUCGGUAGUAACUUGAUCUGAAGUUACAUGAUCAUCAUCAUUAGCUUCCUCACUAAUUGGUGUAGUAGUCACAGGAACAGAUUGAUGUGAUGAACUACUUUCCAAUAAGGGAGAAGGUACAAUUACCUUAUCAAGUUCCACUUUCCUCCCACUCACUUCUUUCAAGAGAAACUCCUUGUCUAGAAAGGAUCCAUUCUCAGCAAUGAAUAUCUUGCCUUCGGAUCUGUGAUAGAAGGUGUACCCAACAUUUUCUUUUGGGUAUCCUAUGAAGAUUUACUUCUCCGAUUUGGGUUUGAGCUUAUCAGGUUGAAACUUUUUCACAUAAGCAUUGCAACCUCAAACUUUAAGAAACGACAACUUAGGUUUCUUGCCAAACCAUAGUUCAUACGGUGUCGUCUUAACGGAUUUAGAUGGUGCCCUAUUUAACGUGAAUGUAGCUAUCUCUAAUGCAUAAACCCAAAACGAUAGUGGUAAAUCGGUAAGAGACAUCAUAGAUCACACCAUAUCUAAUAAAGUACGGUUACGAUGUUCGGACACACCAUUACACUGUGGUGUUCCAGGUGGCGUGAGUAGUGAAACUAUUUCACAUUGUUUUAACUGAAGGCCAAACUCGUAACUCAAAUAUUUUACUUCUACGAUCAUAUCGUAGAAAUUUUUAUUUUUGUUACGAUGAUUCUCCACUUCACUCUGAAAUUCUUUGAACUUUUCAAAUGUUUCAGACUUGUGUUUCAUUAAGUAGAUAUACCCAUAUAUGCUCAAAUCAUCUGUGAAGGUCAGAAAAUAAUGAUACUUGCCAUGAGCCUUAACAUUCAUCGGACCGCAUACAUCAGUUAUGUAUUAUUUCCAAUAAGUCAGUUGCUCGCUCCAUUGUUCCGGAGAACGGAGUCUUAGUCAUCUUGCUCAUGAGGCAUGGUUCGCAAGCAUCAAGUCAUUCCAAAAGUCCAUCAGUAUGGAGUUUCUUCAUGCGCUUUACACCAAUAUGACCUAAACGGCAAUGCCACAAAUAAGUUGCACUAUCAUUAUUAACUUUGCAUCUUUUGGCUUCAAUAUUAUGAAUAUGUGUAUCACUAUGAUCGAGAUCCAACGAACCAUUUUCAUUGGGUGUGUAACCAUAUAAUGUUUUAUUCAUGUAAACAGAACAACAAUUUAUUCUCUUACUUAAAUGAAUAACUGUAUUGCAAUAAACAUGAUCAAAUCAUAUUCAUGCUCAACGCAAACACCAAAUAACACUUAUUUAGGUUCAACACUAAUCCCGAAAGUAUAGGGAGUGUGCGAUGAUGAUCAUAUUAAUCUUGGAACCACUUCCAACACACAUCGUCACUUCACCCUUAACUAGUCUCUGUUCAUUCUGCAACUCCCGUUUCGAGUUACUACUCUUAGCAACUGAACCAGUAUCAAAUAUCGAGGGGUUGCUAUGAACACUAGUAAAAUACACAUCAAUAAUCUGUAUAUCAAAUAUACCUUUGUUCACUUUGCCAUCCUUCUUAUCCGCCAAAUACUUGGGGCAGAUCCGCUUCUAGUGACCAGUCCCUUUGCAGUAGAAGCACUCAGUCUCAGGCUUAGGCCCAGACUUGGGCUUCUUCACUUGAGCAGCAACUUGCUUGCUGUUCUUCUUGAAGUUCCCUUUCUUCCCUUUGCCCUUUUUGAAACUAGUGGUCUUUGUCAACCAUCAACACUUGAUGCUUUUCUUGAUUUCUACCUUCGUCGAUUUCAGCAUCACGAAGAGCUUGGGAAUUACUUUUGUCAUCCCUUGCAUAUUAUAGUUCAUCACUAAGUUCUAGUAACUCGGUGAUAGUGACUAGAGAACUUUGUCAAUUACUCUCUUAUCUGGAAGAUUAACUCCCACUUGAUUCAAGCAAUUGUAGUACUCAGACAAUCUGAGCACAUGCUCAUCGGUUGAGCUAUUCUCCUCCAUCUUGUAGGCAAAGUACUAUCAGAGGUCUCAUACCUCUCGACACGGGCAUGUGUAUGAAAUACCAAUUUCAACUCUUGGAACAUCUUAUAUGCUCCAUGGCGUUCAAAAUGUCUUUGAAGCCCCGAUUCUAAGCCGUUAAGCAUGGUGCACUAAACUAUCAAGUAGUCAUCAUAUUGAGUUAGCCAAACGUUCAUAACGUCUGCAUCUGCUCCUGCAAUAGGUCAGUCACCUAGCGGUGCAUCAAGGACAUAAUUCUUCUGUGCAGCAAUGAGGAUAAACCUCAGAUCAUGGAUCCAAUCCGCAUCCUUGCUACUAACAUCUUUCAACUUAGUUUUCUCUGGGAACAUAUAAAAAAUAAAACAAGGGAUCUAAACGCGAGCUUUUGAUCUACAGCAUAGAUAUGCUAAUACUACCAGGACUAAGUUCAUGAUAAAUUUAAGUUCAAUUAAUCAUAUUACUUAAGAACUCCCACUUAGAAACACAUCCCUCUAAUCUUCUAAGUGAUCACGUGAUCCAAAUCAACUAAACCAUGACCGAUCAUCACGUGAAAUGGAGUAGUUUUUAAUGGUGAACAUCACUAUGUUGAUCAUAUCUACUAUAUGAUUCACGCUCGACCUUUCGGUCUCAGUGUUCCGAGGCCAUAUCUGCAUAUGCUAGGCUCGUCAAGUUUAACCUGAGUAUUCUGCGUGUGCAAAACUGGUUUGCACCCGUUGUAGAUGGACGUAGAGCUUAUCACACCCGAUCAUCACGUGGUGUCUGGGCACGACAAACUUUGGCAACGGUGCAUACUCAGGGAGAACACUUUUUAUCUUAAAUUUAGUGAGAGAUCAUCUUAUAAAGCUACCGUCGAACUAAGCAAAAUAAGAUGCAUAAAAGAUAAACAUCACAUGCAAUCAAAAUAUGUGACAUGAUAUGGCCAUCAUCAUCUUGUGCCUUUGAUCUCCAUCUCCAAAGCAUCGUCAUGAUUUCCAUCGUCACCGGCAUGACACCAUGAUCUCCAUCAUCUUGAUCUAUAUCAAUGUGUCGUCACAUGGUCGUCUCGCCAACUAUUGCUCUUGCAACUAUUGCUAUCGCAUAGCGAUAAAGUAAAGCAAUUAUUUGGCGCUUGCAUCUUAUGCAAUAGAGAGAUAACCAUAAGGCUUUUGCCAGUUGCCGAUAACUUCAACAAAACAUGAUCAUCUCAUACAACAACUUAUAUCUCAUCACGUCUUGACCAUAUCACAUCACAACAUGCCCUGCAAAAACAAUUUAGACGUCCUCUACUUUGUUGUUGCAAGUUUUACGUGGCUGCUACGGGCUGAGCAAGAACCGUUCUUACCUACGCAUCAAAACCACAACGAUAGUUUGUCAAGUUGGUGCUGUUUUAACCUUCGCAAGGACCGGGCGUAGCCACACUCGGUUCAACUAAAGUUGGAGAAACUGAUACCCGCUAGUCACCUGUGUGCAUAGCACGACGGUAAAACCAGUCUCACGUAAGUGUACGCGUAAUGUUAGUCCGGGCCGCUUCAUCCAACAAUACCGCUGAACCAAAGUGUGACAUGCUGGUAAGCAGUAUGACUUAUAUCGCACACAACUCACUUGUGUUCUACUCGUACAUAUUACAUCAACGCAUAAAACCUGGCUCGGAUGCCACUGUUGGGGAACGUAGUAAUUUCAAAAUUUUCCUACGCACACGCAAGAUCAUGGUGAUGCAUAGCAAUGAGAGGGGAGAGUGUUGUCCACGUACCCUCGUAGAUCGAAAGCGGAAGCGUUAGCACAAUGUGGUUGAUGUAGUCGUACGUGUUCACGAUCCGACCGAUCCAAGUACCGUACGCACGACACCUUCGAGUUCAGCACACGUUCAGCUCGAUGACGUCCCGCGAACUCCGAUCCAGCAGAGCGUCACAGGAGAGUUCUAUCAGCAUGACGGCGUGGUGACGGUGAUGAUGUUGCUACCGACGUAGGGCUUCGCCUAAACACCGCUACGAUAUGAUCGAUGUGGAAUAUGGUGGAGGGGGGCACCGCACACGGCAGGGAGAGAUCGAUUGAUCAACUUGUGUGUCUAGAGGUGCCCCUGCCCCCGUAUAUAAAGGAGCAAGGGGGAAGGCUGGCCGGCCCUCUAUGGGCGCGCCAGGAGGAGGAGGAGUCCUCCUAGUAGGAGUAGGACUCCCCUUUCCUACUCCUACUAGGAGGAGGAAAGGAAGGAGUAGAAGGAGAAGGAAGGAGAGGGAGGAAAAGGAGGAAAGGGGGGGGGGCGACCCCCAAGUCCUGCUCGGUUUGGGCUAGGGGGGCGCACGCCCUGCCUCCUCUCUUCCACCACUUGGCCCAUGAGGCCCAUUAUUUCUUCCUAGUAUUCCCGUAACUCCCCGGUACCCCCGAAAAUACCCGAAUCACUCGGAACCUUUCCGAUGUCCGAAUAUAGUCGUCCAAUAUAUCGAUCUUUACGUCUCGACGAUUUCAAGACUCCUCGUCAUGUCCCCGAUCUCAUCCGGGACUCCGAACUACCUUCGGUACAUCAAAUCACAUAAACUCAUAAUACAAUCGUCACCGAAUCUUUAAGCGUGCGGACCCUACGGGUUCGAGAACUAUGUAGACAUGAUCGAGACACGUCUCCGGCCAAUAACCAAUAGCGAAACCUGGAUGCUCAUAUUGGCUCCCACAUAUUCUACGAAGAUCUUUAUCGGUCAAACCGCAUAACAACAUACGUUGUUCCCUUUGUCAUCGGUAUGUUACUUGCCCGAGAUUCGAUCGUCGGUAUCUCAAUACCUAGUUCAAUCUCGUUACCGGCAAGUCUCUUUACUCGUUCCGUAAUACAUCAUCCCGCAACUAACUCAUUAGUUGCAAUGCAUGCAAGGCUUUAAGUGAUGUGCAUUACCGAGAGGGCCCAGCGAUACCUCUCCGACAAUCGGAGUGACAAAUCCUAAUCUCGAAAUACUCCAACCCAACAAGUACCUUUGGAGACACCUGUAGAGAACCUUUAUAAUCACCCAGUUACGUUGUGACGUUUGGUAGCACACAAAGUGUUCCUCCGGUAAACGGGAGUUGCAUAAUCUCAUAGUCAUAGGAACAUGUAUAAGUCAUGAAGAAAGCAAUAGCAACAAACUAAACGAUCAAGUGCUAUGCUAACGGAAUGGGUCAAAUCAAUCACAUCAUUCUCUAAUGAUGUGACACCGUUAAUCAAAUGACAACUCAUGUCUAUGGCUAGGAAACUUAACCAUCUUUGAUUCAACGAGCUAGUCAAGUAGACGCAUAGUAGUGACACUCUGCUUGUCUAUGUAUUCACACAUGUAUUAUGUUUCCGGUUAAUACAAUUCUAGCAUGAAUAAUAAACAUUUAUCAUGAAAUAAGGAAAUAAAUAAUAACUUUAUUAUUGCCUCUAGGGCAUAUUUCCUUUCAGCACAAUCAAGUAUGAUGCAUGUCCGGUUUAAAUAUGCAUGGCAUGGCAAAGUGCACAAACAAAACUACAAGUUAAGUGGAGCCCAAUAUGCCACGGGUUGCAUAUUGACGGAACACCACAUCAAUUAUUUAGUUCACUCCCGGUUAUGUACUCAACAAUAUUAAAUGUUGAUUAACAUGACAAGAGGAGAAGCAUAACAAAACUACACCAUCUAAACAAUUUAAAUGGGGCCAGAUAUAACAAACAACAAAUCCGGUAAAUCCCCAUAUGCAUUUAGCAAAUUGGUGCAACAACAAAGUUAAACAUUUAAAUGUUAUUAUCAUGAUGUGGAUGACAUGAACAAGUUUAUGCAAUGUUUAUUAAAAGUUGACAAGAGCAUGAUAUGAAGCAUUUUGUCAUCGUGGCGGAAACGAAAGGGGUGCCACGACAACGAAUCCAAAAAUGAUGCCACGACAACAUAUCGUUUCCGGUAUCUUAUGGAGAUACCGGUACAAAAGGAAAAGUGACGGGAGCGUGACAUGCGAUAGAAGGUGGGGUGAUCCCGGUAACCGGGUUCCCACGGGUCGACGACGGUGACAAGGCAAAAGAGGGGCAACAUGCACCGACAAUUCGAGCAUGAAGCAAGAACGAGCAUCUCAUACAUCAGAAGCAUUCGUUCCUGGGCGGUCGUCUCGGGGUUAUACCUUCGAAGCGUGCGUUAUCGAAGCGGUUCGAGUCAAGCGGUGUAGUCGUUCACGAUCUUCGUGGGAAGUAGUGGUACUCGGCGAUGGUAGAGGAAGUAGUUGUUCAUGGUUCGUUGUGGGAAGUAGUCGUUCUCGUGGCGACGGUAGUCGUUCACGUUCUUAGUCUCACAAGUCUCUGUAGAUGUUCACGGGCACGACGAGAAACUUGACGUCCACGGAGUCUUCGAGGGUCGACGGUAGUGGUACUUGGCAAAAUGCACGUCGACGGUAGUUGUUCUUGUAUCGUCAUGGUACUUGGCGAUUUCGGAGACGGCGGAAGACGAACUUGGCGGUCCUCGUUGACCUAGUACUUGGCGUGUCCAAAACGUAGCAGCACAAAUGUCUCGGUCGGAAGCACUCGUUCGGGCGUCGUUGGUCUUGCGGGUCGUGGUACUUGGUGGUCUUUCCUGUUCGGUGGUCUUCCUUGGCGGUUCAGGGUGCGGUGCAGGGACUUGGCGCGAUGCAGGGGCGACGGCCACGGGACUUGCAGCGGCAUCGGCGGGAACUUGGCGCAGCGGCAUGGGCGCGAUGCAGGGCUAUAGGCCGACGCUGCUGGCGACCUGGGGACGCCGGGACCCAAAGCAGAGGAGCGGGUGCUUCUCCGGCGACGCAUCGGUGCAGAGAACGGAAGGAGAAGCACGGGCAGGAGGUGAAGCGGGUCGUCCUCCUCGUCCUAGACAUGACGAGGCAGGGGAGGUCUUGCCGCUGGGCUCCAGCGAAGCAGGGCGCUGAUGAGGAGGCAAAUAUGGCGCUGCAGUGACCUGGUGGUCUUGGACAGCGGCAACGCACAGGAGAAGGAGGAGGGCAACAGCGGGUAACGGCGACCAUGGCCUCAGCAGCAGGGGGCGGCCAUGGCGGGGCUUGGCUGCUCAUGAAGGAUGGCGAGCGCCGGUGCUCCUGCUCUGCUGUUGCGGGCAUGGGAACAAGGAGGUGGAGCUCGCGCGCUGUGGCCCGAGAGAGAGAGAGAGAGAGGCUGCAGGGGAGAGGUGAGCAGUGCGCGAGAUCCAGAGGAGAGGGAGGUCGGGGCCUGGAGGGAUCGAGGGAGAGAAGUGGGAUCGAGGGAGAUGGGGGAGUCGGGCUCCCUGGCAGCGCGAGGGGAGAGGAGAGGGAGGAGGGGAGCGGGAGAGAGAGGUAGCGAUCGGCUAGGGUUAGAGCAGUUAGAUGGGUCGGUGCUAGAUGGGCCUAUAGGCCGGCUGGAGUAGGGAGGCCCAAGUGGGUUGUGGUACUGCGCGGAGAGAAACUGGGCCUCAACUAGAACUCUCCUCCUUUGUUGUCUCUACUUAUCCGUUUAUAAGAAAAAAAUAGAACUUGCAUAAAUGCACAAAGAGGUAGCAAAGUAAUUAGGGAGAGACAAAAAUAGUUCUGGAGUCCUUGGAAUAUGGUCAAUUAAAGAAAAGUGGUGUGAGGAAUUUUAUAGACCAUAAAUUUAAACAGGUUCGAAUUUAAUCCAAACAUGCCUGAAUUUAUAACCUAACCAAACCGAACCCAAAUGGGCUUAAAUUUUAUAGGAUGGCCCUACAUAAUAGAUAUGAUUUAUGGGCACAAGAUGAACAUUAAUGGAUAAAGUAAAAUUGCAACUCAGUUGCAAUUUAACUUAAAAGGUCAAAACGGAAGGGUAGGAGGAUGAGUCGGGUGAGGAAAGAGUUGAAGUGUAGUGCAAUUGUGUUAUGGGUGAUUCCAAGUUAAUGGAAUAUUUUAAUAUAGAUCCCUAAAUAUUAGGAGGAUAUGUUAUAAAGAGAAUCACCAUGUGAAUUCCCUCGGUUUAAAUGGAUUAGAAAUCCAUGCAAUUUAUUUAGUUGAGUUUUAAAACGGGUUUAAUGAUGACAUGAUGCAAUGCACAUGAUACAAGGAUGAAUGCAACGAACCAAACAAAACACACGACGAAUCUCAGAAAACAAGGAAGGCAUCUGGAGCGCCGGUCUCGGGGCGUCACAACACUCCACCACUACGAGAGGAUCUCGUCCCGAGAACUAGGAUGGCACCGGAGAGAAAACGGAAGAGGAAGAGGAGAGGUAAACUAAGUUGCUUCUUUGUACAAACGAGUGAAGCCAAAGAACCUUGCGAGCUUGAACAAAUUUAAAAAAGGAAUACAACGAAGCUGAACAAAGUUGAAAACACUCCAUUAGGAAGGAGGAACAAGGAACAUUACUAGAACCUUGUAGGUUGAAAGACAUAAGAAAAGGGUUGCAAUGGACAAGAACUACAUGCAAGCACUCCGGUAGAAACGAGAUGUACAAGGAACGAUAAGGAUCAAUUACGACAACACUCCGGUUAAACAAGAUAGAGAAGGAAUAAGAAUGAUAUAAAUUGGACAGCACUCCGACUGUAAAUGAAAGGAAUUGAACAUGAUCUUGACAAAACAAGAUGAUGGGUCGAAGAGAGCAACAUCACAAUGUCUCCGGAAGAAAGAAAGAAUGGAAUGGAAUGAACGGAGGGAAACAAGAUCUUGGGAGAGCAAGCUUACAACAAAUGCUAGAACAGAGUUGUUGGAUUAUCAACAACGAAAAAAGAUAAGCUUAAUAUGGGUUUAUUGAAUACAUCUCAAAAUUAUUAGGUGAAGUUCUACCACUAACGAAAAUAAUAGAUUUGGGUUGAUAUGAACAAGGGGACGAGAAAACUAUUUCACCGGGAGGAUAGAUGAAGAACUUGGGUCAUUUAUUAGCACCCUAAAUAGCAACAAUCCUUAGGGAAGGCUUUAGGUGAAAUAUAACCCACGAUAAACUUCAAUGAAGAGAUUGAUGGGUAGAUAAGAGCUUAUGCUCGAAGAAAUAGAUGGGUUUAACUACCUCAUUCUUGACAACUGAUGAGACAUGACACACGAAGGGAUAUUGUCAAGAAUGACAUAACACCAUCCCAAAAGAUGAGAUAUGAAAGAAUUGCACUUCAGAAUGCAAGAUGAAGAAUGCAUGAGCUCCUCUGAAAAGAAUCUCGAUGAACACUUCGAAAAGGAAUUAAAUCCUUGAUGAGCCAUCAUGUAUAGCCUCCAUGAAGAACUCCGGUAAUAAAGAAUGAUCAAACGAAAGGACAAAAUUGAAAAGAACUCCGGGAGAAGCCUUGCAAUGAUUAGACGAAGCUUCACGAUGACAUAAUUGAGAGAGCUUGGAACUCCGGGAAAGAAAAGAUGACACAAUUGAAAACCGAGAACUUGAUGAGCCUCCAGAAUACAGAAUUGAAUUUAACUCGAUGAAACAAGAAUAAGAAUUACAUUAUGCUUAUCCUUCAUCAAUUAAAUUGAUGGCACACAAUGGAUUUGGCAUACUACUUAUUCUCAUAGAAAGGAUUAAGAUAGAUAUAGCGUCAACUUGGAAAGGUCUUCUAUGAACCGCCGGUAGGAUUGGAAAGAACGAAUGAAUUGAUAUACUAAACAAGGAAGAGAACUCCUGAAUGGACCACCGUAAGAAUUGAAAAUGAAAGAAGAAAAGAUAACGAAACACCGGGAAGAAUUAGAGAACGAAUUAAGAUACUUGAGGGAAUUUAGAUACAUGAGAACGAAGAGAUCACGAGCUGAAAAGAGGAUAUUUGAAUGAAGCACCAGUAAGUUUGAAGAACGAGAGCUGAGAGCUGAGAAUGAAUAAUUCUAAGAUGAUGGGGUUCAGAGAAUCCCACUGAAAAGACUCCUGAAAUGCUCCGGAUGGGUGCCAAUAAUUCUCACAAUCAAAAACAAUUAUGAGAGGAUGGCAUCAAGCUAGAAUCACGAAUCUUUGAAGAGAAUGGAGCAAGAUUGAGAGAAAAAUCUUCUUCGGUCUUCAAAAAUUCUGGAAUGACGACGAGAGCACCACCAAGAAUUGUUGAGAUACUCCGGGAUGAAUAUUAGAAAGGUUGAACCGAUGAUGAAAAUAAUUUGAAAGAUCUUGGAGAAAGACAUUUUUCUGAUGAUAACUCAUUCUUACGACAAACUUGAAAAAGAAUUUGAGAAGCUCCGGGAAAAUUAGGAGAGUCAGGUAAGAUCCCGGGAAAAGACCUGUGGGUUAGGGCCCACUCAAAAAAACACCGUAGAAAGAUUACUUGAAUAGAGAGAUUCCACCGGUUGAAUCAAAUGGCUUGAAUGAGAUAACAACCUCGAGAUAGGUUUGAACGGAUCUUGAAUGAAAAGACGAGCCUUCUGAGAUAUCUUCAGCACUCCAGAACAAUUGAAUAAUGAGAAGUGGAUUAUUAAGAAGUGCACCGGCAUGGGAAAGCAUUUGAAAUGAGGAAAAGGAUGUGAUCAACAAAGCUUGAAUUCAAUUCACCGCAGAAGAAAAAAAACGAAGAAUGAUGAACUUGAAGCUCCGUUAGCAUCUUCGUGAGAAUCACCGGAUAAGAACAUUGGCGGAAAGAAAGGGAUGGAGAGGGUUCCCAUCAAUAAAAGGAUACUUGAAUAAGAAAUAUGAGGCCUUGAAGAAAAAGGGUGGGAGGGCGGGAAAAACAAAGGCAGCCUGGGACGAAUGAAAUGAGCACCGUUGAUAAACUUAGAAUUGAUCUUGCGGAUGUUGAAAUGAUCGGAUCCACUUGAAGAGAAACACGCCGAUUGACAAGUAUUGACCUGACAAUCUCGAUUAUCGUGAAGGAUUAGUAUUCACAUAGGAGUAUGAGAACACCGCUUAGGAAAGGUAUGGAAUCAACAGUUGACUUCGAAGCAACUCGAAUACCACAAUUCAAAACAAAACAAAGGAUUGGCUUGCAGAAAAAAAGCCGGAACAAACAUAUGAUAGAGAUUUCAUUCGAAGUUUUCGUGGUGGGGCCCACACGGGCUCGAUCGUACAACACCGUCAUGUACAAGGCAGUGCACAUGACAUACGAAGUGUCCCCGAUUCAGCAUAGCCAAGGACUCUUUAAGACACAACGAGACCACUUAAAACCAACCGUGGAUAGGCGGACCACUAGACGUCGAACCCCAAUUUCAUAUCAUACAUCUGUCGAAAAGAUAUCCUAGGAGCUACUUAAAUUCCCACUUAUAAACUCCCGAAAUUUUCUUGUUAUGCAAUCAGGUGUUGGGGAUACAGGGGAAGCAUAAUAUCUCACCCAAAACAAGCAAAUCCUACAUCCAGCUGUAUCCAUCCUUCAACAUAUAACCAAGAAACCUUCGGAAAUCAUUUACCUCAACCUUCGAAAAGCACCUGUUAUACGAGUUAUGGCAAUACUCCCAAACUCCCGCCCCAGUACUGGGUGGCGUCGAGGUUAUCUCACCAACAACUGCAUAAAAAAGAUUUUUGAUGUCGUCGAGCUCAGGUAUUCUAGAACUCCAACGAUAAAAUUGUGAUGACAACACCUCGGAGCUCAACUCCCCGGGACACUGCCACAACCCCUAAAUGUCAGGAGGCACCAAGAUCAAUGUUCUCGUCACAAAACAAUCGGAACAAUUCCAAGAUACCUGCGUGAUCCUAAAAAAAAUUUCAUGAAAUUUGAGGAGAGAAGAGUCAAAAUUCUACUUCAGGAGGCCUCACCAGAGCGACGAAGGGACUAAGGAGUAAAAAGAAUCCUACUCCGAUAUAUAUAAUCCUAAUAGACUCAAAACAUUUUUCUAGACUCAACAACACCAGCGAUUCGAUCAAGCAGGGGGCUCCUAAGUCGGGGAAGGCUCUGAUUACCAACUUGUAACGCCCACGAUGCGGCUAUAUCUCCCAUGUGUCGAAGCACGACUUAGAGGCAUAACCGCAUUGUAAGCAAUGUCACAGGAGAGGUAAUCUUCACACAACCCAUGUAAUGAAUAAGGAAAAGAGGUACAUAGUUGGCUUACACUCACCACAUCACACAAUACAUGAGUAAAGCAUUACAUCAAACAGAUACAAUCAAGGUCCGACUACGGAACCAAAAUAAAAGAAGACUACCCCUAAUGCUACAGAUCCCCGAUCGCCCCGACUGGGCUCUACUACUGACCAACUGGAAACGGAAACAACAUAACAGACAUGGUCUUCAACGAGCUCCUCCUUGAGCGCGGUUGCAUCACCUGCAUGGUUUCAUCGGCACCUGCAAACUGGUUUUGGAAGUAAUCUGUGAGUCACGGGGACUCAGCAAUCUCACACCCUCGCGAUCAAGACUAUUUAAGCUUAUGGGUAGGUAAAAAGUAUGUGAGGUGGAGCUGCAACAAGCACUAGCAUAUAUGGUGGCUAACAUACGCAAAAGAGAGCGAGAAGAGAAGGCAAAGCACGUUCAAGAAUCUAUGAUCAAGAAGUGAUCCAAGACUACUUACGUUCAAGCAUAACUCCAACAUCGUGUUCACUUCCCGGACUCCACCGAGAAGAGACCAUCACGGCUACACACGCGGUUGAUCCAUUUUAAUUAAGUUAAGUUUCAGGUUCUCUACAACCGGACAUUAACAAAUUCCCAUUCGCCCAUAACCGCGGGCACAGCUUUCGAAAGUUCAUAACCCUACAGGGGUGUCCCAACUUAGCCCAUCACAAGCUCUCACGGUCAACGAAGGAUAUUCCUUCUCCCAGGAAGACCCGAUCAGACUCGGAAUACCGGUUACAAGACAUUUCGACAAUGGCAAAACAAGACCAGCAAGACCACCCGUUGUGCCGAAAAAUCCCGAUAGGAGCUGCACAUAUCUCGUUCUCAGGGCACACCGGAUAAGCUAAGCGUACAGGAGCCGACGUAACCCAAGUUGCCAAGGGAUGGCCCUGCAUGGUGCUCUAGUUUGGACCAACACUCAUAGGAGCACUUGCCAGGGGGUUUAAAUAAAGAUGACCCUUGAGUCUGCAGAACCCAAGGGAAAAAGGCUUAGGUGGCAAAUGGUAAAACCAAGGUUGGGCCUUGCUGGAGGAGUUUUAUUCAAGGAGAACUAUCAAGGGGUUCCCAUUAUAACCCAACCGCGUAAGGAACACAAAAUCAAGGAACAUAACACCGGUAUGACGGAAACUAGGGCGGCAAGAGUGGAACAAAACACCAUGCAUAAGGCCGAGCCUUGCACCCUUUACCAAGUGUAUAGAUGCAUUAAAUAAAUAAGAGAUAUUGUGAUAUCCCAACAAAAUAUCCAUGUUCCCAACAAGGAACAAACUCCACCUUCACCUGCAACUAGCAACGCUAUAAGAGGGGCUGAGCAAAGCGGUAACAUAGCCAAACAACGGUUUGCUAGGACAAGGUGGGUUAGAGGUUUGACAUGGCAAUAUGGGAGGCAUGAUAAAGCAAGUUGUAGGUAUCGCAGCAUAGGCAUAGCAAUAGAGCGAGAAACUAGCAAGCAAAGAUAGAAGUGAUUUCGAGGGUAUGGUCAUCUUGCCUGAGAUCCUGCAAGGAAUAAGAACGAGUCCAUGAAGAAGACAAACGGACGAAGUCAAACGAAUCCUCACAAGCGCGACGUUAAUGGAACUAACCCAAAGAAGCAACACCGGAAAAAAGCAAACAACAUAGUAAACAACCACCAUAUAAACAUGGCAUGAUGCACAAUCAAGUAUGAUGCAUGUCCGGUUUAAAUAUGCAUGGCAUGGCAAAAGUGCACAAACAAAACUACAAGUUAAGUGGAGCCCAAUAUGCAACGGGUUGCAUAUUGACGGAACACCACAUCAAUUAUUUAGUUCACUCCCGGUUAUGUACUCAACAAUAUUAAAUGUUGAUUAACAUGACAAGAGGAGAAGCAUAACAAAACUACACCAUCUAAACAAUUUAAAUGGGGCCGGAUAUAACAAACAACAAAUCCGGUAAAUCCCCAUAUGCAUUUAGCAAAUUGGUGCAACAACAAAGUUAAACAUUUAAAUGUUAUUAUCAUGAUGCGGAUGACAUGAACAAGUUUAUGCAAUAUUUAUUAAAAGUUGACAAGAGCAUGAUAUGAAGCAUUUUGUCAUCAUGGCGGAAACGAAAGGGGUGCCACGACAACGAAUCCGAAAAUGAUGCCACGGCAACAUAUCAUUUCCGGUAUCUUAUGGAGAUACCGGUACAAAAGGAAAAGUGACGGGAGCGUGACAUGCGAUAGAAGGUGGGGUGAUCCCGGUAACCGGGUUCCCACGGGUCGACGACGGUGACAAGGCAAAAGAGGGGCAACGUGCACCGACAAUUCGAGCACAGAGCAAGCACGAGCAUCUCAUACAUCACAAGCAUUCAUUCCCGGGCGGUCGUCUCAGGGUUAUACCUUCGAAGCGUGCGUUAUUGGAGCGGUUCGGGUCAAGCGGUGUAGUCGUUCACGAUCGUCGUGGGAAGUAGUGGUACUCGGCGAUGGUAGAGGAAGUAGUUGUUCACGGUUCAUUGUGGGAAGUAGUCGUUCUCGUGGCGACGGUAGUCGUUCACGUUCUUAGUCUCACAAGUCUCCGUAGAUGUUCAGGGGCACGGCGAGAAACUUGACGUCCACGGAGUCUUCGAGGGUCAACGGUAGUGGUGCUUGGCAAAAUGCACGUCGACGGUAGUUGUUCUCGUAUCGUCAUGGUACUUGGCGAUUUCGGAGACGGCGGAAGACGAACUUGGCGGUCCUCGUUGACCUAGUACUUGGCGUGUCCAAAACAUAGCAGCACAAAUGUCUCGGUCGGAAGCACUCGUUCGGGCGUCGUUGGUCUUGCGGGUCGUGGUACUUGGCGGUCUUUCCUGUUCAGUGGUCUUCCUUGGCGGUUCAGGGCGCGGUGCAGGGACUUGGCGUGAUGGAGGGGCGACGGCCACGGGACUUGCAGCGGCAUCGGCGGGAACUUGGCGCGGCGGCAUGGGCGCGAUGCAGGGCUAUAGGCCGACGCUGCUGGCUACCUGGGGACGCCGGGACCCAAAGCAGAGGAGCGGGUGCUUCUCCGGCGACGCAUCGGUGCAGAGAACGGAAGGAGAAGCACGGGCAGGAGGUGAAGCGGGUCGUCCUCCUCGUCCUAGACAUGACGAGGCAGGGAAGGUCUUGGCGCUGGGCUCCAGCGAAGUAGGGCGCUGACGAGGAGGCAAAUAUGGCGCUGCAGUGACCUGGUGGUCUUAGACGGCGGCAACGCACAGGAGAACGGGGAGGGCAGCAGCGGGCAAUGGCGACCAUGGCCUCAGCAGCAGGGGCCGCGGCCAUGGCGGGCUUGGCUACUCGUGAAGGACGGCGAGCGCCGGUGCUCCUGCUCUGCUGUUGCGGGCAUGGGAACGAGGAGGUGGAGCUCGAGCGCCGUGGCCCGAGAGAGAGAGAGAGAGACUGCAGGGGAGAGGUGAGCAGCGCGCGAGAUCGAGAGGAGAGGGAGGUCGGGGCCUGGAGGGAUCAAGGGAGAGAAGUGGGAUCGAGGGAGAUGGGGGAGUCGGGCUCCCUGGCGGCGCGAGGGGAGAGGAGAGGGAGGAGGGGAUCGGGAGAGAGAGGUAGCGAUCGGCUAGGGUUAGAGCAGUUAGGUGGGUCGAUGCUGGAUGGGCCUAUAUAGGCCGGCUAGAGUGGGGAGGCCCAAGUGGGUUGUGGUACUGCGCGGAGAGAAACUGGGCCUCAGCUAGAGCUCUCCUCCUCUGUUGUCUCUACUUAUCCGUUUAUAAGAAAAAAAUAGAACUUGCAUAAAUGCACAAAGAGGUAGCAAAGUAAUUAGGGAGAGACAAAAAUAGUUCUGGAGUCCUUGGAAUAUGGUCAAUUAAAGAAAAGUGGUAUGAGGACUUUUACAAACCAUAAAUUUAAACAUGUUCGAAUUUAAUCCAAACAUGCCUGAAUUUAUAACCUAACCAAACUGAACCCAAAUGGGCUUAAAUUUUAUAGGAUGGCCCUACAUAAUAAAUAUGAUUUAUGGGCACAAGAUGAACAUUAAUGGAGAAAGUAAAAUUGCAACUCAAUUGCAAUUUAACUUAAAAGGUCAAAACGGAAGGGUAGGAGGAUGAAUCGGGUAAGGAAAGAGUUGAAGUGUAGUGCAAUUGUGUUAUGGGUGAUUCCAAGUUAAUGGAAUAUUUUAAUAUAGCUCCCUAAAUAUUAGGAGGAUAUGUUAUAAAGAGAAUCACCAUGUGAAUUCCCUCGGUUUAAAUGGAUCAGAAAUCCAUGCAAUUUAUUUAGUUUAGUUUUAAAACGGGUUUCAUGAUGACAUGAUGCAAUGCACAUGAUGCAAGGAUGAAUGCAACGAACCAAACAAAACACACGACGAAUCUCGGAAAACAAGCAAGACAUCUGAAGCGCCGGUCUCGGGGCGUCACACUCCCUUCUCCUCUUUCCUUCCCCUUUAUUUUCGCCUACAUGGGGCGCCCCGGCCCCUUAGGGGCUGGUCUGCCCCCCUCUUGGCCCAUCAAGGCCCAUGUAGUUGUCAGGGGGAUGCCCGGAACCCCUUCCGGUGACCCGAUAUGCACCCGGUACCCCAGAACACUUCCGGUGUCCGAAUACCAUCGUCCAGUAUAUGAAUAUAUAACUCUCGACCAUUUUGAGACUCCUCGUCAUGUCCGUAAUCUCAUCCGGGACUCCGAACAACAUUCGGUCACCAAAUCACAUAACUCAUAUAAUACAAAAUCGUCAUCGAACUUUAAGCGUGCGGAUCCUACGGGUCCGAGAACUAUGUAGACAUGACCGAGACACCUCUCCGGUCAAUAACCAACAACGAACCUGGAUGCUCAUAUUGGUUCCUACAUAUUCUACGAAGAUCUUUAUCGGUCAUACCGUAAUGACAACAUACUUUAUUCCCUUUAUCAUUGGUAUGUUACUUGCCCGAGAUUCGAUCGUUGGUAUCUUCAUACCUAGUUCAAUCUCGUUACCGGCAAGUCUCUUUACUCGUCCCGUAAUACAUCAUGCCAUAACUAACUCAUUAGGCACAUUGCUUGCAAGGCUUAUCAUGAUGUGUAUUACCGAGAGGGCCCAGAGAUACCUCUCCGAUACUCGGAGUGACAAAUCCUAAUCUCGGUCUAUGCCAACCCAACAAACACCUUUGGAGAUACCUGUAGAGCAUCUUUAUAAUCACCCAGUUACGUUGUGACGUUUGAUAGCACACAAGGUAUUCCUCCGGUAUCUGGGAGUUGCAUAAUCUCAUAGUCAAAUGAAUAUGCAUAUGACAUGAAGAAAGCAAUAGCAAUAAACCUAACGAUCAUUAUGCUAAGCUAACGGAUGGGUCUUGUCCAGCACAUCAUUCUCCCAAUGAUGUGAUCCCGUUCAUCAAAUGACAACACAUGUCCAUGGUUAGGAAACUUAACCAUCUUUGAUUUACAAGCUAGUCUAGUAGAGGCUUACUAGGGACACGGUGUUUUGUCUAUGUAUCCACACAUGUAUCAAGUUUCUGGUUAAUACAAUUCUAGCAUGAAUAAUAAACAUUUAUCAUGAUAUAAGGAAAUAUAAAAUAACAACUUUAUUAUUGCCUCUAGGGCAUAUUUCCUCAAUGACAUCCGUCCUGCCGAGUUCGUGGUCUUGGUCUUGUUGCACCGGACUAGAAACCUUUGGGGAUUCCUUGGGAACCCGCGUCUGCCCUUGCUCCCUUAGCAUCCAAAGGGAAAUUGUCUCCUCUGCGCCCGCUGGCGCCCGCCUGGCUCUGGUCGUCAUGGCUCACGUCACCGCAGCCUCAUGAGGCUGGGCACUUGCAUAGGAAUCUUCGCUCUUCGGGAGACAACCUAGGGAGGCCGCUUCCUCUAGAGCUCUUGGUGUCGUCCGCCUCGCGAGGCCAGGGCCCCCGCGAGGGUCUUGUCUUGGUGGUCUUGCAGAUGGGUCAUACCAAGCCGUCGAGGGAGCCACGCCGUGGGCCACACGCAGGCAAGUCUGGGUACCCUGGUUCCCAGAACGCCGACGGGGUCACAUAUCCAAACCAUUAAUGUCUUGGGAGCGCGCGAUAACAAGCAAAGACUCACGAUCAUGUGACCCCGUCGCCCCGUCUCGUGCACUUAUGGCAAGUGCCCAGAAUGCCCCACCGUGCCACGUAAUUAUCUCGCGGGUACCCUCCAGGUCAACAUGACUACACAUCAACUCGAGGGUACACUCAUGGUCAACCCGACUUCACAUUUCUCUCGCGGGUACCGCUCGGGGUCGACCUGACUUCAUCAUGGUUCUGGGGUAAAGUCAAAGUAACCGUGUGCCCAAAACAGUAAGGGGGGACCCGAGGAAUCACCCUUGAUGGACUCCCACUUGAUGUAACCGUCAAGGUGGACUUGGAGGAAUCACCCACGAUGGUCCACACUUGAGGGGUUGCACAACAGAGUCAUUAUCGGUAGUGGUGAAAGAGGAAUCACCCUUGAUGACCACGACGAUUAGCUACAAUACAGAGUUAACAUCACAAGUGUUAUACGAGGUAUCACCCUCGGUAGUCAAUAGUUGCUCUGUAGUGUCGUACAACUAAGGGGGUGUGAUGUGCUGUGUCGGGCCCUGGACGUCGAUCACGUUGAUCAAGUCAUUAAACAUAAGGCGGGGGCAACUAGGACAAGGUGAGAGGUCACUGGUGGAUCACUAACCAACCUAUGCUAAGCAGUUUAGGAUAAGCAAGUAAGGUACAAAGCAGGUUACAAAAAAUCAGGUUAUGCAUCAGAAUAGGAGCAAUCAAAUACAAUAGCAAAAUCUAAUGUACCAUGAGAGAGAAUGGAACUGGGCGAUAUAGGAAUGAUCAAGGGGGUUUUGCUUGCCUGGUUGCUGUGUAGACGAAAGGAAUCUUCGAAAGCGUAGCCGUAGUCGAACACCAAAGCAUCAACAGUCUCGGGGUCUACCAGAGAGAAAGGACGGGGAAGAAACAAUAAAUAACAAGCAUACAAAGCAACAUAAAGCACGACAUGACCAUAAGCUAUGCUAAGGGUGACCUAACGCAGGGCUACGCAUUACCGACGAAGUCUGGCAUUUUCAGACAGAUGAUCGGAGGGGGGAAGAUCCAUAUUCACUGUGUUAGAGGCCUGUGGCAGGUAUGCAGAGAGCAAAUUCGGAUUUGUCCUAUUUUUCUGAUCAUUUUUCAUAUAUAAAUUAUGUUCAUCUUGACUUACGGUUUUUUUAUUAAUAUUCAAAGUUUCAAAUCAUUUUCUGAAAUUCUAGAAUUUAUUUAUUUUUUUAAAAAAGGAAAGGCUAGCUGCACCCGGUCCAGUGCAUCCAACAGUGUACAAGAGGCUAACAGUAGGCCCGUUGACUACCUAGUCAACAGUCAACAUUGACCCGUUGACUGAUGAACGAUUCCCGAGGGUCCCGCACGUCAGUGACUGGGAGCCCAGUCAGCGCUGUUGACUGGUCAACUGGGUCCAUUGGGACCAGUGGCAGUGACUAUUUAUUUAACCUAUGUCUAAUUAGUUUUAAACCAGUUAAUUUAGUCGAGUGGGACCUAGUGGUCAGUGGGGGAGGUUAAGCUAACCACGUACUUAAGUUAACCGCCCGGGCCCACAAGACAGCGGGCCGGGUUCAAACGUGUGCUCGCGCCGACGUUGCUCCGGCAACCACAGGGGAUGGCGGCGCGCUUGGAACCGGCUGUUCCGGUGACCAAAUGGAUGGCUCCGGGCGCCAAACGAACGAGCGUCGAGCGCCGCUCCUACCUACGCUAGCGGCGAGCGCAGGGGGUGGCCGGAGCGACGGUUGAGGCAAUGGCCGACCGGCGACCGGAGCACGGGGCGGCUCCCUCCGGCGACCACUUGGUUGACCGAGAGGUCCUACGCGAUGCAGGCGAUGCGAGGCAGCCAAGGGCACUACGGGCGCGUGUAGAUGAGGUCGGUAUCGACGACUAGCAACGACGGUUAAGCGGCGGCAGCGGCGGUGCUCUACGGGAGCUAGCCUACGAGACACGGGAAAGAACAAGGGGAGGUCAAGGAAGAGCCGAGGCUCACAGCGAAGCUCGGGGAGGGCUCUACGAGGCCGGGGACGCGGAGGUGGAGGCGGAUCGAGCGGUGGAUGACGACGGCCGGAGGUUGAAGAAGGGUUCGAUGCCGGCGAUGUAGAGGGCCCCGGGUCAAACCAGUGGGCGUAGGCGGAGUAGAGGUCGACGGCGGAUCUAUCGAACAAGCUCACAGGGCACGGCGUGGGAGAUGGGCGCGNNNNNNNNNNNNNNNNNNNNNNNNNNNNNNNNNNNNNNNNNNNNNNNNNNNNNNNNNNNNNNNNNNNNNNNNNNNNNNNNNNNNNNNNNNNNNNNNNNNNNNNNNNNNNNNNNNNNNNNNNNNNNNNNNNNNNNNNNNNNNNNNNNNNNNNNNNNNNNNNNNNNNNNNNNNNNNNNNNNNNNNNNNNNNNNNNNNNNNNNNNNNNNNNNNNNNNNNNNNNNNNNNNNNNNNNNNNNNNNNNNNNNNNNNNNNNNNNNNNNNNNNNNNNNNNNNNNNNNNNNNNNNNNNNNNNNNNNNNNNNNNNNNNNNNNNNNNNNNNNNNNNNNNNNGGGAGAAGAAAGCGAGAGAAUGAAGGGGGGUCCGGGGCGCUAGGGUUCGUCAGCGCGGGUCUGGGCGCCCUUGUAUCUCGCCGGGGAGCGCCGGAUGGCCGGCGCGUGGCCAUCCGCAGGAUGGACGCGGCGCGCUCGUCCAUGGGGCUCGGGUGAAUAGAGGAUGAAGAAAGGUGGGGAGGUGGGCUGGGGUCGACUGGGCCGGAUGUACUAUGCAUUUGGGCCCAUGUGCACAGUGGAGUUUUUUUAUUUCUGUUUAGCAUUUAAUUUAAACAGCAAAAGUGGUUUUGUAAAUAAGAGACUUGGGCCAUAAUUUACAAUAUAAAUUAAGGCACUGCCAUAAAAAGGUUUUGAGGCAAGAUAAUUUCAUUUAAAUUUUAUAUAAAUGAAAUCAGGUUAAUGGGGCUGUUAUGGGCACUGUUUUAAAUCCUAGGGGUAUUUUUGGAGAUUCAAAAAUGUUGGUUUUAUUUUUAUAAUAACUUUGGGAAUUUUUUCAAUAUUAUGAACAUUUUAUUUUUACUGUUAGAAGAAAUAAUUUAUUUGUCUUUAUUUUAAAUUUGAAAUUGGCUUUGAUUUUUUACCAGGUGGCAAUUUGGCUUAGCUAACUUGAUGACAUGGCACCAUUAGGGGGAAUGUCUGUAGCAUGACACUGGGGGUGUUACAGGUAACUCUAAUCCCUUUGCUGGACUUGAGCCCUCCGCCACCGACGUCUGCAACCUCGACAUCCACACCCGUGUCCCCAUCAAACCGGAUCAAUACAACUCCUCGUACUACACGUGGAAGACCUACUUCAACCUUGUCUUUCGCGGGUACUACCUCCUCGAGCACGUCGACAAUUUCGUCGAUAGCACCGUCAUGGCGGGUGACCCGGAGUGGUCUGCCAUUGAGGCCACCCUCAUCCACUAGUUCUACCUCACCGUCUCGGUGGAUAUCUUCCACACGAUCGUCUCUGAGGAUGAUGAUGCUUGUCCCGUGUGGACCAAGAUCAAAGUCCUCUUCAUUAACAACAAGCUCCAACGCCUCAUUUUUUGCAACAAGAAUUUUUUGGUUGCCAUCAAGAUGACUCCUCCAUUGAUGACUAUUGCAUGCGCCUCAAGAGGCUUGCUGACGAGCUUUGCGACAUUGGUGCCAAGGAAUCCGAUGAUCUUAUGCUCAACACCCUCACCGUCGACCUUAAUGAAGACUUUGGCAACGCGGCCUCCAACCUCACCUUGUUGUCAGACACUACCUUUCACACCGUCAUCGCAUACUUGCGCCUGGAGGAACGACGGAUGAAGACGAUCAAGGCUUGGGUGCAUCACACCACCCUCGCCGUCGGGACCUCUCGCAGGAUGCCUGCACCAGCCCCGCCCCAGCAGCGGCCUCCCGCCCUGCCGGUGUUCUUCCCCCUGCCGCCCACGCCACCCACGUCACAGCAGCAGUAGCAGGGCGGCGGUCGCCGCAGAAGAUGUCGCGGGGGCGUCAGUCCCACACAACAGCAACAACAGCCGGGGUAUGGCAGGGCAGCAACGCCAACUCCUGUCCUACCCGCCCUGGACCACCGGCCAACCCGUGGACCGGCGUGGUUCACGCCUACACCAUGUCGGUCCCAUGAGCCCCUGCUCCGGGUCUCCUCGGACCCCGCCCCGCCGGCCCACAGGCUUACCUGGCGAUGCCCUACCAGGCGGGUGCCGGUGGCUACCCGUCGCUGCUCCCGACUCCACCGGUGGUAGGUGGCUACCCACAACCGCACGCACUGGAUCCACCCCAUGGAGGCCACGACCUUCCACCAACACCGUUAAAUCUAGCACUCCUCACUGCGCUGCACUCGGUGCCGUCACCCAACACCUACAGUGGCGGCGGAGACAGGUAUAUGGACACGGGGGCUAUUGCACACAUGACAGCUCAUCCCGGUAACCUAACCUCCUCCUCUACAGUUAACACCUCCACCCACAUCACCCUUGUUGACGGUUCUUCCUUGCCUAUCACUCAUGUUGGUCAUAGUUUCUUUCCGUCUAAUUCCAUGCGAAUCACUAUGUCUAACAUUCUUGUUUCUCCUGAUCUAGUCAAAAAUCUUGUCUCUGUUCGUCGUCUUGCUCAUGAAAAUCCCAUUACCGUUGAAUUUAAUGGUGUUGGUUUUUUCUGUGAAGGACGCAUGUACCCGGAUGGUUCUUCACCGAUGUGACAACCUAGACGAGCUGUACCCGGUGCACUCUGGCGCCGCCUCCACCACCGUCCCUCCAAUCGCCCUCUCCACCGGCGUUGACCUUUGACAUCCACGUUUGGAUCACCCCAACUCCGCCGUCCUUUGUCAGAUUCUUAGGAGUUUUUCUUUUUCAUGUAAUAAGCUCGACGAGCACACCUCUCAUGCUUGUCAUCUUGGCAAGCAUGUUCGUCUUCCCUUUAGUGCGUCCACAACUAUUUCUACUUUUCUGUUUCAGUUACUACAUAGUGAUGUAUGGACAUCUCCAGUUGUGAGCAAUACAGGCUAUACUUAUUAUCUUGUGCUACUCGAUGAUUUUGCCCACUUCGUGUGGACCUUUCCUCUUCACCACAAAUCUGACACCAUAGCUACAUUCAUGGCAUUUUAUUCAUAUGUCACCACACAGUUUGCUCGCCUGAUGCUCGCCCUUCAGACUGACAACGGAAAAGAGUUUAUCAAUGCGGUAAUUCGCCAGCUUAUCGCCUUUCAUGGCACUACCUUUCGCCUCACAUGCCCCUACAGUUCACAGCAGAAUGGUCGCGCCAAACACAUCCUCUGCAUUCUUAAUGACUGUGUCCUUACACUAUUGUUUCACUCCAAUGUACCCCCUCGGUUCUGGCCAGAUGCUCUCGCCACCGCCACUCUUCUCCUUAAUAUUCGGCCGUGUCGUCCUCACUGGAACUACAACCCUCACCAUCUUCUCUUUGGCACUCCUCCAUCCAACGAUGGUCUUCGCACCUUUGGUUGUCUCUGUUAUCCUAGUAUAGCCUCCACCACACCCCACAAGCUAGCACCUCAUUCCGUAGCUUGUAUUUUCCUAGGAUAUCCCUCUAACACCAAAGGUUACCGGUGUUAUGAUCAUGUCUCUCACGGUGUGUAGCAAGUGUACUUUGAUGAGCAUGUAUUUCCUUUUCACCAGGUACAACCAUCUGCAGCGGAUUCCUUACCACUUCUGGACGCCCCUCCGGCAUGGCAUGAGUCUCAAGCACGGCAUUCCCCUGCCACCUCCGUCGGCAGGCCACCCUCCCCGCCACGCACCCCUAUGGGCACGGCUUCCUCCGCCGCCCCUCUGGUGUGGCCGACUCUGGCGCCCUGGACCCCUCGGGCGCGGACCCUUUGGGUGAGGCCUCCUCGCGCAUGGUUACCACCGCCGACCCGGCUACGGCGGACUCGACCCCAUCCUCGUCCGUCGCCCCCUUGGUGGCCGCUCUGUCAUCCACUAGCAUGAUGACCCGGGCUUGCACAGGUAUACACUGGCCCAGCACAAGUUACACCUCUGAUGAGUAUGUUUGUAUCGCGUCGGCUCCACUGUCUUCACCGUCACCCAUCCCUUAUUCGCUCGUGCAUCCCUUCGUGAUCCACAUUGGCUCGCUGCAAUGCGUGAGGAGUUCGAUGCAUUGCAGCGCAACUACACGUGGCAUCUUGUUCCGCGGCCUCCCCAUGCUAACAUCAUCAGUGGCAAGUGGGUGUUCCGCCACAAGACCCGUCCUGACGGUUCUCUCGAGCGCUAAAAGGCUCGCUAGGUGGUCUGUGGCUUUCGAUAGUGCGCGGGCAUGGACUUCACCGACACCUUCGCUCCGGUUGUCAAACCGGGUACGAUCUGCAUAAUGCUCUAGUUGGCAGUCUCUCAUGCAUGGCAUGUGCAUCAGUUGGACGUGUCCAACGCCUUCCUGCACGAUCAUCUCACUGAGCGGGUGUUUUGUGAGCAGCCCACUGGCUUCAUUGACGCUGAGCAUUCUAAUCAUGUGUGCUUGCUAUCCCACUCUCUUUACGGGUAAAGCAGGCACCUCGGGCGUGGUACCAGUGUAAGGCGGUAUUUCUCCAGCAGCUCGGGUUUCACACCACUCGCUCUAACACUUCUCUCUUCUUCUACCAUCAGGGUGCCAUUAUUGCAUAUCUGCUGCUCUAUGUUAACGACAUCAUUGUGAUGGCAUCCUCUCCUGAGCUCCUCCGGCAGCUCACGGCUUGUAUCCGUGAUGAGUUUGCCCUCAAGGAUUUGGGAGCUCUGCAUUACUUCCUUUGCAUUGAGGUUGUUUGCCAUGCCGAUGGGUUCUUUUUGCAUCAGCAGAAGUAUGCUCACGAGUUGCUCGAGCGCGCUAGUAUGCUUAACCGCAAUUCCACCCCAUGCCCGUUGACACCAAGGCGAAGGUCUCUGCCUUGGAGGGAUCUCCUGCACCUGAGGCCAUGUUCUACCGCUCCAUUGUUGGUGCCCUGAAGUAUCUGAGGCUCACCCACCCGGACCUGCAGUAUUGAUACGUCUCCAAAGUGUCUAUGAACUUUUUAUUGUUCCAUGCUGUUAUAUUAUCAUUCUUGGGUGUUUUACAAUCAUUUUAUAGCAACUUUAUAUCAUUUCUUGGGAGUAACCUAUUGACAUAGUGCCCAGUGCCAGUUGCUGCUUUUUGCUUGUUUUUUACUUUGCGGAAUAUCCCUAUCAAACGGAGUCCAAACGCAGCAAAACUUUUUGGAGAUUUUUUUGGACCAAAAGACAACUUGGGAGCCAAGGAAGCACCUGGGGGAGGCCCGUGACCCACAAGACACCAGGGCCCUGAUGGGUUGUGGGGCCCACGAGGGUCUUCUCCAUCGUCUCUCAGCUCUAUAAAUACCCAAAUAUUCUAGAAAUCCUAGGGGAGUUGACGAAACACAAUUCCAGCUGCCGCAAGUUCCAGAACCACGAGAUCAAAUCUAGAGCCCUAUUUCGGCACUCCGCCAGAGGGGAACACGAUCAUAGAGGGGUUCAUCAUCCUCAUUGGCCCCUCUCUGAUGAUGCGUGAGUAGUUCACCAUAGACCUAUGAUCCAUAGGUAGUCGCUAGAUGGCUUGUUCUCUCUCUUUUUGAUUCUCAAUACAAUGGUCUCUUGGAAAUCUAUUUGAUGUAAUGACUUUUUGCGGUAUGUUUGUUCGGAUCCGAUGAAGUUUGAGUUUAUGAUCAGAUCUAUAUCCAUGAAUAUUAUUUGAGUCUUCUUUGAUCUCUUACAUGCAUGAUUAUUUAUAGCCUUGUAUUUCUUCUUUGAAUCUUUGGAUUAGUUAGGCCAACUAGAUUGAUUUUUCUUGUAAUGGGAAGACGUGCUUUGUGAUGGGUUCGAUCUUGCGGUGUCCUCACCUGUUGACAGGAGGAGUAGCGAGGCACGCAUGUAUCAUUGCUAUUAAGGAUAAAAAGAUGGGGUCUAUUCCUAUAUGAAUAGGUCUUGUCUACAUCAUGUCAUCGUUAUUAUUGCAUUACUCCAUUUCUUCAUGAACUUAAUACACUAGAUGCAUGCUGGAUAGCGGUCGAUGGGUGGAGUAAUAGUAGUAGAUGUAGGCAGGAGUCGGUCUACUAAUCUUGGAUGUGAUGCCUAUAUACAUGAUCAUUGCCAUGGAUAUCAUCACAAUUAUUUGAUGUUCUAUCAAUUGCCCAAUAGAAAUUUGUUUACGCACCGUGUGCUAUUUUAUCGAGAGAAGCCACUAGUGAAAUCUACGACCCCGGGGUCUAUCUUUUACUCCCUCCAUUCCACAAUGUAGUGCUUCCUCUAUCCCCGUGCUUCAAUUUUGACCGUAAAUUUAACUACCAAGACCGAUUGCGGCGGGAGCAAAAAUUAUAUCAGUGAAUUUGUAUUCGAAAGAAGUUUUCAAUUAUAUAUCUUUUUCUCCCGCCGCAGUUGGUCUCGUUGGUUAAAUUUAUGGUCAAAGUUGGACCUCGGGAAGCGCAGGCGCACUAUAUUUUGGAAUGGAGGGAGUAUCAUAUUUGCUUUUUGAUCUAUCUUUUGCCAUAUUUAUUUUCCAAUCUAUUAUUCCAAAACCCCAAAAAUACCUUGCUGCACUUUUUCUUGACUUAUUUUAUUUCGUGUUUUGUUCAGAUCUAUUUAUCCAAUCUCAUACAAAUCAAUCUAUCUUUUUAUCGUGGAGGGAUUGACAACCCCUCUUACGCGUCGGGUUGCAAGUAUUUGUUCUUUGUGUGCAGGUACCAUUUACAUAGUGUUGCUUGGUCCUCCUACUGGAUUGAUACCUUGGUUUCACCACUAUGGGAAAUACCUACCAUAGCUGUACUGCAUCAUCCCUUCCUCUUUGGGGAAACACCAACGCAGUUUCAAGCCGCAUCAAAAGGAAUUUCUGGUGCCGUUGCCGGGGAGACAUGAUACGUCUCCAACGUAUCUAUAAUUUUUGAUUGUUCCAUGCUGUUAUAUUAUCAAUCUUGGAUGUUUUAUAAUCAUUUAUAUUAUUUUUUGGUACUAACCUAUUGACAUAGUGCCAAGUGCCAGUUGCUGUUUUCUGCAUGUUUUUUACAUCGUGGGAAAUCAAUACCAAAUGGAGUCCAAAUGCAAUGAAACUUUACGGAGAUUUUUUAUGGACCAGAAGACACCCAAUGGGCCAAGGCAGCGCCUGGGGGGGGUGCUCCGAGGGGAGCACAACCCACCAGGACACGCCAGGAGGCCCACGCGCGCCCUGGUGGGUUGUGCGCACCUCGGGUGCCCCUCGGACCGCCUCUUUGCUCUAUAAAUACCCCAAUAUUUCAGAAACCCUAGGGGAGUCGAUGAAAAUCAAUUACAGCUGCUGUAGAGUCCAGAACCACUAGAUCCAAUCUAGACACCAUCACGGAGGGGUUCACCACUUCCAUUGGUGCCUCUCCGAUGAUGCGUGAGUAGUUCUUUGUAGACCUUCGGGUCCGUAGUUAGUAGCUAGAUGGCUUCCUCUCUCUUGUUUGAUUCUCAAUACAAUGGUCUCUUGGAGAUCCAUAUGAUGUAACUCUUUUUGCAGUGGUUUGUUGGGAUCGGAUGAACUUUGAGUUUAUGAUCGACGAAAAGGGGGAGAAGCAUAUGAGUUGAUAGUCUUCAAGCGGGUCCUUAUGGGUGGUUGCAUUAUUUUGCUAAGUCUUUACAACUCUUGUAUUUUGAAACAAUUUGGUUCUUUGAGUUGUAACACUUAAACUCGAUGGUCAUCUGCUACUUUUUCUGCUACUUUCUGAUGCGAUGAUAAAUCCCACAUGAAGCCAUUCCGCAGACGUCCAUUUUUCAUUAUGCAUGUCAUUAUCUUCGUUAUCUCUUUAUCUACAUGAUGAAUUGUCUUCAUAUGUUGAGAGGAUCUCCACAAAGUAAAACCUGCCAUGUGCAUUUGUUGGGUUUCGUAGUAAUUUCAAAAAAUUUCCUACGCGCACACAGGAUCAUGUGAUGCAUAGCAACGAGGGGAAGAGUAUUGUCUACGUACCCUACGCAGACCGACUGCGGAAGCGAUGACACGACGUAGAGGAAGUAGUCGUACGUCUUCACGAUCCAACCGAUCAAGCACCGAAACUACGGCACCUCCGAGUUCGAGCACACGUUCAGCUCGAUGACGAUCCCCGGACUCCGAUCCAGCAAAGUGUCGGGGAAGAGUUCCGUCAGCACGACGGCGUGGUGACGAUCUUGAUGAACUACAGCAGCAGGGCUUCGCCUAAACUCCGCUACAGUAUUAUCGAGGAAUAUGGUGGCAGGGGGCACCGCACACGGCUAAGGAAUCGAUCACGUGGAUCAACUUGUGUCAACUUGUGUGUUUAGAGGUGCCCCUGCCUCAGUAUAUAAAGGAGCCAAGGGGGGAGGGUGCGCCGGCCAGGAGGAGGAGGCGCAGGAGGAGUCCUACUCCUACCGGGAGUAGGACUCCCCUCCAAUCCUAUUCCAACUAGGAUUCCCAAGGGGAAAGAGGGAGAGGGGUGGCCGGCCACCUCUCCUAGUCCUAAUAGGACUAGGGGAAGGGGGGAGGCGCACAGCCCCCUUGGGCUGCCCCUUUCUCCUUUCCACUAAGGCCCAUGAAGGCCCAUGUGGUUCCCGGGGGGUUCCGGUAACCUCCCGGUAACCCGGUAAAAUCCCGAUUUCACCCGGAACACUUCCGAUGUCCAAACAUAGGCUUCCAAUAUAUCAAUCUUUAUGUCUCGACCAUUUCGAGACUCCUCGUCAUGUCCGUGAUGACAUCCGGGACUCCGAACAACCUUCGGUACAUCAAAAUGCAUAAACUCAUAAUAUAACUGUCAUCGUAACCUUAAGCGUGCGGACCCUACGGGUUCGAGAACAAUGUAGACAUGACCGAGACAUGUCUCUGGUCAAUAACCAAUAGCGGGACCUGGAUGCCCAUAUUGGCUCCUACAUAUUCUACGAAGAUCUUUAUCGGUCAGACCGCAUAACAACAUACGUUGUUCCCUUUGUCAUCGGUAUGUUACUUGCCCGAGAUUCGAUCGUCGGUAUCCAAUACCUAGUUCAAUCUCGUUACCGGCAAGUCUCUUUACUCGUUCCGUAAUACAUCAUCUCACAACUAACAUAUUAGUUGUAAUGCUUGCAAGGCUUAUGUGAUGUGUAUUACCGAGAGGGCCCAGAGAUACCUCCCCGACAAUCGGAGUGACAAAUCCUAAUCUCGAAAUACGCCAACCCAACAUCGACCAUUGGAGACACCUGUAGUACUCCUUUAUAAUCACCCAGUUACGUUGUGACGUUUGGUAGUACCCAAAGUGUUCCUCCGGUAAACGGGAGUUGCAUAAUCUCAUAGUCAUAGGAACAUGUAUAAGUCAUGAAGAAAGCAAUAGCAACAUACUAAACGAUCGGGUGCUAAGCUAAUGGAAUGGGUCAUGUCAAUCAGAUCAUUCUACUAAUGAUGUGACCUCGUUAAUCAAAUAACAACUCAUUGUUCAUGGUUAGGAAACAUAACCAUCUUUGAUUAACGAGCUAGUCAAGUAGAGGCAUACUAGUGACACUCUGUUUGUCUAUGUAUUCACACAUGUAUUAUGUUUCCGGUAAAUACAAUUCUAGCAUGAAUAAUAACCAUUUAUCAUGAUUAUGAGGAAAUAAAUAAUAACUUUAUUAUUGCCUCUAGGGCAUAUUUCCUUCAGUCUCCCACUUGCACUAGAGUCAAUAAUCUAGAUUACACUGUAAUGAAUCUAACACCCAUGGAGCUUUGGUGCUGAUCAUGUUUUGCUCGUGGAAGAGGCUUAGUCAACGGGUCUGCAACAUUCAGAUCCGUAUGUAUCUUGCAAAUCUCUAUGUCUCCCACCUGGACUAGAUCCCGGAUGGAGUUGAAGCGUCUCUUGAUGUGUUUGGUCCUUUUGUGAAAUCUGGAUUCCUUUGCCAAGGCAAUUGCACCAGUAUUGUCACAAAAGAUUUUCAUUGGACCCGAUGCACUAGGUAUGACACCUAGAUCGGAUAUGAACUCCUUCAUCCAGACUCCUUCAUUUGCUGCUUCCGAAGCAGCUAUGUAUUCCGCUUCACAUGUAGAUCCCGCUACGACGCUUUGUUUAGAACUGCACCAACUGACAGCUCCACCGUUUAAUGUAAACACAUAUCCGGUUUGCGAUUUAGAAUCGUCCGGAUCAGUGUCAAAGCUUGCAUCAACGUAACCUUUUACGAUGAGCUCUUUGUCACUUCCAUAUACGAGAAACAUAUCCUUAGUCCUUUUUAGGUAUUUCAGGAUGUUCUUGACCGCUGUCCAGUGAUCCAUUCCUGGAUUACUUUGGUACCUCCCUGCUAAACUUAUAGCAAGGCACACAUCAGGUCUGGUACACAGCAUUGCAUACAUGAUAGAGCCUAUGGCUGAUGCAUAGGGAACAUCUUUCAUAUUCUCUCUAUCUUCUGCAGUGGUCGGGCAUUGAGUCUUACUCAAUUUCACACCUUGUAACACAGGCAAGAACCCUUUCUUUGCUUGAUCCAUUUUGAACUUCUUCAAAAUUUUGUCAAGGUAUGUGCUUUGUGAAAGUCCAAUUAAGCGUCUUGAUCUAUCUCUAUAGAUCUUAAUGCCUAAUAUGUAAGCAGCUUCACCAAGGUCUUUCAUUGAAAAACUUUUAUUCAAGUAUCCCUUUAUGCUAUCCAGAAAUUCUAUAUCAUUUCCAAUCAGUAAUAUGUCAUCCACAUAUAAUAUCAGAAAUGCUACAGAGCUCCCACUCACUUUCUUGUAAAUACAGGCUUCUCCGAAAGUCUGUAUAAAACCAAAUGCUUUGAUCACACUAUCAAAACGUUUAUUCCAACUCCGAGAGGCUUGCACCAGUCCAUAAAUGGAUCGCUGGAGCUUGCACACUUUGUUAGCUCCCUUUGGAUCGACAAAACCUUCUGGUUGCAUCAUAUACAACUCUUCUUCCAGGAAUCCAUUCAGGAAUGCAGUUUUGACAUCCAUUUGCCAAAUUUCAUAAUCAUAAAAUGCGGCAAUUGCUAACAUGAUUCGGACGGACUUAAGCAUCGCUACGGGUGAGAAGGUCUCAUCGUAGUCAAUUCCUUGAAUUUGUCGAAAACCUUUUGCGACAAGUCGAGCUUUGUAGACAGUAACAUUACCAUCAGCGUCAGUCUUCUUCUUAAAGAUCCAUUUAUUCUCAAUUGCUUGCCGAUCAUCGGGCAAGUCAACCAAAGUCCAUACUUUGUUCUCAUACAUGGAUCCCAUCUCAGAUUUCAUGGCUUCAAGCCACUUUGCGGAAUCUGGGCUCACCAUUGCUUCUUCAUAGUUCGUAGGUUCAUCAUGAUCUAGUAGCAUGACUUCCAGAACAGGAUUUCCGUACCACUCUGGCGCGGAUCUUACUCUGGUUGAUCUACGUGGUUCAGUAGUAUCUUGAACUGAAGUUUCAUGAUCAUUAUCAUUGGCUUCCUCACUAACCGGUGUAGGUGUCACUGAAACAGUUUUCUGUGAUGAGCUACUCUCCAGUAAGGGAGCAGGUACAGUUACCUCGUCAAGUUCUACUUUCCUCCCACUCACUUCUUUCGAGAGAAACUCCUUCUCUAGAAAUGAUCCAUUCUUAGCAACGAAUGUUUUGCCUUCGGAUCUGUGAUAGAAGGUGUACCCAACAGUUUCCUUUGGGUAUCCUAUGAAGACACAUUUCUCCGAUUUGGGUUCGAGCUUAUCAGGUUGAAGUUUUUUUUCACAUAAGCAUCGCAGCCCCAAACUUUAAGAAAUGACAACUUUGGUUUCUUGCCAAACCACAGUUCAUAAGGCGUCGUCUCAACGGAUUUUGAUGGUGCCCUAUUUAACGUGAAUGCGGCCGUCUCUAAAGCAUAUCCCCAAAAUGAUAGCGGUAAAUCAGUAAGAGACAUCAUAGAUCGCACCAUAUCUAGUAAAGUACGAUUACGACGUUCGGACACACCAUUACGCUGUGGUGUUCUGGGUGGCGUGAGUUGCGAAACUAUUCCACAAUUUUUCAAAUAUACACCAAACUCGUAACUCAAAUAUUCUCCUCCACGAUCAGAUCGUAGAAACUUAAUUUUCUUGUUACGAUGAUUUUCAACUUCACUCUGAAAUUCUUUGAACUUUUCAAAUGUUUCAGACUUAUGUUUCAUUAAGUAAAUAUAGCCAUAUCUGCUUAAAUCAUCUGUGAAGGUGAGAAAAUAACGAUAUCCGCCACGAGCCUCAAUAUUCAUCGGGCCACAUACAUCGGUAUGUAUGAUUUCCAACAAAUCUGUUGCUCUCUCCAUAGUACCGGAGAACGGUGUUUUAGUCAUCUUGCCCAAGAGGCACGGUUCGCAAGUACCAAGUGAUUCAUAAUCAAGUGGUUCCAAAAGUCCAUCGGUAUGGAGUUUCUUCAUGCGCUUUAUACCGAUAUGACCUAAACGACAGUGCCACAAAUAAGUUGCACUUUCAUUAUCAACUCUGCAUCUUUUGGCUUCAACAUUAUGAAUAUGUGUAUUACUACUAUCGAGAUUUAGUAAGAAUAGACCACUCUUCAAGGGUGCAUGACCAUAAAAUAUAUUACUCAUAUAAAUAGAACAACCAUUAUUCUCUGAUUUAAAUGAAUAACCGUCUCGCAUUAAACAAGAUCCAGAUAUAAUGUUCAUGCUCAACGCUGGCACCAAAUAACAAUUAUUUAGGUCUAAUAUUAAUCCCGAAGGUAGAUGUAGAGGUAGCGUGCCGACUGCGAUCACAUCGACUUUGGAACCGUUUCCCACGCGCAUCGUCACCUCGUCCUUUGCUAGUGCCCGCUUAUUCUGUAGUCCCUGUUUCGAGUUGCAAAUAUUAGCAACAGAACCAGUAUCAAAUACCCAGGUGCUACUGCGAGCUCUAGUAAGGUACACAUCAAUAACAUGUAUAUCACAUAUACCUUUGUUCACCUUGCCAUCCUUCUUAUCCGCCAAAUACUUGGGGCAGUUCCGCUUCCAGUGACCAGUCUGCUUGCAGUAGAAGCACUCAGUUUCAGGCUUAGGUCCAGACUUGGGUUUCUUCUCUUGAGCAGCAACUUGCUUGCCGUUCCUUUUGAAGUUCCCCUUUUUCUUCCCUUUGCCCUUUUUCUUGAAACUAGUGGUCUUGUUAACCAUCAACACUUGAUGCUCCUUCUUGAUUUCUACCUCCGCAGCUUUUAGCAUUGCGAAGAGCUCGGGAAUAGUCUUGUUCAUCCCUUGCAUAUUAUAGUUCAUCACGAAGCUCUUGUAGCUUGGUGGCAGUGAUUGGAGAAUUCUGUCAAUGACGCAAUCAUCCGGAAGAUUAACUCCCAAUUGAAUCAAGUGAUUAUUAUACCCAGACAUUUUGAGUAUAUGCUCACUGACAGAACUGUUCUCCUCCAUCUUGCAGCUAUAGAACUUAUUGGAGACUUCAUAUCUCUCAAUCCGGGCAUUUGCUUGAAAUAUUAACUUCAACUCCUGGAACAUCUCAUAUGCUCCAUGAUGUUCAAAACGUCGUUGAAGUCCCGAUUCUAAGCCGUAAAGCAUGGCACACUGAACUAUCGAGUAGUCAUCAGCUUUGCUCUGCCAGACGUUCAUAACAUCUGGCGUUGCUCCAGCAGCAGGCCUGGCACCCAGCGGUGCUUCCAGGACGUAAUUCUUCUGUGCAGCAAUGAGGAUAAUCCUCAAGUUACGGACCCAGUCUGUGUAAUUGCUACCAUCAUCUUUCAACUUUGCUUUCUCAAGGAACGCAUUAAAAUUUAACGGAACAACAGCACGAGCCAUCUAUCUACAAUCAACAUAAACAAGCAAGAUACUAUCAGGGACUAAGUUCAUGAUAAAUUUUAAGUUCAAUUAAUCAUAUUACAAAAGAACUCCCACUUAGAUAGACAUCUCUCUAAUCCUCUAAGUGAUCACGUGAUCCAAAUCAACUAAACCAUAACCGAUCAUCACGUGAGAUGGAGUAGUUUUCAAUGGUGAACAUCGUUAUGUUGAUCAUAUCUACUAUAUGAUUCACGCUCGACCUUUCGGUCUCCGUGUUCCGAGGCCAUAUCUGCAUAUGCUAGGCUCGUCAAGUUUAACCUGAGUAUUCUGCGUGUGCAAAACUGGCUUGCACCCGUUGUAGAUGGACGUAGAGCUUAUCACACCCGAUCAUCACGUGGUGUCUGGGCAAGACGAACUUUGGCAACGGUGCAUACUCAGGGAGAACACUUCUUGAUAAUUUAGUGAGAGAUCAUCUUAUAAUGCUACCGUCAAUCAAAGCAAGAUAAGAUGCAUAAAAAGAUAAACAUCACAUGCAAUCAAUAUAAGUGAUAUGAUAUGGCCAUCAUCAUCUCGUGCUUGUGAUCUCCAUCUCCGAAGCACCGUCAUGAUCACCAUCGUCACCGGCGCGACACCUUGAUCUCUAUCGUAGCAUCGUUGUCGUCUCGCCAAUCUUAUGCUUCCACGACUAUCACUACCGUUUAGUAAUAAAGUAAAGCAUUACAUCGCGAUUGCAUUGCAUACAAUAAAGCGACAACCAUAUGGCUCCUGCCAGUUGCCGAUAACUCGGUUACAAAACAUGAUCAUCUCAUACAAUAAAAUUCAGCAUCAUGCUUUGACCAUAUCACAUCACAACAUGCCCUGCAAAAACAAGUUAGACGUCCUCUACUUUGUUGUUGCAUGUUUUACGUGGCUGCUACGGGCUUAAGUAAGAACCAAUCUCACCUACGCAUCAAAACCAAAAUGAUAGUUUGUCAAAUAGACUCCGUUUUAACCUUCGCAAGGACCGGGCGUAGCCAUACUUGGUUCAACUAAAGUUGGAGAGGCAUUCGCCCGCAAGCCAUCUCUGUGCAAAGCACGUCGAGGGAACCGGUCUCGCGUAAGCGUACGCGUAAGGUUGGUCCGGGUCGUCUCGUCCAACAAUACCGCCGAACCAAAAUAUGACAUGCUGGUAGGCAGUAUGACUUGUAUCGUCCACAACUCACUUGUGUUCUACUCGUGCAUAUAACAUCAACAUCAUUAACCUAGGCUCGGAUGCCACUGUUGGGUUUCGUAGUAAUUUCAAAAAUUUUCCUACGCGCACACAGGAUCAUGUGAUGCAUAGCAACGAGGGGAAGAGUAUUGUCUACGUACCCUACGCAGACCGACUACGGAAGCGAUGACACGACGUAGAGGAAGUAGUCGUACGUCUUCACGAUCCAACCGAUCAAGCACCGAAACUACGGCACCUCCGAGUUCGAGCACACGUUCAGCUCGAUGACGAUCCCCGGACUCCGAUCCAGCAAAGUGUCGGGGAAGAGUUCCGUCAGCACGACGGCGUGGUGACGAUCUUGAUGAACUACAGCAGCAGGGCUUCGCCUAAACUCCGCUACAGUAUUAUCGAGGAAUAUGGUGGCAGGGGGCACCGCACACGGCUAAGGAAUCGAUCACGUGGAUCAACUUGUGUCAACUUGUGUGUUUAGAGGUGCCCCUGCCUCAGUAUAUAAAGGAGCCAAGGGGGGAGGGUGCGCCGGCCAGGAGGAGGAGGCGCAGGAGGAGUCCUACUCCUACCGGGAGUAGGACUCCCCUCCAAUCCUAUUCUAACUAGGAUUCCCAAGGGGGAAAGAGGGAGAGGGGUGGCCGGCCACCUCUCCUAGUCCUAAUAGGACUAGGGGAAGGGGGGAGGCGCGCAGCCCCCUUGGGCUGCCCCUUUCUCCUUUCCACUAAGGCCCAUGAAGGCCCAUGUGGUUCCCGGGGGGUUCCGGUAACCUCCCGGUAACCCGGUAAAAUCCCGAUUUCACCCGGAACACUUCCGAUGUCCAAACAUAGGCUUCCAAUAUAUCAAUCUUUAUGUCUCGACCAUUUCGAGACUCCUUGUCAUGUCCGUGAUCACAUCCGGGACUCCGAACAACCUUCGGUACAUCAAAAUGCAUAAACUCAUAAUAUAACUGUCAUCGUAACCUUAAGCGUGCGGACCCUACGGGUUCGAGAACAAUGUAGACAUGACCGAGACAUGUCUCUGGUCAAUAACCAAUAGCGGGNNNNNNNNNNNNNNNNNNNNNNNNNNNNNNNNNNNNNNNNNNNNNNNNNNNNNNNNNNNNNNNNNNNNNNNNNNNNNNNNNNNNNNNNNNNNNNNNNNNNNNNNNNNNNNNNNNNNNNNNNNNNNNNNNNNNNNNNNNNNNNNNNNNNNNNNNNNNNNNNNNNNNNNNNNNNNNNNNNNNNNNNNNNNNNNNNNNNNNNNNNNNNNNNNNNNNNNNNNNNNNNNNNNNNNNNNNNNNNNNNNNNNNNNNNNNNNNNNNNNNNNNNNNNNNNNNNNNNNNNNNNNNNNNNNNNNNNNNNNNNNNNNNNNNNNNNNNNNNNNNNNNNNNNNNNNNNNNNNNNNNNNNNNNNNNNNNNNNNNNNNNNNNNNNNNNNNNNNNNNNNNNNNNNNNNNNNNNNNNNNNNGUACUCCUUUAUAAUCACCCAGUUACGUUGUGACGUUUGGUAGUACCCAAAGUGUUCCUCCGGUAAACGGGAGUUGCAUAAUCUCAUAGUCAUAGGAACAUGUAUAAGUCAUGAAGAAAGCAAUAGCAACAUACUAAACGAUCGGGUGCUAAGCUAAUGGAAUGGGUCAUGUCAAUCAGAUCAUUCUACUAAUGAUGUGACCUCGUUAAUCAAAUAACAACUCUUUGUUCAUGGUUAGGAAACAUAACCAUCUUUGAUUAACGAGCUAGUCAAGUAGAGGCAUACUAGUGACACUAUGUUUGUCUAUGUAUUCACACAUGUAUUAUGUUUCCGGUAAAUACAAUUCUAGCAUGAAUAAUAAACAUUUAUCAUGAUUAUAAGGAAAUAAAUAAUAACUUUAUUAUUGCCUCUAGGGCAUAUUUCCUUCAGCAUUUGCAUUCAAAAGCAAACUACUUAUAUGCACACCUUUAGGGGGAGCCUUUUGCUACAUAUGAAGACAAUGCCUUAAUCCUUAACUUUCACAUACUUUUGUCCCCAUUGAAAACUUCAACUAGUUUGUCACCAAUCACCAAAAAGGGGGAGAUUGUAAGUGCAUCUAGUGCCACCCCUAGUUGGUUUUGGAGUAUUGAUGACAAACUUGGUUGAGGGACUAAUGUGUUUGUGAGAAUUGCAGGAUAACACAGGUAGUAGUCCCUUAUUGAUUCGGUUUACCUACCAGAGAUGACCCCUAAAAAUGUGUGAAGACAUUGAAGCCAAUGGUGGUUUGUGAAGACAUUCAUAGUGAAGAUUAUGACAGGAGAAGACAUUCAUGUGAAGACUAUGGAGUGCGAAGACAUAGUUGUUUCGUAGUUUCCUUUUCUUCUUUGUUGAGUCAUAGGAACCACCGUACUGUUAAGUGGGGUCCAAGUGAACAAAGUCAGAGUGACUGAAGUGAUGCUCAACCAAAAUCCUAUGUCUUCGAGCGAAGAUAGUGAGAGCAAAUCUUAUCCAGAGCUGGAUGAGUCGGUUUUACUAGUAGCCCAAGUCAAGCUGCCGCGUGUGUUUGAAAUCCGACCGUUGGACACGUCUCGGUUCCUUAGUGACCUAGGGUCAUUUCGGACAAAUCAGGUCGGGUUGCCUCCUUGCUAUAUAUAGCCCACCCCUACACCAUAAAUUGGUGGCUGCUCAGAGUUAGUGCACGGCUUUUGUUGUUUGAGAGAAACCCACCUCCAAAGCAUUUGAGAGAGAGAUCCUUGCGAGGACAAAGCCCUAAACACCCAGUGCCAAAGAGUGUUAGGCAUCACUGAAGUCUUUCUAUCUGCGUGACCUGAAGACUUGUUACACUUGAGGACUGUGAAUCCUCCAGCCGGUUAGGCGUCGCGUUCUGAGCAUCCAAGAGUCAUUGUGGAUCGCCGGUGAAUGAAGUCUAUGAAGGUUUGGAAGUCUAACUUGAAGACUUACCAGAGUGAUUGGGCGAGAACUGGGUGUCCUUAGCUCAAGGGGAAUAAGGUGAAGACGCGGUCUUCUGAGUUGAAUCUCAGCCUCCCUAACCAGACGUACAGUUGUCACAGCAACUGGAACUGGUCUACCAACUCCUUGUCUUCACCAAGCAACUGGUUCUAUCCUUCGCUUUCCUUUACUUUACAGUUUUUCUUCAUGAAGUCAUUGCUUGCCUGUAUGAUCUGAUUGACUUCACCUUGUGAAGACUGUUUACUAUUUGGCUUCAUACUAUCUUCCAUCCUGAUCCAUACUACCUAGCUGCUGAUAGUCUUCAUGCCUUCACUUCAUUGCUUACUUGACUGUGGCUUGUCUAGUGUAGUCUACCUUCCAUUGCAUAUCAAUAGGUUUAUUUCUACUAUUUGUCUUCAAAGCCCCCGUGUUUUGAAGACUUCCAUAAAAAUCGCCUAUUCACCCCACCUCUAGUCGAUAACUAGCACUUUCAAUUGGUAUCAAAGCAAGGUGCUCCCUUGUUCUGUGUGAUUCGGUUUAACCACCUGGAGUUUUAACUAUGUCGACUGCAGGGAUAAUCAAGGUCUCUGUUGCAUGCCCUGUCUUCGAUGGCACUGAUUACCCCUACUAGAAGAACAAGAUGCGCAUGCAUCUCGAAGCCAUUGACGUCGACCUCUGGUAUGUCGUCAAGAAUGGUGUUCCCAAGGUCGGUGAAGGUGUCACCAUUGCUGAUGUCAAGAGGUUCAUUCAACUGGAUUCGACUACCAAGAACAUCAUCUGUGGUCAUCUGACCAAAGGACAGUACGACUGUGUGAGUGCACUAGAAACUGCAAAGCUAGUCUGGGACUGGCUCUCCAAGGUCAACGAAGGCGUCUCAACUCAGAGAGACUCAAGGAUUGAUGUUCUUCGUGACCUCUUCAACCGCUUCAAGAGAAACGACAAUGAGAAUGUCCAGCUCACGUUUGAUCACCUCACUGAUAUCACAAAUGAGCUUCGCGCGCUUGGCGCCACUGAGAUCACCAAGCAUGAAAUCGUCAAGAAGCUUCUGAGAUCACUUGACAGCUCAUUUAACACCCUGGCCCUGAUGAUUCAAGAACAUCCUGACUUCAAGACUCUCGAUCCAUCUGACAUACUUGAGAGACUCAACACACAUGAGUUCCAGUUAUCUGAAUAGAGACAUCUAUGGGCCCAACUAUGGCCAAUCCCGGGCUUUGAAGGCAAAGGUUGUGUCCUCAUCUGAAGAAGAAUCUGACUGCAGUUCUAGGGAUCCUGAAGACAUUGGAAGGGAGCUAGCUAUGCUCGUGAAGAAGUUCCAGAAGUCCUCCAAGAAGAAAGGCUUUAGAAAGUCUUCAAGAUCCAGCUCAAGAAAUGAUGAAGCCUCCUCUCGUGACUACAAGAAGAGAACAUGCCACAAAUGCAAGAAACCUGGUCACUACAUCUCUGAGUGUCCUCAAUGGGACAAUGAGACCAAGAAGAAGAAGAAGAAAGGCAAAGAAUAUGAUUCUGAUGACAAGAAGAAGAAGAAAUCCUCAAAGUCUUCUUCAAAGUGUUCAUCAAAGCCUUCAUCAUACAAGAAGAGCUCAUCAAGAAAGGCUCGUGCGUUUGUUGGCAAGGAAAUGGAUUCAGAGGAGGAGUCCGCUUUUGAGGAGGCGGAGGUGGAGUCGGAGGAGGAUUCAGAUUCAGGCGUGGCAAGCCUGGCUCUAGCGUCAACAUAUGUCGCCAAGUCCAUCUUGAACACUGAAGACAAUGACAUCGUCACCAACGCUGAUGCUGAUGAUGAGGAUGACUCUGCUCCUACCUACUGCUUCAUGGCACGUGGUGCCAAGGUAAACUCAAACGAUGCUUACUUUCAAACAUCCAUUGAAGAUGACUUUGAAUGUGAAUUUAAACCUAGCUACAAAACACUUGCUAAAAUUGCAAUAGAACAACAAAAUGCUAUGGAACACAUUCAUAUGUUGCUAGACAAAAGCGAUGACCUGUUGGACGCGAAAAUGACUCGAACUCAGUCCUUAAUUGAAGCAUUAAAAAUCUUCAUGUUAAGUACGAAGAACUUGAAAGUCGUCAUGAAACACUCUCAGCUACUCAUGAGAAGCUUUUCUAUGAUUAUCUUCAAAGGAAGCAAGAACUUGAGAACCUGAGAGCAUCUCAUGAAGAUCUUCAAAAGGAGAUUGAGUCACUUCGCGCUCAACAGAUCAGUCCCGCUCAGGAAGACUUUGAGCCACCAUGUUUGAAAUGUCUUGAGCGUGAUAAUGCUGUCUCUAUUGCUAAAUGUUCUACUACUUCUAUUGUUGUUAUGUGAUACGUCUCCAACGUAUCUAUAAUUUUUUAUUGCUCCAUGCUAUAUUAUCUACUAUUUUGGAUGUUUAUGGGCUUUAUUAUACACUUUUAUAUCUUUUCUGGGACUAACCUAUUAACCCAGAGCCCAGUGCCAGUUUAUGUUUUUACCUUGUUUUAGGGUUUCGAAGAAAAGGAAAAUCAAACGAAGUCCAAUUGACCUGAAACUUCACGGAACUCAUUUUUGGAAGGAAAGAAGCCUAGAAGACUUGGAGUGCACGCCAGGGGACUUAUGAGGAGGCCACGAGGCAGGGGGGCGCGCCCACCCCCUAGGCGCGCCCUCCACCCUUGUGGGCCCCUCGUGCCCCCCCUGACGUACUUCUUCCGCCGAUAUAUCUCCAUAUACCCUAAAAUGAUCGAAAAAGAGAUUAGAUCGGGAGUUCCGCCGCCAGAAGCCUCCGUAGCCACCGAAAACCAAUCUAGACCCGUUCCGGCACCCUGCCGGAGGGGGAAUCCUUCUCCGGUGGCCAUCUUCAUUAUCCCGGUGCUCUCCAUGACGAGGGAGUAGUUCUCCCUCGGGGCUGAGGGUAUGUACCAGUAGCUAUGUGUUUGAUCUCUCUCUCUCUCUCUCAUGUUCUUGAGAUGAUACGAUCUUGUUGUAUCGUGAGCUUUGCUAUUAUAUUUGGAUCCUAUGAUGUUUCUUCCCCCCUCUACUCUCUUGUAAGUUUCCCCUUUGAAGUUAUCUUAUCGGAUUGAGUCUUUAAAGAUUUGAGAACACUUGAUGUAUGUCUUGCCGUGCGUAUCUGUGGUGACAAUGGGAUACCAUGUGAUUCACUUGAUGUAUGUUUUGGUGAUCAACUUGCGGGUUCCGCCCAUGAACCUAUGCAUAGGGGUUGGCACAUGUUUUCAUCGUGAUUCUCCGGUAGAACUUUGGGGCACUCUUUGAGGUCCUUUGUGUUGGUUGAAUAGAUGAAUCUGAGAUUGUGUGAUGCAUAUCGUAUAAUCAUACCCACGGAUACUUGAGGUGACAUUGGAGUAUCUAGGUGACAUUAGGGUUUUGGUUGAUUUGUGUCUUAAGGUGUUAUUCUAGUACGAACUCUAGGGAUGUUUGUGACACUUAUAGGAAUAGCCCAACGGAUUGAUUGGAAAGAAUAACUUUGAGGUGGUUUCGUACCCUACCAUAAUCUCUUCGUUCGUUCUCUGCUAUUAGUGACUUUGGAGUGACUCUUUGUUGCAUGUUGAGGGAUAGUUAUGUGAUCCAACUAUGUUAGUAUUGUUGAGGGAACUUACACUUGUGAAAGUAUGAACCCUAGGCCUUAUUUCCACGCAUUGCAAUACCGUUUACGCUCACUUUUAUCAUUAGUUACCUUGCUGUUUUUUAUAAUUUCAUAUUACAAAUACCUUUAUCUACUAUCCAUAUACCACUUGUAUCACCCUCUCUUCGCCGAACUAGUGCACCUAUACAAUUUAUUGUUGUAUUGGGUGUGUUGGGUACACAAGAGACUCUUUGUUAUUUGGUUGCAGGGUUGCUUGAGAGAGACCAUCUUCAUCCUACGCCUCCUACGGGUUGAUAAACCUUGGGUCAUCCACUUGAGGGAAAUUUGCUACUGUCCUACAAACCUCUGCACUUGGAGGCCCAACAACGUCUACAAGAAGAAGGUUGUGUAGUAGACAUCAAGCUCUUUUCUGCCGCCGUUGCCGGGGAGGUUAGCGCUUGAAGGUAUAUCCUUAGAUCUUGCAAUCGAGUCUUUUAGUUUCUUGUUUUACCACUAGUUUAGUUUAUAAAAUAAAGUUACAAAAAAUAGAAUUAAGUUUGUCUCAUACGCUUCAUCUUUUUAAUAUCUUUCGUGAGUAUGAUGGAAAGGAUAAUUGUGCUCAAGUGCUAGGAGAAGAAAUAUAUAAAAUGUUUGGCACUAAAUAUUUGAAUGAUGAGCAUGAUUGCAAUGUUGUUAGUACGAAUUCUUUGAAUAUCCAUGAUACUAAUGAUGAUUGCACUAGUUAUGAUGAAAAUGUCUCCUAUAAACAGGUCAAUUUUUGUGGAGUGCAUCGGGUUUGUAAGUACACACCAAAUAGAGAAGAUAGAUAUUGCAAGAAGCAUAAGUACUUAGAAACUAAAUUGUUGCAUGAAGAGCUAGAUGAUUGUGAUGAAAAUUUAAAUUUUCUUGGUCAUACUUGUGAGCUUUGUAAUGAACGUGGUCAUUUAAUUAUCCGAUGCAAAUUGUUUCAUGAUCUAAUAGUGUCCAAAAAUUGUGAUGACUUGAUUUCCCUUGCACAUUAUAAUGAACUUAGUUUGCUUAUGGGCUAUGAAGAAAUGAAACGUAUAACUAAGGAUAUUCCAAAAUUUGCCCUUGAUAAAGUUCUUCAUUUUGACCUAGAGGAAAUUUAUAUGUAUUGUGCGGUGAAUUGCAUUGAAAAUCCUUAUAUUGCCAAUUACAUAAAGAAAAGAAAACAAAUAGAAGAUGAAGAGAAUACUAAUGAAAGGGAAGAGACUUCCCAAUAUCCUCCUAUUAUUUCUUAUGAUGAAUCAGGUAACGAGGAGGAGCCUCCUAUUCAACCAAUCUCAUUAAUAAGGAGCUCCAGAAAGAGGAUUGAACCCACACAUGAUUUGGUGAAGAAGAAGAAAAGAAAAAGGAAGAGAGGUAAAAAGAUAUCUAUCCCAAAUAAUGCUGCUCCUAUUACUAUUGUGCCUCAUGAAAAUAUAAUUGUGGAAGAUAAUGAUACUUCUUAUGAUCUUGAAAAUCUUUUUGGCACUUGCUUGGAAGAAUAUGAUAAUUGCUAUACUAUUGGUGCUAUCCAUACUAUUAAUGAUGAGAGUGAUUAUGCUUAUGAUAUGAGAAGGACCAAGCUUGGGGAUGCUAUGUUUGAUGAAGAUGAUGUUUUUGAGAAUAUAUUUUCUGCAAUUAAUGUUUGUCCCAAGCUUUGGGAAGCUAUGAUUAAUGAAGAUGAUAUUUUUAGUCUCCCAAGUUUUGAUAUGCAAGUUUAUAAUGAUGAUAGCAUGCCUCCUACUUAUGAUGAUUAUUGUGAUGAUACUUAUGCUAUAAAAAGUAGUGAUUAUAUUUAUAAAACUUGUCAUGAUUAUCAUUACCCCUUCUCUAAACAUUACUCUUUCAAUGUGGAAACAAUUUAUAGUAUUCGAGUUUCUUAUGAUACUCCCACUAUUCCGAAUGAGAAGAAUUUUGCUUAUGUGGAGAGUAAUAAAAUUUCUAUGCUUAUAGAUCAUGAAAAGAAUGCUUUAGGUGCUGGUUAUAUUGUUGAAUUCAUUCAUGAUUCUACUGAAAGUUAUUAUGAGAGAGGAAUAUAUGCUUGCAGGAAUUGCAAUAAUAUCAAGUUUCCUCUCUAUGUGCUUAAAAUUUUGAAGUUAUGCUUGUUUUACCUUCCUAUGCAAGUUGAUUCUUGUUCCCACAAGUUGUUUGCUCACAAAAUCCCGAUGCAUAGGAAGUGGGUUAGACUUAAAUGUGCUAGUCAUAUUCUUCAAGAUGCUCUCUUUAUGUUACAAUUCUUAUCUUUUAUGUGAGCAUCAUUGAAAUCAUCAUGCCUAGCUAGGGGCGUUAAACGAUAGCGCUUGAUGGGAGGCAACCCAAUUUUAUUUUUAUUCCUUGCUUUUUGCUACGGCUUAGUAAUAAAUAAAUUAUUUAGCCUCUGUUUUGGUUGUGUUUUUUGUGUUUAAUUAGUGUUUGUGCCAAGUAGAACCGUUGGGAAGACUUGGGUGAAGUCUUUAUGAUCAUGCUGUAAAAAUACAGAAACUUUAGCGCUCACGAGAAUUGCUGCCAUUUUUAUUUGGAGAGUGAUAUUUAGUUAAUUAUUUUUGCAUAUGAUUAAUAGAUAAAUUCCUCAGGUCCAGCAAUUUAUUUGAGAAUUUUAUGAGUUCCAUAAGUAUACGUUUGAUCCAGAUUACUACAGACUGUUCUGUUUUUGACAGAUUCUGUUUUUCGUGUGUUGUUUGCUUAUUUUGGUGAAUCUAUGGCUAGUAAAAUAGUUUAUAAACCAUAGAGAAGUUGGAAUACAGUAGGUUUAACACUAUGAGUUCAUUACAGUACCUUGAAGUGGUGAUUUAUUUUCUUAUACUAACGGAGCUUACGAGUUUUCUGUUAAGUUUUGUGUUGUGAAGUUUUCAAGUUUUGGGUAAAGAUUCGAUGGACUAUAGAAUAAGGAGUGGCAAGAGCCUAAGCUUGGGGAUUCACAAGGCACCCCAAGGUAAUAUUCAAGGAUAUCCAAGAGCCUAAGCUUGGGGAUGCCCCGGAAGGCAUCCCCUCUUUCGUCUUCGUUCAUCAGUAACUUUACUUGGAGCUAUAUUUUUAUUCGCCACAUGAUAUGUGUUUUGCUUGGAGCAUCAAUUUAUUUUGUUAGGAUUUUCUUGCUGUUAUUUAUAACAAUGUUUUGCAUCUUUUAUUUCAAUAAAAGUGGCAUUGAUAGCCUUUACUAUUCCUAUUUGAGAAGUCCACAUGUUGCUGUUUGAAAACAGAAAGUUUACCGCUGUUGCAAUAAUUCCCUAGAAAAUUCAGAAUGUGAUAAAAUGUUGAAACCUUUUGCAUAUUAAGCUAUGAUAAAUUUACUACAGUGGGAAUUUUCUUUAAUAAUUUUUUGAGCUAGGGAAGUAUGGAUGUUUCUGCAUUCUUUACAGACUGUCCUGUUUAGGCAGAUUGCUGUUAUGUUUGCAUAUGUUUGCUUCUUUAAUGAUUCUAUUUGAGGAUAGGACUAUUAAAUAUGCAGAGGCAUUUAGUAUGCAAUGUUGAAUAAUAAUUUUAGUGAUUUGCUACAGUAGAACAUGAUAAGGUUUUGGCAAUGGUUUAUGCUAACUUAUCUCACGAGUCCUUGUUGAGUUUUGUGUGGAUGAAGCUUUUGAGAUUUAGGGAGACCGUGAUAUGAGAGGAAUUAAGGAGACACAAAAGCUCAAGCUUGGGGAUGCCCAAGGCAUCCCAAGAUAAUAUUUCAAGAAGUCUCAAGCAUCUAAGCUUGGGGAUGCCCCGGUUGGCAUCCCACCUUUCUUCUUCAACAACUAUCGGUUAGUUUCGGUUGAUCCUAAGUUUUUGCUUCUUCACAUGAUGUUUGCCAUUGUUAGAAUGUCAUUUUAUUUUGCUUUGCUUGCUGUUUGAAUAGAAUACCAAGAUCUGAAAUUAUUAAAUAAGAGAGAGUCUUCACAUAGUUGCAUAAUUAUUCGACUACUCAUUGAUCUUCACUUUUAUCUUUCGGAGUAGUUUGUCGUUUACUCUAGUGCUUCACUUACAUCUUUUAGAGCACGGUGGUAGUUUUAUUUUGAAGAAAUAGAUGAACUCUCAUGCUUCACUUAGAUUAUUUUGAGAGUCUUAAAUAGCAUGGUAAUUUUCUUAAAAUCCUAGUAUGCUAGGUAUACAAGAUUAAUAAUAAAAUUUUCUUAUGAGUGUUUUGAAUACUAAGAGAAGUUUGAUGCUUGAUGAUUGUUUUGAGAUAUGGAGGUAAUAAUAUCAAAGUCGUGCUAGUUGAGUAGUUGUGAAUUUGAGAAGUGCUUGUGUUGAAGUUUGCAAGUCCCGUAGCAUGCACGUAUGGUAAACGUUGUGUAACAAAUUAGAAACAUGAGGUGUUAUUUGAUUGUCCUCCUUAUGAGUGGCGGGCGGGGACGAGCGAUGGUCUUUUCCUACCAAUCUAUCCCCCUAGGAGCAUGCGCGUAGUGCCGAGAUUUUUGAUGACUUGUAUAUUUUUUGCAAUAAGUAUGUGAGUUCUUUAUGACUAAUGUUGAGUCCAUGGAUUAUAAGCACUCUCACCCUUCCAUCCUUGCUAGCCUCUUCGGUACCGUGCAUUGCCCUUUCUCACAAUGAGAGUUGGCGCAAACUUCGCCGGUGCAUCCAAACCCCGUGAUAUGAUACGCUCUUUCACACAUAAACCUCCUUAUAUCUUCCUCAAAACAGCCACCAUACGUACCUAUUAUGGCAUUUCCAUAGCCAUUCCGAGAUAUAUUGCCAUGCAACUUUCCACCGUUCCGUUUAUUAUGACACGCAUCAUCAUUGUCAUAUUGCUUUGCAUGAUCAUGUAGUUGACAUCGUAGUUGUGGCAAAGCCACCUCUCAUAAUUCUUUCAUACAUGUCACUCAUGCAUCAUCGCAAUCCCGGUACACCGCUAGAGGCAUUCAUAUAGAGUCAUACUUUGUUCUAGUAUCGAGUUGUAAUCAUUGAGUUGUAAAAAAAUAGAAGUGUGAUGAUCAUCAUUAUUAGAGCAUUGUCCCAAGUGAGGAAUAAAAAAAGAGAAAGGCCAUAAAAAAGAGAAGGCCCAAUGUCGGUGUUAAAACCGGCGGAUCUCGGGUAGGGGUUCCCGAACUGUGCGUCUAAGGCGGAUGGUAAUAGGAGGCAGGGGACACAAUGUUUUACCCAGGUUCGGUCCCUCUUGAUGGAGGUAAAACCCUACGUCCUGCUUGAUUAAUAUUGAUGAUAUGGGUAGUAUAAGAGUAGAUCUACCACGAGACCAGAGAGGCUAAACCCUAGAAGCUAGCCUAUGGUAUGAUUGUAUGUUGUAGUUGUUGUGUCCUAUGGACUAAAACCCUCCGGUUUAUAUAGACACCGGAGAGGGUUAGGGUUACACAAGGUCGGUUACAAAGGAGGAGAUAUCCAUAUCCGUAUUGCCUAGCUUGCCUUCCACGCCAAGUAGAGUCCCAUCCGGACACGAGACGAAGUCUUCAAUCUUGUCUCUUCAUAGUCCAACAGUCCGGCCAAAGGAUAUAAUCCGGCUGUUCGGAGACCCCCUAAUCCAGGACUCCCUCAGUAGCCCCUGAACCAGGAUUCAAUGACGAUGAGUCUGACGCGCAGUAUUUUCUUCGGCAUUGCAAGGCGGGUUCCUCCUCCGAAUACAUCACGGAAGGAUUUGAAUACAAGGAUAGUGUCUGACCCUGCAAAAUAAGUUCCACAUACCACCGUAGAGAGAAUAAUAUAUCCACAAAUCUAAUCUGCUGACACGUUUCGGCAACACGACCUUAUGCCACGGCCCGGUAAUUAUUCGAACCGUUUUUCUUCAACCAGCCUCGCACAUAACGUGAGGCGGUUUCUUGACAUGUCUUGUCAAAGCAGAGAUCGUGCUCCCCUAAUUAUAGGAUUCUCAUCAAUACGGUCGUGGGUAACCCAACCGUAUCUAGGACUCCUAGAUUAUAGGUAAGUCCCAAAUGGCUACGGAGAGGACGCUUGAUAUUAACCCUCUUUAUAAAGGGACAAGGCUUUUACUUUUUUCCCUCCCAUGCUCAAUCGAAUCCUUCCCCCGCCUCGAGUUCUAACACCCAAAGCCCAGGUCAGGUGCUCCGGAUCUUCAAUCAUGUCUGGAUCUAGCCUUCAAGGCCGGUGGAUGCCCUCCUCCGUUACGGAAGAAGACAUCAAGAAGUUGAGGGAGGCCAGAUACCUGACCGCCGAGGUUUCGCAUCGGCUGCCUGCUCGAGGGCAGGUCGUCCCUACUCCUGAACCCAACGAAGACAUCAUGUUCAUCUCCCACUUCCUCUGAGGUCUAGGCCUCACUCUAGAUCCCUUCGUUAGGGGGCUGAUGUUUUAUUACGGGCUAGAUUUCCAUGAUCUGGCCCCGGAUUCCUUUCUCCACAUCUCAUCAUUUAUUGUUGUAUGUGAGGCCUUCCUCCGCAUUACCCCUCACUUCGUCCUAUGGCUCAAGACCUUUGACGUGAAGCCAAAGAUGGUCGAGGGGUAGCAUGUAGCGUGCGGAGGCGCAUUAAUAAGCAGGAUUGCCGGAGCUCCAUGGCCAAAGGGUUUUAUUCCAGAGGUGUCUGGAUUAUGGUAACGGGAGUGGUUUUACAUCAUAGCUCCCAGAAGUGCCAAGUGGGUGGCUGUCCCUACUUUCCACUCAGGCCCUCCACCACAACUGAUGUCAUGGAUUAGCAGAGGGCUGAGCUGGGGUCCCGCCAAGGACGUGCCUGUACUGCAAAGCCGCAUUCAAAAUCUCUUCGAAGGAGAUUUCAGUUUGAUUAUGGUAAUGCAAGUCAUGCUGGUUCGACGAAUCCAGCCAUGCAAACGCCAACCUCUUCGCAUGUGGGAGUUCAACCCAGAAGGACCGUGCGCUAUUCAGGAUUUCCUCGGCCUGACGCACGAGGAGAUGUAUAGAUCAUUGUUCGGACCCCAGAUAGAGUGUUCGGAUACUACCGAGGACGUGGGCCUGAGCAGCAACCACACCGCCGACCAAGUAAGUUAUCCUCUAGCCGAACACACCAACUUUCAUUUAUCAUGACGUUAUUCUGAGAAAUCGCUCUUUGACCAGGACUGGAUAACAAAGGCGAAGAUGAUUCGGUGUUCGGCCCCCCUUCCUGAGGGUUUGGAAAAUCCGGUACUGGAAAAGAUGCUCGAGCUAGCACCUUGCCCGGAGCCCUCAAAGGAAGACAAAGGGGGGAAUAAUGAGGGCGAAAGUGGACCUCCAUCGCUACCUAUUCCGACCGAGGGAACGAGCGCCUCCGUGAGGGAGGAUAACCGAGGGGAGGAAUCGGACAUUCUCUCACCCCUGGGGAGGAAGAGGACUACCUCUGAAGAUCCGGAAACCAAGGUUUCCAAGCAGGAGAAGAAAUCUCCACCAGAGGGUCCUGCCUUGGAGGGUGCUCUUGCCGCACAGAGUCUGUGCGGGGAUCAGCCCUCUAACGAGCUGUAAGUAAUUAAAAAGUACUUUAAUAGUGAGGAUAUAUUACCUUACCUCUGAGGAAAAUAACCGAAGUAUUUAUAUUGCAGUUCAGAUCUUUGCCCUUCUCAGCAGAGCUCGUCUUCGGGGGAUCUUCUUCUGGAGAUGAUGGAGAGUGAAAUGCCUCCCCCGGACUCCUCCGCUCAAGAAGCAGGCGACCUUGAAGUGUCGUCACAGAGGGCCUCUCCGGAUUCGGUGAGGCCAGAAGAUAAUCCUAUAGUCACCCGAAGUCCCCAGCGUCCGGCUCUCGAAGAGAGCAAACAGAAGAGUCCGACACCGACUGGUAUGCGGUCGGAUGUACUGAGAGAGCUUUUGGAGCGAGCGGCCAUCUCAAAAGAACACCGUACAUUGAUGGGUACGGUGAUGGAAAGGAUCUCAUCCGCCGAAAGCGGGUUGCAUGAUGCCUUUAUGAGUCUAUUGACGGGCUUUGAGGUACGUAAAAUGAUGUACAUUUGUGAUGGUACCGCACAUUUUUUAGCUGUGCCCUGUGUAGAUAGUAGCCCCUGAGACUCUGGUUGUCGCCGAGAAUGGCGGCAAACAGAGGAUCGUAGUCCCAGGCAAUAACCAUACCGCUUUAAUGUGCAGGUAGUGGGAGCUCCGGUGGCUAGCCGGACUCAUGAGUUUGCCGAACUGAAGCGGCAACUGGAUGCGGCGGAUGCCGACAUCGAGCUUGUUAACAAGAGGCUUGACGAGGCACAGUGUAAGUGUUAUUUUCUGGUGAAUGCCACAUAGUAAGAGCAGCAUGAUGCCAGUAUCUUUAAUAUGUUGUGACUGCAGAUGGAGCUGCCACCGUGGAAACCCUGCGGGCGGAACUUGCCCGAGGCAAAGAACAAGCAAGGAUUAGUAAUGCGGCUGCUUUGAAGGCGGUCGAAGAGUUGAAAGCCGAGAAGGCCGCGCAUUGCGAGAGCAAAGAGAAGAUGGCCAAGAUGGCCGUAAAGUUAAAAGACACUGCUGACCGUUGUUAGUUCCUUGAAAAAGAAAACCGAGCGAAGGCAAUGGACCUUGAAAAGGCCACGAUGGUGAACAAAGACACCCGAUCUGCUAUGAGAGCGAAGAAGGAGGAGCUGCGUGAAGCCGGGGAUAUUGCGGCUGGGAAGCCCUUCAUGCUACGAAGAAAGUUCGGAGAUCCAUGGUAUGCCCCUCUGGAUCGGCCGUGGAGUUCGGCAGACGCAUAUAUGGACUUGGCGGCGAGCGCUGCCGAUGCGGCCAAAUACUUCCAAGGUCAAACAGAUCGUGAAGUGGACAAGCUGUUCUGGUCGCAAUUCAACAUUCCAGAGCGUCCGCUUCCAUUGACUGAUCAGCUAGCCGAAUGGGCCAAACUAAAUAGGUUGUCCGGACUCGCCAUGAGGGCUGUCGUGGAUCAGCUGUGGCCGGAAAAGCCGAAGCCAAACAGCUAUUUCAGCUUAGUGCAGCAGUUCCUUGGUGCGGUGCCGCGCAUCAAUGCGAUGAAGAGGCCGGCGUGCAUAGAAGGCUCGCGGAUGGCCCUUGCCCGUGUUAAAGCAUACUGGGCGGAGAUGGAUGCUACCACUGUUGCGGCGCAGGGUUCGACCAUAGGCCGAGUGGCUGCCGAGCACUAUUUCGAAGAGGUUCUCGAGGGUGAUCAUUUGAUAGAGGCCCAGUGCUUGAAGAAUAUUAUGUUUGAGUGACAUGUAUUCCCAUUGUAAACACAAUGUUUCUAUGAAAUUUAUUAAGGCCGUGUUUAUACUUUUGCCUGAAAGUAAUAUGAUGCCUCCCGUGCGGCCGUUUAUGUAUACAUGUGUAUAACCUGAAAGAUUACAGUCGUCGGCUUCAGCCCCCAUGCAUAUAAUGCGGAGGUGUUUGCAGAAGACGCGUGUUCACACUUAACCCAACGUCUUGGUCCUAUUAAGGAGGUGAUAGCGCAGUGAACGAGGCAACCAGACUAUAAUGCUUUAACACUUUCACUUAGCCAUAGGAGUUUGACGACGGGGCUACUAUAUAGCCCCUGCUAGCUCCGCAUUCUCCCAAAUUCGGGGUGCGUACAUGCCUGGCCGAGAAACGGCCCUUCGUUAAGGCGGAGGAAUUCUAACAUUCCGAUAUGUCAUCGAGUGGUUGACCAGUCUCACGCUAUAUCAUGACAGUCAGUUUUCGGCUUUCUCUAAUGAGGUGCUCGUCCGGAUGACCCAGGGCACAAUCGCAGUAGUUCUCCUAGUGCUACCUUAGCCGAUAGAGCGGAACGUAAGGUACCAAAACAUAGGAGCCGGGCAAACCCAACAUUUGACCAAAGACAUGAUUCAGAGCUGAUGCAUAUAAGGCCAAACUCGCGACGCCGAACACUCGCUAAGGUAUUCGGUCUUUAUGGUAUAAACUGGGCGUAAAUAGUGCCCUUUGUAAGAAGCCCCUGGUGUCCAGGUACGUGCAUUAUUCUGACGUGACCACAUGCCAAGACGCCAGCAUCCUUCUCAAUUGUACUGAGAAUCCGAGGGAUGUGUAUCAACAAGAGACAGUAAAAAAGGUUGAUGCAGGGUCUUAAUCUAAAAAGAAUCCUUGGGACGGGCCCCUGCUGCACGUCUGCGCCUGUGUCUCCGUUGUGCCAUAUCCUGGACGGGUGUAGAACGGUGGUCAUCUGUAGUCGUGCAAAAAGGUAGGUUUUAAAGAAACCAUGUAAAUUUCAAGAUGAGUAAAAAUUGCCACUUGUCUGCGCGCAUUGAGGCCCUUGUGUUUAUGAGAGGGGUGUGGCCAUCAAACCUGUACAAAUUUCAUAUAGCUGCGCCGGACUCGUCUAACCGUGUCCGUGGUCAUGACAACCUAUCGAGUACUUUAGCUGGUGAGGCCGUUUUAGUGCGGCAGCCGCACCCUCCUCGACGCGCAGGGAUCGCUCAAUAUUUCCAUUUACUGUAAUGAUGCCACGUGGACCGGGCAUCUUAAGCGUGAGGGAAUCAUAAUGCGGUAUUGCAUUAAAGCAAGCGAAAGCUUCGCGUCCAAGUAGUGCUUGAUAGCCACUUUGGAACGGAGCAAUGUGGAAGGUUAAAUUUUCGCUACGGAAGUUAUCGGGGAAGCCGAAUAUAACUUCUAGUAGCAGGGAGCCCGUGCAAUGAGCCCCUCGGCCUGGGGUUACUCCUCUAACGGUAGUAUUGCUGAGGAAAAUUUUCGUUGGGUCUAUCCCCAUUUUGCGGAUUGUGUCCUGAUAUAUCAAGUUUAGACUGCUGCCACCGUUCAUCAGGACUCGUGUGAAGUGGUAUCCGUCAAUUAUUGGGUCUAAUACCAAGGCAGCCCAUCCUGCAUGCCGGAUACUUGCUGAGUAAUCCCGAUGGUCAAAAGUGAUCGAUUGAAACGACCAGUGGCAGGGCUCCGCGGUGAUAGGCCCUUGGGCAUAUUUGUCUGGGAGUGCCGCUUUGUUUCUCCCCUUGAUCACGUGUAACACGUUGACUGUUUUGACUUCUGGUGGAAAUUUCUUUUGUUCCCCAGUGUCUUGCUUGAGAGGCUCAUCCUCGUCUUCGCUUGGUGUAUCCUCCCCCUUGUGUACGGCGUUGAGCUUGUCGGACUGCUUGAAGACCCAACAUUCUCUGUGGGUAUGAUUAGCGGGUUUACCAGGGGUGCUAUGGAUCUGACAUACUUGGUCCAGAAUUUUAUUUAGGUUGGACAGUUCGUCUCUGGCGCCUUUAGAGGGCGGCUUUUGCUGACUUGGCCGAGAGCUUUUGAAUCCGGCGUUUACUGCCGUGCUCUUCGUGCUGUCUUCUUUAUUCCGGCGUUUGUUAUUGCGCCGUGAUUUUCCGUUUCCAUCUCUAACUUUGGAUGUACUUGGGUUGCUGGCGCUGCAUCUGGCUAGCCAGCGAUCCUCACCCGUGCAAAAGCGGGUCAUGAGGCUUGUUAAUGCUGCCAUUGUUCUCGGCUUUUCUUGGCCGAGGUGUCUGGCAAGCCAUUCAUCGCGGACGCUAUGCUUAAAAGCUGCCAAGGCUUCGGCGUCCGGACAGUCAACUAUUUGGUUCUUUUUAGUAAGAAACCUGUUCCAAAGCUUUCGGGCUGACUCUCCAGGCUGUUGAGUUAUAUGACUCAAAUCGUCCGCAUCCGGAGGUCGGACAUAAGUCCCUUGAAAAUUUGCCCGAAAAGCAUCUUCGAGCUCUUCCCAGCUUCCAAUGGAGUUUUCAGGGAGGCUUUUAAGCCAAUGCCGAGCUGGCCCUUUGAGCUUAAGGGGUAAGUACUUGAUGGCGUGGAGAUCAUCUCCUCGAGCCAUAUGGAUAUGGAGGAUAUAGUCCUCGAUCCAGACCCCAGGGUCUGUUGUUCCGCCGUAUGCCUCUAUGUUUACGGGUUUGAAUCCCUCUGGAAAUUCAUGGUCCAACACCUCAUCGGUGAAACAUAGGGGGUGUGCGGCACCCCUGUAUCUGGGUGUACCAUGUUGUUCGGAUGUUUGUUGUGUUGCAUCUUAUGCUGGAGCGCAUUUGCGUGGUCCAUAGAUGGAUCUGGUUGCGCCGUCCUUUUGGUGCGAGCCCUCGCGUGGAUCGUGUAUUGGCUUAUGUGUGGUGUUGUUUGCCGCUCUAUGUUGGCCGUGAGGUCGUCUAUCCGGCUAGGUGGCCGUUUUGAUUUUUGGUUGCGGGGGAUCUAAGGCCUCCUCAUCGAAUUCGAGUAGCAACUUCCGCUUCGGGUAGCUCUUGGUGGGGCGAUUACCGCCGUACUUCGCUGCUGCGUUGAGUACUUGGCUCCAUCUGAUUCCGAGUGUGUCUUGUGCAGCCUUGAGUCUUUGCUUAUGCUUUUUUAGACUCCUCGCGGUGACAACAAGCCUUUGACGGGCAUUCUGUUGCUCCAGGUGUCUGUCCGGUGUGAGGUCGUCCGGAUUAUUAUCUUUGACAGAGUCAGGUUGUUCGGUUUGAUUCUCCGUAUUGCCGUGAUCCGGCGAUGGUUCACCCUGCUCUAACGCUGGGUCUAUAUGAUCGUUGUUUCUGUCGAGGCGGGAUUUGGAGCGGCGCUUACGCCGCCGCUUUGACUGCUUCUCGAGGGGACAACCCUUCGUUGCGUCCUUUCGUUCCUCGUCAUCGAUUUCUUUUGGUGUGUUCACCAUGUAUACGUCGUGUGAUGAAGUGGGCGUCCAAUGCCCUAUGGGCAGCGGUUCCUGUUCAUCUCCUGCAUCGUCGUCCAUACCGUUGAUGUCUUCGGAGUCGAGGUUGAGCAUGUCGGUUAAGUCAUCGACAGUGGCUACUAAGUGGGUGGUGGGUGGGCGGCAAAUUUCUUCGUCAUCCACAUCCAAAUCCUGCCGGACAUAGUCCGGCCAGGAUCCUCCUGACGAGGAGAGGGACCUUAAUGUGUUCAGUAUGUCGCCAAAGGGCGAGUGCUAAAAAAUAUCCGCGGAGGUAAACUCCAUGAUCGGCGCCCAAUCGGAUUCGAUAGGAACGGGCACGGGCGGUUCAGAGUCCGUGGUCGGAGAGGGAUCCGACAGUUUAUCAACACGGCUCUCGUGCAAGGUAAGGUCGAUGUUUGGCUCGAUCACCGCUGAGGGUAAGGCCUCCGUGGCGGGGUCCAUCCACCCGUCCACGGACGGCGCAACUGGCUCCGAAUUGGGGGUCGGAGCGGCUGCCUGUGCGAUCUCCUGAACACUAUCCGAUGGUAGAGCUAAAUCGUACUCAUCGUGACUGCGUGACGCACAAGGCAGAGGCUCGAAUCCGUCGAAGAUCAAGUCUCCACGGAUAUCAGUCGUGUAGUUUAAGCUUCCAAACCUGACCUAGUGGCCAGGGGCAUAACUUUCGAUCUGCUCCAGAUGGCCAAGCGAAUUGGCCUGCAGUGCAAAGCCGCUGAACAUGAAGAUCUGUCCGGGGAGAAAAGUCUCACCCUGGACUGCAUCACUAUCGAUGAUAGUAGGAGCCAUCAAGCCUAACGACGACGACAUAGAGGAACUCUCAAUGAAAGCACCAAUGUCGGUGUCAAAACCGGCGGAUCUCGGGUAGGGGGUCCCGAACUGUGCAUCUAAGGCGGAUGAUAACAGGAGGCAGGGGACACAAUGUUUUACCCAGGUUCGGGCCCUCUUGAUGGAGGUAAAACCCUACGUCCUGCUUGAUUAAUGUUGAUGAUAUGGGUAGUACAAGAGUAGAUCUACCACGAGAUCAGAGGGCUAAACCCUAGAAGCUAGUCUAUGGUAUGAUUGUAUGUUGUAGUUGUUGUGUCCUACAGACUAAAACCCUCCGGUUUAUAUAGACACCGGAGAUGGUUAGGGUUACACAAGGUCGGCUACAAAGGAGGAGAUAUCCAUAUCCGUAUUGCCUAGCUUGCCUUCCACGCCAAGUAGAGUCCCAUCCGGACACGAGACGAAGUCUUCAAUCUUGUAUCUUCAUAGUCCAAUAGUCCGGCCAAAGGAUAUAAUCCUGCUGUCCGGAGACCCCCUAAUCCAGGACUCCCUCACCCCAAAAAAAGAGAGAAAGGCCAUAAAAAAGAGAAGGCCCAAAAAAAUGAGAGAAAAAGAGAGAAGGGACAAUGUUACUAUCCUUUUACCCCACUUGUGCUUCAAAGUAGCACCAUGAUCUUCAUAGUAGAGAGUCUCUCAUGCUAUCACUUCCAUAUACUAGUGGGAAUUUUUCAUUAUAGAACUUGGCUUGUAUAUUCCAACAAUGGGCCUCCUCAAGUGCCCUAGGUCUUCGGGAGCAAGCAAGUUGGAUGCACACCCACUAGUUUCUUUUGUUGAGCUUUCAUACAUUUAUAGCUCUAGUGCAUCCGUUGCAUGGCAAUCCCUACUCCUUGCAUUAACAUCAAUCGGUGGGCAUCUCCAUAGCCCAUUGAUUAGCUUCGUUGAUGUGAGACUUUCUCCUUUUUGUCUUCUCCACAUAACCCCCCUAAUUAUAUUCUAUUCCACCCAUAGUGCUAUAUCCAUGGCUCGUGCUCAUGUAUUGCGUGAAAGUUUAUGAGUUUGAGAUUACUAAAGUAUGAAACAAUUGCUUGGCUUGUCAUCAGGGUUGUGCAUGAUGAGAGCAUUCUUGUGUGACGAAAAUGAAACAUGAAUAAACUAUAUGAUUUUGUAGGGAUGAACUUUCUUUGGCCAGGUUAUUUUGAGAAGACAUAAUUGCUUAGUUAGUAUGCUUGAAGUAUUAUCAUUUUUAUGUCAAUAUGAACUUUUGUCUUGAAUCUUUUGGAUUUGAAUAUUCAUACCACAAUUAAGAAGAAUUACAUUGAAAUUAUGCCAAGUAGCACUCCGCAUCAAAAAUUCUAUUUUUAUCAUUUACCUACUAGAGGACGAGCAGGAAUUAAGCUUGGGGAUGCUGAUACGUCUCCAACGUAUCUAUAAUUCUUGAUUGCUCCAUGCUAUAUUAUCUGCUAUUUUGGAUGUUUAUGGGAUUUAUUAUACACUUUUAUAUCAUUUUUGGGACUAACCUAUUAACCCAGAGCCCAGUGCCAAUUUCUGUUUUUACCUUGUUUUAGGGUUUCGAAGAAAAGGAAAAUCAAAUGGAGUCCAAUUGACCUAAAACUUCACGGAACUCAUUUUUGGAAGGAAAGAAGCCCAUAAGACUUGGAGUGCACGCCAGGGGACUUACGAGGAGGCCACGAGGCAGGGGGGCGCGCCCUCCACCCUCGUGGGCCCCUUGUGGCCCCCUGACGUACUUCUUCUGCCUAUAUAUCUCCAUAUACCCUAAAAUGAUGAAAAAAGAGAUUAGAUUGGGAGUUCCGCUGCCAGAAGCCUCCGUAGCCACCGAAAACCAAUCUAGACCCGUACGGCACCCUGCCGGAGGGGGAAUCCUUCUCCGGUGGCCAUCUUCAUCAUGCCGGUGCUCUCCAUGACGAGGAGGGAGUAGUUCUCCCUCGGGGCUGAGGGUAUGUACCAGUAGCUAUGUGUUUGAUCUCUCUCUCUCUCUCUCUCGUGUUCUUGAGAUGAUAUGAUCUUGAUGUAUCGCGAGCUUUGCUAUUAUAUUUGGAUCCUAUGAUGUUUCUUCCCCCCUCUACUCUCUUGUAAUGAAUUGAGUUUCCCCUUUGAAGUUAUCUUAUCGGAUUGAGUCUUUAAAGAUUUGAGAACACUUGAUGUAUGUCUUGUCGUGCGUAUCUGUGAUGACAAUGGGAUACUGCGUGAUUCACUUGGUGUAUGUUCUGGUGAUCAACUUGCGGGUUCCGCCCAUGAACCUAUGCAUAGGGGUUGGCACACGUUUUCGUCGUGAUUCUCUGGUAGAACUUUGGGGCACUCUUUGAGGUCCUUUGUGUUGGUUGAAUAGAUUAAUCUGAGAUUGUGUGAUGCAUAUCGUAUAAUCAUACCCACGGAUACUUGAGGUGACAUUAGAGUAUCUAGGUGACAUCAGGGUUUUGGUUGAUUUGUGUCUUAAGGUGUUAUCCUAGUACGAACUCUAGGGCUGUUUGUGACACUUAUAGGAAUAGCCCAACGGAUUGAUUGGAAAGAAUAACUUUGAGGUGGUUUCGUACCCUACCAUAAUCUCUUCGUUCGUUCUCUGCUCUUAGUGACUUUGGAGUGACUCUUUGUUGCAUGUUGAGGGAUAGUUAUGUGAUCCAACUAUGUUAGUAUUGUUGAGGGAACUUAUAGUGAAAGUAUGAACCCUAGGCCUUAUUUCCACACAUUGCAAUACUGUUUACGCUCACUUUUAUCAUUAGUUACCUUGCUGUUUUUAUAAUUUCAGAUUACAAGUACCUUUAUCUACUAUCCAUAUACCACUUGUAUCACCCUCUCUUCGCCGAACUAGUGCCCCUAUACAAUUUACCGUUGUAUUGGGUGUGUUGGGGACACAAGAGACUCUUUGUUAUUUGGUUGCAGGGUUGCUUGAGAGAGACCAUCUUCAUCCUACGCCUCCUACGGAUUGAUAAACCUUGGGUCAUCCACUUGAGGGAAAUUUGCUACUAUCCUACAAACCUCUGCACUUGGAGGCCCAACAACGUCUACAAGAAGAAGGUUGUGUAGUAGACAUCAUUAUGUCUUCAACUGCUGAUGUGGAAACUAACCCUUCUUCUGAGGAUACCACUACUAUUGCUGAUGAGAAUGCUAGGUUGAAGACAUUGCUUGAAACAGGGAUGUACAAAAGCCUCAAAGGGCAUCAGACUCUUUGUGAUGUCCUCAAGAAACAGAUUCUGAACCGAAACCCUAGGAAAGAGGUUUUGGGUUCGAGAGGAAAAUGAAUGUUGAUGGUUCAUACUAGAAGCCCAAGCAGUACCCCACAACCACAUGGGUUGCUGCAAAGGGACCUUCAGUGGAUCCAUCUACCUUAUCUGGCUUCACUUGUGUUAACCCGAUAAUCAUUGAUGAAUCCUUCGAUGCAAACUAUAAACUGUUUAAGAAUCAGAAUGGUGAAGUGUUUGCCAGGUAUAUUGGUACUAAUUGCAGGAAUGGGCCACCUCUGAAGAAGAUCUGGGUGCCCAAAAGUUGUCUUGAGAAGCUUCCUGUGAAUGUUAUCAUGACCCCACCUGGGAAGAAGACAAACUCCAGACCAAAGGCUUCAUAUGUUCCAAAGGUUUCAUACAGAAAGUGGACUCAUCAGAGUCACCCUAACGCCAAUGUUUUACAGGGAAACCAUACUCAGAUGUAUGAAUAUGAGAGUGUUUCAUCAAACCGCUAUGUUCAUAAGACCAAGAACUAUUCAGCUUAUUCUUAUGAGUAUUAUUCACCUCCUACAAGGCUAUUUUCUAGGGCUCCAAAGCCUAAAUUCUCAGAUGCUGCAAUUAGACUCAUUUCUUCUAAGCCACCCCUUAAGAUGUGGGUGGUUAAGAAGAAUUAACUCUCUUUUGCAGGAAAUGGUCUCCAGCCGAAAAUCAAAAGCUUUUGAUGCUUAUGCUGGGGACCUAAAACAUCUUGUGGGACACAAGAUAAAAUGUCCGAAUGGUCUUGCUAUAUAUUUCGUCCCGGUAUUUCUUGAUAAACAUCCUAUCUACCGUAACUAGGAUCUGAACUUUCAUAAUAUGCUUGUUCGUCAAAUGUUUAUGCUUCACACUUCUCUUGGUGAAGCCUAUCCCCCCAAGUGCACUGUAGGGUACAACACCGAAGGCUUCAGAGUGGAUCAUGGACAGUGGAUGCACUAACCACAUGACUGGUGAUCGAAGUCUUCUUAUGAAUUCAACCCUACGUCCAUCUGACAAGAGUCACAUCACAUUUGCUGACACUGGUAAAAGCAAAGUAUUGGGCCUAGGUAGAGUUGUAAUCUCAAGGUAUCAGCACAUGGAUAAAGUCAUGCUUGUUGAAUCCCUCAGUUUCAACUUAAUGUCUGUCUCAAUGCUUUGUGACCUAAACAUGAUUGUGAUAUUUGGAAAUAUCAUUGCCUUGUGCUUAUGGAAUCUGACAAAUCUCUAGUCUUUGAAGGAUAUCUAAAGGAUGAUCUGUAUAUGGUAGAUUUCUCCGCAGGACCAUAGCUGGCUGUAUGUCUUCUAGCAAAAGCUUAAGAGUGUUGGCUCUGGCAUCAGAGGCUAGGGCAUGCUGGCAUGAGGAACUUGCACACUCUCGCAAAGAAGAAGCAUGUCAUAGUCAUCGAGGGCGUCAAGUUCAAGAAGGAUCAUCUGUGCGGUGCCUGCGAAGCUGGAAAGAUGACUAGGGCCAAGCAUCCCUCGAAGACAAUCAUGACGACGAUUCGUCCCUUCGAGCUACUUCACAUGGACUUAUUUGGCCCUACUCACUACUCUACCCUCACUACCACUGCUUGCCUCUAUGGCUUCGUCAUUGUUGAUAAUUACUUGAGGUAUACAUCACUACAAAAAAUACACAUCCAUGACAUUUUGGGCCGAAUGAAAUUUUUUCUUGUCAUGCUUAUGACACUUCUAUGACGAUAAUUGUGACAAAACCCGGUAUCAUCAUAGAUGUGGUGGGCUCCUACUUCUAUGACAAAAAAUCAUGACAGAAAAUGGGCUUUUCAUCCUGGGCGGGCCAGAGACGCAGUUGCAUGACAUUCUUUGGGCCGUCCAUGACGGAAAAAACCGUGGUAGAAGCGAGGGCAAGGAAAAUAUCGGGGGAGUUCUCGGUUACGGUGGGUGGUUGGGGGCCGAGAGAUGCGCGUUUCUCUCGUACGUACGCGUGUGUGUGCGAGGCAUUACACUCUAACUGAACCCGAGCGAUUGCACUGCAGGCUACGCGUUACUGAACCCGAGCGAUCGAUCGAUUCCUUGUUGUUAAUUGAACCCGAGUGAUUCCUUCACUACAGCUAACUGAAGCCGAUCGAUGCUGCCUCUUGAUGAACAGUGAGGGUUGUUGGGGGGUUUGGAUGAAUAGUUCCUGGUGGGGGGUUGGGUGAAUAGGAACCCGUGGUGUUGCCGCUGGAUGAACAAGACCGCAUCGAUCGAGCCGGUGGAGGGCUGGAUGAACAGGACCCCGUGGAGGGCUGGAUGAACAGGACGACCCCAUGGAGGGCUGGUUGAACAGUAGCCGGUGGAGGGCUGGAUGAAUAGUAGCCCAUGGAGGGGUGGUUGAACAGGACCCUGUGGAGAGGGGUGGUUGAACAGUAGCCGGUGGAGGAGCGCGUGGUGGAGGCUAGAUGAUCAGGAGCCCAUGGAUGAACAGUCGCAGGUGGAGGCUGGAGGAGGUCGACGGUGGAUGAACAAUAGCCCGUGGAGGCAGUCGACGGUGAAGAUGAACAGUAUCCCGUGGAGUCCCGUUUUGCAGUACGCCACACCCCUCCCGAUGAACAGGACCCCUGUUUCGACCAUAGCGCUCCAACACAAGGCCGUUUCCUCCGUUUUGUGGUAUGCCACACCCCUCCCGAUCAACAAGACCCCGUUUCGACCGUAGGAGGUCCAAGAGAAGUCUGUUUCCUCUGUUUUGUGGUACACCAGACCCCUUCCAAUGAACAUGAUCCCGUUUCGACCCUGGCCGGUCGAACACAAGGCCGUUUCCUCCGUUCUACGGUACGCCAGGCCUUGUUUCCAUCAGCUGUUCCGUCCAAGCCGGUUGGCUCACGAUGAAUAGCACGCAUUCCGUUGCCUCCCGAUGAACACGACGCAUUCCGUUGCCUCCCCAUGAACACGAUGAUGACGCAGUUUCUCCGUUCCGAACCACCCAUGUACAUGAUCCCUGGUCGUACAUAUGCGCGAGUAGGCGUUCGAGACCCCGCCUAUAUGUACGUACAUGGCCGUAUUUUCUUUCUUGCACCCUGGCCGCUGUACGUACGGGUACAUGCUAUGUGCGUGCCUCUACUACGACACGUGCACGCCUCUACUAUGACACAUGUGCACCUCUACAUCUACCAGUAUGUACAUACACGUUCGCGACCAGAAUGACAAUGCUAUGUAUGCUUCAACGAGGUGCGUCCCGACUGUCAGGCACUUCCUUGCGUGCGAUGAUGUAGCUGAUGGGUCCCAACAAUCAGGGGGAGAAAAACAUUAUUUUCAGGGUAAAAAGGAUGCAGUUGCAUGCAUACGUCCAUGGGCGUGGUGCGUCCCCACUGUCAGCCUCUCAUGUACAGUCAUCUUUCGAUGACUCUCAUUUGUUGACCACGUUGACCACACCAUGCCGAGCACACCAAGGCCGGUGGACGAUAGUGAGGCCCCAAACUGGAAUGACCCGGAGAUGGGGAAGACGCGGCAGUGGAGCCGCAGAUGGAGAGGAGUGGGAAACUUUACUGGUUCUAGUGCGCAGCAACAUUGCCGCCCACGGGAGCCAGGAGCAAGAACAGAGGUGGAAGAAGGAGCAUGGCUGUUUGAUUAACAUCCAACGGUCCAGCUGCUAGAAUCAUUUGUUGAUUAAGUUGACAAAGCCCUGUGUACACGUCUGCUUAGUAGGCCCACAAGUCAGCCACCAAAUCUGCUGGGUCCUAGCUGUCAUCGGGAGGAAUAGUUUUUUUUCGCAUAACAAGGAGGCACUUCGUUCUGUGUGAAGAUACAUCUGGUGAGUCCCAGCUGUCAGGGGGAGGAAACAUCUUAAUAAGGAGGAACUUUCCUUGCGUGCGACCAUGGACCUCGUGGAUCCCAGCCGUCAGGCUCUCCACGUACAGUCCUCUUCCUACGACUCUCGUUUGUUGACCACGCCGCACCGAGUGCAGCGGGGCAGUGGACGACGGCGAGGCCCCAGACUGGAAUGACCCGGAGAUGGGGAAGACGCGGCAGUAGAGUCACAAACAGAGAGGAGUGGGAAACUUGACUGGUUCGGGUGCGGGGUGGGCCUACACUCGGCAGAUAAUAACAGGAGGUGAGGAGUGGAGGGAUGGCAUGGCCGUCGGCGGGGGAGCGUUUCGCUGUGAGGCGUGCAAAACAAUGCCGCUGGACGCUGGAGGCUGGAGCAGGUGGUCCCGGCAGCGCUGGGGGAAGAAGAAGAGAAAUUGAAGAAGAAUGCUGGCCGUCAAAUGUAAAUCCAACGCCUUGCUUAGGCUUUGACCUACUGGCCCACAUGUCAGCCAGUCCAUUUGUUUUUUAGUCCAUUUGGUGGGCUGGGUGAAACAAUGAUGUAGCAUCUAUGGUGCUUGUUUAUAUAUAUGGUAGAAUUUAAAGCCCAUUUGCAUUUUUCUCAAAAUCCGCAGACUUGCUAGGAUGGGUGAAAAUAUCAUGUUGGUCUGGACGGAGAAAUGUUAUAAAAACAUAAACACAUGAUUGCACGUCUAUUACUGCAUUGGUCAGUAAAAUCUUUGCAAGCUUAUGUACGCAAUCACUAGGAGUUAACUUGCUAAGUUAUAUAUAAACAAUUGUUAUUAUUAUUUUUAAGAACUUUCAACUUACGAAAUAAAAUAUCAUUUUAAUUUGAUGAGUUAAUAGGACGUGGGGUAUUAUUAUUUUUUAGGCUAGACGUGGGACAGUUGAGUUGGUUCUAGGGAAAAGUACUGGGAGAAAACUCAGUUUACAUCGAAAAAGAAAGUGGGAGAAAAUUCAGAUAUAGGAUUAAUGAAAACGAAAAAUAAAGGAAGUGAGAAGGUCUAUAAAAUGGUUGGACGAACGACAAGUUUAACGAAACCUUAUGUUGUUUCUAUUAUAUAUAUAUGUAAUAAAAUAAGAUAUAAAUAUAGUUCAGUUUUGCAUUCUUAUAGAAAACAUAGGUUCAGUUUUGCAUUCUUAUAGAAAAAUAGAAUUGAGCUGUGCGUCGUCUUGGAAAAACAAACAUAACUUGGGCUGCUAAUGUUAUAGAUAAGCUAGGUUGGGAGGCCCAGAGGCCGCUUGAUACCUGCUGGAUCCAAAAAAAUGUUGAAACAUGUCGUGGGCUACCCAUGUUAAACAACAAAACCUAGGCCAUGGACCUGGUGGGCCCAGGACUGUCAGCCUCUCGACGAAUAGUUGUCUCCCGAUUCCUCUUGUUUUGCUGACCAUGUUGGGAAUGAUAGACGGCGGCGCCGCAGCGAGAGCACCAAGGCGGAGGACUACGUCGAGACCUCGGACGAAACGAACCAGAGCGGGGGAAGACGCAUGAGGAGGGGAGUACGAGGGUUGACUUGUUUGGGUGCAGGGUGGGCCGGUGGAGCUACCGCUGCCGGACAAUGUGUGGGAGUAGAGGGAUGGCCUAGCCAAUGCCUUAGGCUAUGAUGGCCAGCCGCUGUAUAGGAAGAGGACGAAAGAUUGAACAAAAUAAAGAAAUACAAAUGGAUAGGUGGUUGGUCCUAUAUGUUUGUGUACUAGACCUGCUGGGUCCACCUGAGAAGGGGAAUAUGUUGGGAGGAAGGAUAUUCAAAGCACGACAGCCGAGUGAACUAGUUUUUUUGAAACGGACGAGUGAACUAGUUACAUACAUAAGCAAAUAGCCACUAAAAGCAAACAGGUUAAUGGGUUCUUAAAAGAAAUAUUUUGAACAAAGCAGACAAUUACGACACAUAGGCUAAUGCACAAAACACUUAGAUGAUAAAGGUGCUUAAACAGAUAAAGUACAACAUCUAGACCUUCCUGACACGCUUGAUCAUGACGCUGCAGCUGUCCGUGUACCCGUCGGUUAUGGGAAGCAGACACGUCCUCAUGUCCAAGAUCCGCCUGCACAUGUUGUAGCAUGCGUAUGCGUCCUUGGCCGUGUAGGUUAUGUAGGCUAGAUUCAGAGGUACCUCCCACAUUUUUAGGUCCUUGGUAUAGUUGUCUUCUUUCAUGUUGGCGUAUCAGGGGUCGAUGAUUGUCUCGGCGAGGUCAACCAUGGAGUCCUUCUCCUACCCGUUGCCGAUGAUCUUGUAUUGCUUCUGGAUGCUGAGAAGCUUGUUGCACCAGAUGGCCGAAUCGUCGCGUUCUUCCUUCUCUCCACCGUAGCGAAGGUGCAGUCGGCGCUGCCGAUGAAACAGGCAAAUGCUCCAGAAACUUUGACGGCCCUAUAGCAGUGGUAGAUGAGAACCUCAUCCCGCACACAUACCUAGGCGACGGCGAUCCGUUGGUCCCUGUCAGGAGAUGAAUGGAUGGGCACAAGGUCUAGUCCUGCGACCUUGUGCUUUCUCGUCCUGUAGGUACUGCUUGAACUCGGCGAGGCAGAUCUUCACCAAGUCCAGAUCAUUGGUGUACAUCACAUUCAACUUGGUGCAGCCAUGGGACUGAACGGCGAACUCAAAGGUGAACUCCUUGCUGAAGUCCAUAUCCAGCAGGCUCACCCCUCGGAUCACCAUUGGAGUCUCUUCAAGUGAACGAGUGGGUAGGCGGCGACAACAGUUCGUUUUUCAGCUCUUGGGGAACUGAAUUCAACAGUAAACUGAGUGUGUACAGACGACAACAGUUAAUACCCCUCCCUCGCCCGCUGCACGCCCGACAGAAGAUGCACCCUCGGCACAUUCAAACGCCUCCAUUAAGAAACCUACUCUAGCCACACAUCGGUUCACGAGCGGGUCUGUAUUGGUACUGUAAUAACAAGUGUUAGCGGUCACUUUACUUAAAUUUAAUUAGCUUUAAUAGAAAUUUAUUCUUAAAACAAGCAAUGCAUUGGCUCGUUCUAUCAGUGCCACAAGAUCAACAUGCACAACAAUUAGAAUUAUUAUUCUUAGGAUGCACACGAUCAGCACAUUUGUCGCACUUCCACACAAAUAAUACUACCAAGUUUGAACUGUUUGUUAUGAUUGUUGUCCUCUACAUCAUCAUGCCGUGUUUCCCAGCUUGCAAGAUUCAGAACCAACAAAUAAGAUCCAAAUAAUAAGUACAACAAAGAUGUCUACACAUCUCAUUUCUUCCCAGCUUGCAAGAUUCAAAACCGACAGAUAAGAUUCAAAUAAUAAGUACAACAAAUAUGCCUACACAUCUCAUUGAUUCCCAUCUUGCAAGAUUUAGAACCAACCCAUUAGAGCCUUUUUAUAAAGUGAAUAUCGGGAUUAAAUCCAUCUUGGCUAGCCGUGUCAUACAACCCAAGAACUUGGUGAAUGCUCUUGACCAUCACAACAUCUGUAGUUGAGUAUUCCUGUUUGCACAACAAAAAUAAGAAGAGCAUGAUUAAUAUAAUAAUGGAACUCCUUGAACUCAACUUGCAGCUCCACUCAGAUGAGGCCAACCUAGAGUUCCAUGAUUCAAUUCAUGAGCCUUUUUCUGUAGUUCACCUGAAAUGAAGCAAAGAUUGCAUCAUUCAGCUAGCAAGAAGUACUCGCUCUCGUGAGCUGGCAGGUUCUUCUUUAGUAGUUGCACUAAAAUUGAGGAACAUUAAGGUUGGUUGUCCGGCUCAUGUAAGGUGCAACUAUAAUUUUCUUAUCCUUUUGUGCAGUUCCACUAAAAUAAAGUGCCAUUAUGGUGACAGUGACGGCUUAUCUUGCAAAGGCCAAUAAAAUGUUGCACAAGAUUACCAGCAGAAUUUGACAAAGAUUUUGGAAACUCCAAUCACCAUUUUGUGCAGUUCCACCAAAAUUAAGAGAUGUUGCCCACGUGAAAUUUUAGUUGAACUGCACAAGACACUCAUUCCAAAAAAGUGUUUUUUGUAGUUCACCAAAAGGUCAUAAUAGCAACAAGGUGAAAUGGAUAUCCCUAUCUGCACAAAAAGAUAGAAAGUAAACAGUUGCUGGUCAAUAAGAAUAUACGAAACAUACACGAAAUGAAAAGAAGCAUCUUAAUUAUGUUCAUGGAAAUCACGCAAGGACAAUAGAAAUUUUAAAACGUCAGCAAUGCUUCAUGUUACCAGAAGCAUUACGAUCAACAAUGGCAUUCGUCAAAUAUGGGAUUACUUUAAUGGUGGCAUUGCUUGUUUACCAGAUACAAUAAAUCAAUAGCAGGUAAAGAGUUGGUUUAAGGGCAUGGGACCGUGGGGACACCAGGACACUUAGCAGCGUAAAGGAGCAACUUACUUAUCGUACUGGGGAAAAUAGCAGGAGUACCAUUUGUAACACAGUUUAAUUGUAUCAUAUCACUGGAGGCACUAGAUUAACAAUAACACUGGUUAGACAUGUCCUUAAGGUAACAGUGUGAUUGCUUCAUUUUACAUGCGCCCUUACAUUAACAACAUCAAAAGGUUGGUAUAAGGACAUGCGACAGUGGACGCAUCUGCACAAUGUACCUACAAGGAGGCAUAAAGUGGUGAUGCCGAGUUUGUUCAUGCUCUGUGAGGGCAGCAAAUCUAAUCCUUGAGACCUUUUACUAUGUGAGGGUAGAAAAUCUAAUCCUUGAGACCUUUUACUAUGUGAGGGCAACAAAUCUAAUCCUGGGCAUACUCUAUUGACUUGUCCACCAGCUGCCACUUUUUAUCCUUUUUUCAACCAAUAAUAAAUUUGUUCCUUAUCCAGUUUGUACUGUGUUUUCCCAUUAUUUCCCUUUUCAACCAAGAGAUUGGUUGGGUAUCCGGUCUCUACUACUUUCACCCUAUUUUUUCCUCUUUGAACCAAGUCCUAGAUUCAUGCUACAACUUUCCCCCCUUUCUUUGUUGUUUGAACCAAGUCCUAGAUUCGAAUGCAUGAAGUAGCUUUACCUCUAAUAAUACUAAAAAUUUAGGUGGCUUUGGAAGAGCUGAUGGGAGUAGAAAAAGAUGCACAUGCAGACACGAGGGGAGCUGGGGCAGUAGAGCAAGGCUGCUUUCGAAGAACUUAUACCUAAGGGUCGUCGGGAUGUCGACGGCGGCAGGUCGGAUCUACGCACAAUACGACAAGGAGGAAGAAGGGUCAGAGGACCUCCCAAGCCGACGCUGUGUCGGAGAGAACGACACAGGCAGAGGACCGGGCCCCUUCGGCAGCUAUGGGUUUCCUCCCCCGCCGGUGAUGACCGCGUGAAUGAUGCACCUAGUCCUCUACACACACCAGCCGAAGGGAUCCAGCCGAAUCUGUGACCAGCGAUGAGCAGAGAGAAAAUGUCGCUACCGCUGUCUUGUUUAGAUCUGGAGAGGAUGAGAGAAUGAAGAGAGCAACACUAGUAAAGCAAGCGCUCAGACCCCUGCUUACAUAUAUAGUGGAGUGAUUAUCUUUUUCUCUCCACAACAAGCGUUUCAAUUUGUGUACGUGGCAUUAAAGAAAAGGAACUCUCUAUUUAAGGUGACUAACUGAACGACUCCUACUUACUACUAGUAGUAGUAUUGUUCACUUGUGCUCCCCGGCCCUCCAUUCAUUGAACCACCCCACGGGUGAAUAAACAUACAGUACUAGUAUUUAUAUAGAACGAACAAGCUUGAACUAUUUUCGCGUAGUUAAAAGUUGAGGGAGGGUUUUUCCCGGGCAGUACGCGUGACAGUUUUCAUGUAGGCGGUUUGACAGAGAGGCGAGGAGGGUGAGGGAGUAGCGGAUUCAACUUACUUACUGCUGGAAAGGUCGGGUUGUGCGAUUUGACGGUGCGUUACUACUAGAAAGACUUGUGAUAUGACUACUCAUUAUAGUCAUGAAUUACUGGCAGUACGACCGGGGUGAUGCCCCCCUUCCGUUCUGCACUCUAAUCUGCUGCAUGACACGUCGACCCGGAUGCUGGCUCUCCCACAUGUCGGCGAAGUACGUAGUAGUAAGAAGGAGCAAAGAAUCAUGCGGUAUAUACUAGUAGUACUACUACUAACGUCGGAGGAGUGCGAACCACGGCAGCCCAGUGAACCAGCAGUAGAAAACAAUGUGGUGAUAUGGCCAUAAAAAACAAUGUGCUACGGUCCAGACUGUAGCAUGUACAGUACUACUCCUCUUUGUUUGGAUCCCUGAGUUAAAGAUAGUUUGGGUUGAAAUAGCCUCAAAUUAUCCAAACAGAAGGGGUUAGUUUGAGCUAGUUUGCUCUAACUCAGCUAAAAAAACUAGCCCGGUGGAGAGGUUCUAAUUGGGUUAGUUCUCCUCGGGCCCACUCAAAGAGAACUAAAAAAAAUCUCCCCUGCCCACACCAGAUCGCUCCCUCCGCCCCCCUUGCACCACUCCUCUCUGUUCCCCAUCAGCCCGCCCGCCCAAGCGCUGCUCCGCCACUCGCCCUCUCUCUCUCCUCCGACCGCCCUCUCCCUCCGCCCUCCUCCGGCCUUCGAAGCUCCCCCCGCUCCCCCUUCACCAGUCAUUUUUCUCCCUCUAUCCUGCGCGGCGGCGGUGCAUCUACCACGGAGGUCGCGAGAGGGGUGAGUUUGUUCAUUCCUUCUCUGUCUCACAGCCAUAUCAUUGAUCUUGCUCGCUCUAGCGCUAAUUUCUGAUUUGGAAAAGUAGAUCCUGAUUAAACUUGGUAUAGAUUUGUGGUGCACGCAUGGAAUUGUUUGAUGCUACUUGAGGAGGUAAUAAGUCUUUCUAGAGGCCCAAAGAUUCAGUUCACCUUUCUAGGUAUUUCAGUUUCAGGCUUGCAUUAUUUCUAGAGGCCCAACGAAUAAGUUCUCCUUUCUAGGCAUUUCAGUUUCAGGCUUGCAUUAUUUCCAGAGGCCCAAAGAUUCAGUUCACCUUUCUUGGUAUUUUAGUUUCAAGCUUGCAUUAUUUAUGGAGGCCCAAAGAUUCAGUUCACCUUUCUAGGUAUUUCACUUUCAGGCUUGCAUUAUUUCUAGAGGCCUGAAGAUUCGGUUUGCAGUCGUCGGCAAGUGGCCCUGCUACCCAUGCCGGUGUCGACCUCAACUCGCAAGCGCCAGCGUCGGAGGGGUUCCCAGGGCUUGGGCUAUACAGAGCCUUCCUCCAGAGCGACGACGACGAGCUCCUAGUUGGGUGCGUGAGGGGCUCUGGGCUCCCUCCCUAUCGUGAAUGACUUCCGUGAUGAGUUAGCUCAUGCUUUGUUUCAUGGAGUGCAUUUUUUGUGAAGCUUGAUUGACAACUUGUAUGCUUAAGUGGGAUAUCUCAUUUGUAUGGACAAAGUAAAAUUUAUCAUGUUUUGCAUGCUUGAUUUGUAAAGAUGGUUCGUUUAUGUCAAUUGUGAGCGGGAGGAGGCCACACAAGAGCUGGCCACACCAAAUCCGGUAGGAAAUAGGGUCCAAAGUAGUCAAAUGAUUGAGAAAUAACAUUUAUUGUCAAUCUAACCCUGUCAUCCAUACACCUCUUUGGUUUAGAGUUAGUUCAGGGUUAGAAUCUAACUCUAACCUCUAACUGAGUUAGAGUUCUCCUCAUCUCGGUUCAUCAUCAUCAUACUUUCCCCAUUCAUGUGUUUUCAGUAUCCUACGAAUCAAAGAGGCCCUUAGACUGGUUUAGGUCCGGUCGUUUUUAUAAACGUGUUAUGUCCAAAAUUUAAUGAACGUGUUGCAGUUUCUACGAAAAUAAUCCGGUUUCAUGUAGUAAUUUAUUUAUUUAUUUAUUCUUCUGCAAGGGGUUUGCAUGUAAUUCAUGAGGUCUGAAAUGUAAAGUACCCCAACAUAUGCUCUGAGUCAUGCAUGCACUACGACCCAGAUGCUCUAUGUCCCACAUGUCGGCGAAAGGGGCAUGUGGAAAUAGACUACGAGUACAUAUAGGAGGAUAAAUGCGUGAAAAAAUAUGUAUGGUGAAGCGUAGCUGUGGUUCGAAAAGGAGACCUAAAGUGAUGAUAGGUAUAGGUCGCACGCACCCAACUAGUGGUACUAGACAUACGACUACUUUUUCCCUAAAAAAAGAGGUACGAGUGCUUAGUACUCCUAUUCUAUCAACACGAGUCCUAUCCGACAAUAGCGUCCGUGCUACAGCUAGCUCUUGCCCCUCGUUUCUCUCUUCUAAUUCUAAACUCAGCCGACGCCCCAUGGGCGGGGUGGGGCUUUGCCGAUGGUCGGUUUGCUCAACUGCGGCCCCACCUCAUAGUGAAAAUGUUACAACUAGAAUAAAAAUGCCAUAUACUCUCUCCGUUCCUAAAUAUAAGCCUUUUUAGAUAUUUCAAAUGGAAUAGAACAUAUGGAUGCAUGUAGACAUAUUUUAGAGUGUAGAUUCACUCAUUUUGCUCCAUAUGUAGUCACUUGCUGGAAUCUCUAGAAAGACUUAGGCCUCCUUUGGUUUGGAGGAUUUUUGUAGGAAUUUCAUAGGAUUGGAUUUUUGUAGGAAAAAUUCCUUUAGAGCCCUUUGGUUCGUAGGAAUGGAAUCCUAUUCCUAUGGAGGAAUUCUUCCUAUCCUGCACAUUUCAUAGGAAAAUAAACAUUAGCCUAGACUCAAUGGAAAAAAUUCUAUGAAGUGAAUCAAACGACAUCUCCUUUCCUAUUUCUACUCAUAGGAUUUGAGAUGCAUGUCAUCUCAUUUCCUAUGACUUUUCUAUUUCUAUGAUUUCCCUACCCUAUGAACCAAAGGAGGCCUUAUAUUUGGGUACGGAGGGAGUACUAUACUAAUAAAACAUUAAGGCCACGAGGCGAUGUGAUACGUCUCCAACGUAUCUAUAAUUUUUGAUUGUUCCAUGCUAUUAUAUUAUCCAUCUAGGAUGUUUUAUAUGUAUUUGUAUGCUAUUUUAUAUGAUUUUCGGGACUAACCUAUUAACCUAGAGCCCAGUGCCAGUUUCUGUUUUUUCCUUGUUUUUGAGUAUCGCAGAAAAGGAAUAUCAAAUAGAGUCCAAUUGACAUGAAAAUUUACGGAGAUCAUUUUUGGACCAGAAGAAGCCCAUAGAGCAUCGGAGAUGGAACAGAAGAGUCCUGAGGCCUCCACGAGGGUGGGGGCGUGCCCCCUGCCUCGUGGCCACCUUGUGGACCCCCCUGACUUGUUCCCGACGCCAACGCCUCUUAUAUAUCCCCAAACUUCCAGAAAAUAACCUAGAUUGGGAGUUCCGCUGCCGCAAGCCUCCGUAGCCGCCGAAAACCAAUCUAGACCCGUUCUGGCACACUGCUGGAGGAGGGAAUCCAUCACCAGUGGCCAUCAUCAUCAUCCCGAUGCUCUCCAUGAUGAGGAGGGAGUAGUUCACCCUCGGGGCUGAGGGUAUGUACCAGUAGCUAUGUGUUUGAUCUCUCUCUCGUGUUCUUGAUUCAGCAUGAUCUUGAUGUAUUGCGAGCUUUGCUAUUAUAGUUGGAUCUUAUGAUGCUUCUCCCCCUCUACUCUCUUGUAAUGGAUUGAGUUUUCCCUUUGAAGUUAUCUUAUCAGAUUGUGUCUUUAAGAAUUUGAGAACACUUGAUGUAUUUCUUGCAUGUGCUUAUCUGUGGUGACAAUGGGAUAUUCACGUGAUCUACUUGAUGUAUGUUCUGGUGAUCAACUUGCGGGUUCCGUGAUCUUGUGAACUUAUGCAUAGGGGUUGGCACAGGUUUUCAUCUUGACUCUCCGGUAGAAACUUUGGGGCACUCUUUGAAGUUCUUUGUGUUGGUUGAAUAGAUGAAUCACAGAUUGUGUGAUGCAUAUCGUAUAAUCAUACCCACAGAUACUUGAGGUGAUAUUGGAGUAUCUAGGUGACAUUAGGGUUUUGGUUGAUUUGUGUCUUAAGGUGUUAUUCUAGUAUGAACUCUAGGAUAGAUCGAACAGAAAGAAUAGCUUUGUGUUAUUUUACUAUGGACUCUUGAAUAGAUCAAUCAGAAAGGAUAACUUUGAGGUGGUUCCGUACCCUACAAUAAUCUCUUCAUUUGUUCUCCACUAUUAGUGACUUUGGAGUGACUCUUUGUUGCAUGCUGAGGGAUAGUUAUAUGAUGCAAUUAUGUUAUUAUUGUUGAGAGAACUUGCACUAGUGAAAGUAUGAACCCUGGGCAUUGUUUCAACGCAUUGCAAUACCGUUUUACUCACUUUUAUCAUUAGUUACCUUGCCAUUUUUAUAUUUUCAGAUUACAAAAACUUAUAUCUACCAUCCACAUUGCACUUGUAUCACCAUCUCUUCGCUGAACUAGUGCACCUAUACAAUUUACCAUUGUAUUGGGUGUGUUGGGGACACAAGAGACUCUUUGUUAUUUGGUUGCAGGGUUGUUUGAGAGAGACCAUCUUCAUCCUAUGCCUUCCACGGAUUGAUAAACCUUAGGUCAUCCACUUGAGGGAAAUUUGCUACUGUCCUACAAACCUCUGCACUUGGAGGCCCAACAACGUCUACAAGAAGAAGGUUGUGUAGUAGACAUCAAGCUCUUUUCUGGCACCAUUGCCGGGGAGGCAAGUUCUUGAAGGUAUAUCUUUAGAUCUUGCAAUCGAAUCUUUUAGUUUCUCGUUUUAUCACUAGUUAGUUUAUAAAAGAAAACUACAAAAAACUGGAAUUGAGGUUGUUGAUACGUCUCCAACGUAUCUAUGAUUUUUGAUUAUUCCAUGCUAUUAUAUUAUCUGUUUUGGAUGUUUAAUGGGCUUCGUUAUGCUCUUUUAUAUUAUUUUCGGGACUAACCUAAUAACCAAAGGCCGAGUGCAAAUUGCUGUUUUUUUUGCCUAUUUUAGUGUUUGGUAGAAAAGGAAUACCAAACAGAAUGAAACCUUCGGGAGAGUUAUUUUUGGAACAAACGCAAUCCAGGAGACUUGGAGUGGACGUCAAGGAAGCGACGAGGCGACCAUGAGGUAGGAGGGCGCGCCCAGGGGGGUAGGCGCGCCCCCACCCUCGUGGGCCCCUUGUGGCUCCACCGACCUAGUUCUUUCGCCUAUAUAUACUCAUAUACCCCGAAAACAUCCGAGAGCACCACGAAACCCUAUUUCCACCGCCGCAACCUUCUGUACCCAUGAGAUCCCAUCUUGGGGGACUUUUCUGGCGCUCCGCUGGAGGGGGAAUCGAUCACGGAGGGCUUCUACAUCAACACCAUAGCCUCUCCGAUGAUGUGUGAGUAGUUUACCAUAGACCUUCGGGUCCAUAGUUAUUAGCUAGAUGGCUUCUUCUCUCUCUUUGGAUCUCAAUACAAAGUUCUCCUCAAUUCUCUUGGAGAUCUAUUUGAUGUAAUUCUUUUUGCGGUGUGUUUGUCGAGAUCUGAUGAAUUGUGGGUUUAUGAUCAAGAUUAUCUAUGAGCAAUAUUUGAUUCUUCUCUUAAUUAUUUUAUGCAUGAUUUAAUAUCUUUGCAAGUCUCUUUGAAUUAUCAGUUUGGUUUGGCCUACUAGAUUGAUCUUUCUUGCAAUGGGAGAAGUGCUUAGCUUUGGGUUCAAUCUUGUGGUGUCCUUUCCCAGUGAUAGCAAGGGCAGCAAGGCACGUAUUGUAUUGUUGCCAUCAAGGAUAAAAAGAUGGGGUUUAUAUCAUAUUGCUUGAGUUUAUCCCUCUACAUCAUGUCAUCUUGCCUAAUGUGUUACUCUAUUCUUAUAAACUUAAUACUCUAGAUGCAUGCUGGAUAGUGGUCUAUGUGUGGAGUAAUAGUAGUAGAUGCAGAAUCAUUUCGGUCUACUUGUCGCGGACAUGAUGCCUAUAUACAUGAUCAUGCCUAGAUAUUCUCAUAACUAUGCGCUUUUCUAUCAAUUGCUCGACAGUAAUUUGUUCACCCACCAUAGAAUUUGCUAUCUUGAUAGAAGCCACUAGUGAAACCUAUGGCCCCUGGGUCUAUAUUCCAUCAUAUUAUUUUCCUAUCUACUUUCUAUUUAUGCCGCCUUUUAUUUUGCAAUCUUUAUUUUCCAACCUAUACAACAAAAAUACCAAAAAUAUUUAUCUUAUUAUCUUUAUCAGAUCUCACUUUUGCAACUGGCUGUGAAGGGAUUGACAACCCCUUUAUCGCGUUGGUUGCAAGGUUCUUAUUUGUUUGUGCAGGUAUGAGGGACUUGCGUGUAGUCUCCUACUGGAUUGAUACCUUGGUUCUCAAAAACUGAGGGAAAUACUUACGCUACUUUGCUGCAUCACCUUUUCCUCUUCAAGGGAAAACCAACGCAUGCGCAAGAGGUAGCAAGAAGGAUUUUUGGCGCUGCUGCUGGGGAGAUCUAUGCACAAGUCAAGACAUACCAAGUACCCAUCACAAACUCUUAUCCCUCGCAUUACAUUAUUUUCCAUUUGCCUCUCGUUUUCCUCUCCCCCACUUCACCUUUGCCGUUUUAUUCGCCCUAUUUUUCGUUCACUCUUUUUCUUGCUUUUUGUGUGCCCGUUCUUUGUGCAAUUUGAUGCCAUCAUGUCUGAAAUUGGGGAGGUUAUCGUUGAUAAGGAUAGUGGUAAUAACAUGGAAAACUUUUAUGCUUUUGAUGAUCCUCAUGAAGAACCUACUAUUUUACACACUAAAAGUUUUUGGAUUGGUAGCGAUAAUAUUAUUGGAAAAGGAGUUAUUCAAGAUUUCUUUACUUGUGUCGGUGCCCUGCCCUCUAUGGGUGGGUCUAUUCUUCAUAGAACUAGUAGUCUUGCGGAUUCUUUAUCCUCGCUCGUAGUUGAACUUGAAAGACAAUUUAUUCAUAUGCAUCCUUGCAUACAAAGGAUUUUUCUAGAAUUUUCCAAUAUCGAGCAUUCUUUUGUUAAGCGAGCAGCUACUAUCUUUUUGGCACAUGAGUUUAGGUUUAUAAUGAGGGAGGCCAAUGAAUUUUUUGCGCAUUAUAGGGUGGACGCUGGUCGUCAUCCCAUAGAAGCUAUCCUUUUUAAUCAAGAAGACUUAAUGCGUUUACGAUCUUUAGAUCAUGUUGCUUACAAUGAAAACCUUAGAAAGAAGGUUCCUACCGAUGUUCUAGUUGAUAGAAUUUCUGAACUCAAUGAUGACUUUGCUAUUCAGAACAAUGGGUUAGGUUUUUAUCUUGAACAAAGGCUCAUGACUUAUUGUCAAAAGAAUGCUUAUAAUGAUGAAUUGGUUGUGCAAUAUAACGGGCCAAAGGAGGAACCCAUACCUCCCGAGCUUGAUCUUGGGGACUUUUGUCCCAUUAAAUUUAGCCCUUUUGAUUACUUUUGCUUGCCACAAAGAAAACUUGCUGCUGAACAUAGGGAAUAUGAGAUGAGUUUCCUCAAUUUGCCCUACCAUUAUUAUGAUAAUACCUAGAUCUAUUCUUGUUUUUAUGCCUAGCUAGGGGCGUUAAACGAUAGCGCUUGUUGGGAGGCAACCCAAUUUUUUUGUUUCUUGCUUUUUGUUCCUGUUUAGUAAUAUAAUUCAUCUAUCUUCUGUUUAGAUGUGGUUUUAUGUUUUUAAUUAGUGUUUGUGCCAAGUAGAACCUUUGGGAAGACUUGGGGGAAGUCUUUGCAAUCUUGCUGUAAAAAAAUAGAAACUUUAGCGCUCACGAGAUUAGCUGCCAUGUUUUACUGGAGAGUGCGAUUAGCUUUAUUAUUUUUGAAGAUGAUUAAUAGAAAAAUUCCUCAUGUCCACCAAUUUAUUUCAGAAUUUUUGGGGUUACAUAAGUAUUCGAAACCUACAGAUUACUACAGACUGUUCUGUUUUUGACAUAUUCUGUUUUUCGUGUGUUGUUUGCUUAUUUUGAUGAAUCUAUGGCUAGUAUCGGGGGGUAUGAACGAGGAGUUGGAAUACAGUAGGUUUAACACCAAUAUAAAUAAAGAAUGAGUUCAUUACAGUACCUUGAAGUGGUGGUUUGUUUUCUUAUACUAAUGGAGCUAAUGAGAUUUUCUGUUGAGUUUUGUGUUGUGAAGUUUUCAAGUUUUGGGUAAAGAUUUGAUGAAUUUUGGAAUAAGGAGUGGAAAUAGCCUAAGAUUGGGGAUGCCCAUGGCACCCCAAGGUAAAAUUCAAGGACAACCAAAAGCCUAAGCUUGGGGAUGCCCCAGAAGGCAUCCCCUCUUUCGUCUUCGUCCAUCGGUAACUUUACUUGAGGCUAUAUUUUUAUUCACCACAUAAUAUGUGUUUUGCUUGGAGCAUCUUGUAUGAUUUGAGUCUUUGCUUAUUAGUUUACCACAAUCAUUAUUGCUAUACACACCUUUUGGAGAGACAUACAUGAAUCGGAAUUUAUUAGAAUACUCUAUGUGCUUCACUUAUAUCUUUUGAGCUAGAUAAUUUUGCUCUAGUGCUUCACUUAUAUCUUUUUAAGAGCAUAGUGGUGGUUUUAUUUUAUAGAAAAUUUUGAUCUCUCAUGCUUCACUUAUAUUAUUUUUAGAGUCUUAUAGAACAGCAUGGUAAUUUUCUUUGGCUAUAAAAUUAGUCCUAAUGUGAUGGACAUCCAAGUUGGGUAUAAUAAAAACUAUCAUAUAAAGUGCAUCGAAUGCUAUGAGAAGUUUGAUUCUUUAUAAUUGUUUUGAGAUAUGAAGAUGGUGAUAUUAGAGUCAUGCUAGUUGAGUAGUUGUGAAUUUGAGAAAUACUUGUUCUAAAGUUUGUGAUUCCCGUAGCAUGCACGUAUGGUGAACCGUUAUGUGAUGAAGUCAGAGCAUGAUUUAUUUAUUGAUUGUCUUCCUUAUGAGUGGCGGUCGGGGACGAGCGAUGGUCUUUUCCUACCAAUCUAUCCCCCUAGGAGCAUGCGCGUAGUACUUCGUUUCGAUAACUAAUAGAUUUUUGCAAUAAGUAUGUGAGUUCUUUAUGACUAAUGUUGAGUCCAUGGAUUAUACACACUCUCACCCUUCCACCAUUGCUAGCCUCUCUAAUACCGCACACCUUUCGCCGGUAUCAUACACCCACCAUAUACGUUCCUCAAAACAGCCACCAUACCUACCUAUUAUGGCAUUUCCAUAGCCAUUCCGAG
RNAcentral lists this long non-coding RNA (94034 nucleotides) under Triticum aestivum (bread wheat). RNAcentral describes it as "long non-coding RNA (TAES_LNC020834)". Lineage: Eukaryota; Viridiplantae; Streptophyta; Magnoliopsida; Poales; Poaceae. The record is from RNAcentral.